RNAcentral lists this long non-coding RNA (145864 nucleotides) under Malus domestica (apple). RNAcentral's name for it is "long non-coding RNA (MDOM_LNC002482)". Lineage: Eukaryota; Viridiplantae; Streptophyta; Magnoliopsida; Rosales; Rosaceae. The record is from RNAcentral.
UUUUUUUUUUUGUACAUAUUUGUAAUUUCUCAGAGAUAUCAAUAGAUAGGCUUUAUUUCGUUCAAUGUAUUGUGCCAAAUACCAUAGAGCAUAUAUUUCAUUAAGAUGUGAUACUUCUUUUCCUUUUCUGAUUAUAUUUUCAAAAUGGUGUUGUGCACCAUCCCAUAACCUUUCUCUUUUUUUUUUGUUUUUUAUUUAAUUAUAAUUAUUAUUUUUAGAUGGUGCCUGUUGCACUAGGGGUGGGUUCAAAAAACCGAAAACAGAAAAAAACCGAAAACCAAACCGAACCGAAACUGAAAAAACCGAACCGAACAAAAAAACCGAACCGAAUUGAAAAAACCGAACCGAACCGAAUUCUUUUGGUUCGGUUCGGUUUUAGUGAUCUAGAAACCGAACCAAACCGAACCGAACCGAAUUAAUUAAAUUAAUUUUUUUAUUUAAUUAUUUGUUUUGGAUAUUAUUUUCUAAACCCAAUUUGUAAGUUAAAAUAUGCUAAACCCAAUGUGUUGCCAAACUUUAAGCUCAAAAUAUUAAAAAAAAGUCCUAUAAAAACUUUAAACCCUAACCUAUUAUUUAUCCCCCAUAUAAGGUUCUGGAGCCAAACCUCAUCCUGAAGUACCUACAUCCAUCUCCAUAGCACUGUCUACUUUUGUCUCAGCUUUCUUUUCCAAAUCUACUCUCAUAUAACAUGUAACAGAAUCUAUAAACAUUUAUUUUCGGGUAGAUUACUUAGGGAAUUUGUGAUGGAAAAGAAUCCAACACACACACUAAAUAAAUCCACCCACGCAUUUCUUUUACUAAUCAAGUUGUCAACAUGCAGUUACAAGCAAACAACCCUGAUCUUUGAACAACAUCAUACAAUUUAACUUUUCUAAGUCAUUUGUACGAUUUUUGUGUUGUGAUGUUGUUAGUUUGGACUUUGGAAGACUUGAUUGAUGAUUUUAGUUCAACUUUAAAUAUUUAUUUUCACUGUCUUUGAUUAUAGUUAGAAUGUUUGUGUUAUGAUUGUGUUGGAUACGUUAAAAUUUAAAAUUUCAAUGUUUUUCAUUUUUUGAAAGAAAAAAAAAACAAAAAACCGAAACCGAACCGAAAAAAACCGAACCGAAAAAAACCGAACCGAAAAAAACCGAAAAAAAAAUGAACCGAACCGAACCGAACCGAAAUUUUGGUUUGGUUUCGGUUUUGGCAAAAAACCGAACCGAAUUAAACCGAACCCACCCCUAUGUUGCACCAUCCUCCUUUUUUUUUUCUACUUUUCAAUUAUUUUGUCAACACCAUCCCCCUUUUUAACCUUUUUAACUUUCCAAUAGUAGCAUGCAAUUAUGAGUGGCUUGAAGAUGGCACGGCUGGGUUCUUCGGUGGGCACUUGAAUUUGCUUAGGAUAUCAUUCCUCUUUAGAAAAAUGUGAACUCCACAUUUGAAUUGGCAUGCGGGACCGCUCAUCUGGCUCAGAAACUUGGCCCUUGGUCCAAGACUGAUUUCAUUGAUAUCUUUGAGAACCUCCUGCUGACAUAAUAUCCUUCAUUAAAUCCAUCAGCAAGAAGGCCUUCGAGCAAUUUAUCCUCUGGCACCUCAACAGAUUGAGAAAACUGAUCUUCUAAACCUUUUCUGGGUUCCACUUUAAGAACUGCAACUUUUGAAGUUUCAAAAACAGCAUCCGAAGGCGGGUAUCUGAGAACCACAUUCACUGAGAACAACACCAAAAAUAAAAUCAAGCCAGCCUCAAAGAUCCCAAUCACCUUCAGCGCACACGACGCAGAUUACCUAUCCGGCUCCCUCAGGCAUCCAAAUCCAAAUGCUUCGACAAAUCAUCAACAUCAAGGUUUUGCUUGAACCCCUUCAUUUUCUGAAAAACUUUAUCUGGGUACUGCAGAGAUUGGGAGGAUUGGCGCCCAACAAAGUCACGACCAGGCAGACGACUGGGAAGAAGACGGAGUUCGGGGAUAGGAGGAGCUCGGCGAUUGGUUGUUUGGGUGGAGAGGAACCAGAUCAGGUGCACCAUGCUCUUCAAUCCUUGCGAUGCGGCUUUCUGCUGUGGCACAACCUUGUCGUAUGGGCACGGCUCAGAGGCAUAAGCUUAGGGGUCUCCCAACAAAGUCAACGAGCAACGUGGCAAGCAAGGCCAUUAUGGCAAAAAAUCCAAAGAAGAGGAACUUGGUCCAGUUGGAAAUCUUCUAUAGGCGGAGGAACGCUGCUAUACGACUUUGGCGCAGAUCUGGGGACGAUGACUUGAUAGGGGAGAAGGUGGAAAGUCGGAGAGCUUAAUGAACGACCGGCACUUAGACUUGGUUUUGCCGAAGCUGAAAUUAGCGGGGUCGUUGUUGCAGAAAGGUUGAGAGCUUGGAAGCCUCUGAUGUCGCUGAGUUUGGAAAAGAGAGGUUCAUUGUAGAUCUCUUGAGUGAUAGAUGGUGGUCGGCUCGUGACCAGCAACGAUUUGUAUCCUUCUAUGUUCACUGAUUUUAAGACUCAUACGUCGAAACAAGUCGGACUUGCUGCUGGGUGGCUGGCGGUGAUGAUGAUGGUGAGGAAUUUGGCGAGGUGCUGUUACGGGAGUGGAAUUGAUGACGGCACUGGGCCGGCCCGUUAUGUGUGGUAAGCUGCAAGGCGAAGGCACGAAUGGAGGAGAAAACACCGAUUGGGCUUUGAGAGCCGGGCCUGGGCAUGAAGGGUGAAAACCCAACAAGAUUCUCUUGAAACUGAUGAUGCUGUUGGUGAUGGAGAUUUGCAGACUCCAUAAUUAAUGAUUAUAAUAUUUUUUUUAUUUUUAAUGAAGAAACUGUAAAAAAAAAAAUUAUUAUUAUUUUUUUACAAAAAAAUUUGUUUGUAUUUGUAAUGGAAUUGACUCUUAAUAGUCAAAUGUUUAAUAAAACCUUUAUUUUUUAUUUUUUAUUUUGAUGUGACUGAACUCGAAGUUGAAUGUUCGAGCUGCCUAUGUACCCUUCUAAAGAAGAGAUUAAGUCAUAACGUAGUUCAGAUACAUUUUGUUUUUGUUUUUUUGUUUUGUUUUUGUGUUGUAUGCAGUUUAUGCUGUUGCGGGCCAGGAGCAUGAUGCGUUUGUUUUAGGAGUAGUAGCACUCCAAGAAUCUGCCAUUGAUGGGGCCGAUCUUCAAGUCGUCUUCCGCCAUGAUUAAGUAGGCGCUGUUGGUGUAGACUUCUUGUAUUACGUAAGGUCCAUCCCACUUUGAUGUGAACUUGCUUUUUGUUUUGUGAGUUGAGAUGAUAAGCCUAUGUAAUGCAAAGACGAGAUCUCCCACUUGAAAAGAAUGAGGGUGAACUUUCUUGUUGAAAGCCUUGGAGAGUCGUGCUUGAUAACACUCCAAGUGUUGCUGAGCUUCGAGCCUUCUCUCAUCCAGCGUUUCCAGCUCUUGAAGACAUAACUUUGCAUUAUUUUCAUUAAUCAAGCCUUCUUGUAUAGCCAUCCUUAGUGAGAGGAUUUGACUUUCGAGCGGUAGAACAGUUUCUGAGCCAUAUACGAGAGAAAAAGGCGUAGCUUGGGUAUGAGUCCUAUGUGUCGUCCUAUAUGCCCAAAGUGUUUCUCUUAUUCUUUCGUGCCAGUCUCUCUUUGUUCGGCUGAUCACCUUCUUCAGGAGGUUGCACGAUGUUCUGUUGAAUGCUUUUGCAAGACCGUUGGCCGGAGCAUGAUACAUGGAAGACUUAUGUUGCUUGAACUUGUAUUUCUCGUAGAGCUCAUCCACGAGUCGGUUGUAGAACUAUUUUUCGUUGUUAGUGAUAAUGUAGCGAGGCACACCACAUCGGUGUAUGAUAUGCUCCUUGAUGAAACAGACGACAAUUUCCUUCUGGACUUCCCUUGGGGGUAUAGCUUCAGCCCACUUGGAGAAGUAAUCUGUUGCAACUAGGAUGUAAGCAGCUUCUCCUGCAGAUGACUUUGGCGUAAUUGGUCAUACGACGUCCAAUCCCCAUGCAUCGAAUGACUAUGAAGCAGUUGUAAAGUGUAAUGGUUUAAGCGGUUGAUGUAUGAAGUUGGCAGGCUUGGCACAUUUUGGCAUGUUCCAGGUAGUCCUUCACCAUGCUUGGCUAGUAGCAACCCAUUCUUUUGAGCUGGAAAUGUAACUUCGGUCCAAACUGGUGCGCCAUGCAUACACCUGAGUGUGCUUCUUCCAUGGCUUGAUUAGAUUCUUCCUCACCUAGGCAUCUCAGAAGUACUCAUUCAAAAGAGCAUCGGUAUAGUGUUUCUUUGUAGUAGAGGAAGCGAGGUGCUCGUCGACGUAUUUCAAAGCGGUGUUUAGAAUCAUCUGAAAGCCUUCCAUGCUCUAAGUAGUCGAUCAACGGCUGUCUCCACUCUUCAGCGUCGACCGGAAGUAUUGAGAUGACGUUUGUAUCAUCCAGUAGCAUUUCAACGAUAAGCGGGAUCACCUAUCUUUGGCAAACUGGCACGUCUGCAGCUUUGUCUUAUCCUAGUGUAAUACUUGAGGCUAGGUUGGCGAGAGCGUCUGCCAUUUGAUUUUCUUUUCUUGGCACAUGUUCUAGUGUUACAGCCUCGAACUUUUGUAGCAGUUGAGUUGUCAGCCGGAAGUAUGGGACAAUAUCAUCUUUCAUCACCUCAUAUUCAGUCAAGAGUUGAUUGAUUAUGAGCUUGGAGUCACCAUAUACCUCAAGGGCUGUGAUUUCCAUAUUGAUCGCCAUUUGGAGCCCGAUAAUCAGUGCUUGGUACUCAACGAUGUUGUUGGAGCAUAGUUUGCUUAGUUGGAAGAAAUAAGGUAGUAUUUGCCUUUGUGGCCACAUGAAUACUACUUUUGCCCUCAUUCCGUCUGCUCGUGCGGAUCCGUCAAAGAACAUCGUCCAUGUCAGGAAGAUGUCGAUGUAGAACACUUCCUCGUCAGGUAAGUCGUCUGAGAUUUUCCAAUUGGCUGAGAUUAGAUGAUCGGUAAGGAAGUCUGCUAGCGCUUAUCCCUUGACGACUUUAGCUGUGAUGUAGAUGAUCUUAUAUUGAUGGAGAAGCAAUGCCUAUUUAGCUAGUUGCCUUGUCAAAACUGGUUUGGACAUGACGUAUUUGAUCGGGUCAGCUUUAGCAACCAAGUGGAUGGUGUAAGCAUGUAUGUAAUGUAUGAGCUUCUGAAUGGCAAACACCACGGCAAGACACAUCUUUUCUAUCGGGAAGUAGUUCAACUCAGCACAGGUGAGAGUUUGACUGAGGUAGUAAAACGUUCAUUCUUUCUGGGAUUCAUUUUCUUAUGCCAAGAGUGCUCAUACUGAACUUUCCUGAGCGGCGAUGUACAAUAUGAGCGGCUUCCUGGGCACAGAUGUUCCCAGGAUAGGUGGACUUGACAAAUACCUUUUUAUGAUUUCAAAGGCAUUGUGGCAUGCUUCAUCCCAUACGAACUGUACAUUCUUCUCAAUGAGUCAACUGAACGGUUGACAACGUUCUGCCAGGUUGGAGAUAAACUGUCUGAUGAAAGAGAGUCGUCCUUGUAGACUUUUUAGCACGUGUAGAUUUCUUGGCUCAUGCAUGCUUUGAAUGGCCUUGAUAUUUGAUUUGUCCACUUCAAUGCCACGGUGCUUGACAAUGAAACCGAUGAACUUUCCAGAGGUAAUCAAAGGGCAUCACCUUGUAGUAGUAGAUACAUUUUGGAUGCGGAAGGUUGUUAGUUCCUCGUCUUUGAGAGUCAUGCGAAUUUGAUUGUAUCCAUAAUAGCUGUCCAUGAAUGACAGUGCUUCGUGGCCAGUGGUUCCGUCCACCAUGAUUUCGAUGAUUGGCAUGGGGAAGUCGUCAUUCGGGCAAGCAUCAUUGAGGUUUUGGAAGUCUACGCAAACAUGUAUUUAUCCAGAUUUCUUAAGGAUAAUGACGAUGUUGGAGAUCCACUUGGGGUAUUGCACCUAUCAAAUGAAGCCUACUUCGAUUAGCUUGUCAAUCCCGGCCUUAAUUUGUGGGAUGAGUUCGGAUCGAUAACAUCUUUGAGUUUGCUUUAUCGGUUGCGUUCCAAGCUUGACUGCAAGAUGAUGCACAACGAUGAUAUGGUCAAGGCUGGGCAUUUCUUUAUAGGUCUAAGCAAAUACAUCUUUGUACUCUAAUAACAAUUGGUAAUACUUCUCUAUCUCGUCUGCACUUAGUAGUGCACUUACAAAGAUAGGUUUUGGUUCCUCGCUUGUGCCUAAGUUGAGUUCCAUAAGAUCAUCAACCGUGGCUUGCCCCCCAUCUUCGAGCUGUGGUGGCACAGCAGUGACAUCUUCCUCGAGGAUUUCAUCUUCUUUACCUUUUUGGAUCAUGAUGUGGAAAACAUCUUAGACCUCAUCUUCAAUGUUGUCCUUUUGAGCUUGUUGGCAUGAAGUUGUCCAGUGUGGAUGAUGGUGCACCUUCUGACUUUCAGUGGUCCAUUUGUGUUAACCUCCAAAAUUGCUUGGCCCUUUAUCCUUGAAGGAAUUGAGCUUCGAACAUUGCAUUUUUGUGCUAGCACAUCGAGCUUUUCUUCCUUUGGCGUUAUCUCUAUCUUUCUAGAAGGUUUCUUAUUGUCUUCAAGUCUUUCCAAAGUUGACCGUCACUGAUGAGAGCUAGUCGUGUUGCGUUGUUUCUUAGGUUUUGACAACAUUUUGAAAACAGAGCUUUGGGAUGUUGGCGUAUUAAGCUUCUUGAAGAUGGAGGUUCGGUCUUGACCACCAAUGCUAUUAAGUGCCGAAAUUCUGGGUCUUAAACGAUUCAUCUUAUCGAAGACUGAUGUUCAAGGGGCGAGUUUAGGCUACUCUUGAUCUUGUUCAAUGGUCACGUUGAUGUGUUGAGCGCUAGCGUUUUUCGUUUUGCUUGAAAUCUUCAUGGGGGCAUUUGGUGUGAAGCCAAGUCCAGCUUUGUUGUUAUUAACUCCAUAACCAUGCUCUUUCAACUUCUUUUGAGUCUUGGUGAGGUCACGAUCUUUGUUGUUGACGAUGUUUGCAACCUUAUUUCCAGGAUUUAAAGAGGAAGCGAAGUCGUACCCAACCUUCGACAUGAGUUUAUAGGCGUUUGAAUCAAAACCUUCUUUGGUCCUUUUGGUCGGAAGAAAGCUUGGUUCCACCCUCUUUGGCAGAGCUUUUAUGAAGCCUUAUGGUGGUCUUACAACCUUAGCGUUGCCUAGCUGUGUUAGAGGCAAAACUACAUUCGUCUUGAGCAACUUUACAUCAUUCUUGUGCCGCUGUGUCUCGGCUUUGCUUGCUCUAGUUUUGAACAGGGAUUGACCAUUCUUUCUUCUCGACAUUGGGAUGUAUCAGAAGACGGGUGUGUUCGGUCCUUUUGAGGGCGUCCUACUCCCUUUGGUUGUUGCAGGUUUAGCAGGCUCAUCAUCGGUUUUGCUUAAAGAUGGCACAACUUUUCCUUCUUGCUUCUUGGGCAUGGCUUGCCACUCUUGCUUUUUAGGUAUUGCUUUGCCUGUGGAUUUAAUCUCUUUGGAAGAGCUUUGGGCACCAUGUUUUCCUCCAUGUGGAACUUGGCAUUUUCGAAGUGUGAUUUGGCUUCGGUGAAUGGCUUGGUAUCGCCUUGGAUCACCUUUAUUCCUCUUUGGUAGAAUUCUAAGCAUUGGUGGAGGGUGGAUAAUACUACUCCAUUCUCGCGGAUCCAAGGCCUUCCUAAGAGCAAGCUGUAGGAAGUUCUUGCAUUAAUCACGUGGAAUAUUGUGCUUAAUUUGAGUUCACUAAUGGUCAUCUCCACUCGGAUCAUGCCCAUCGCUCUUUGUCUUCCUUGAUUAAAACGUUGGAUUAAUAGAUGGCUUAGGGAUAGUUCAUCCACCUUGAUUCCGAUUAUGGUCAUUGUUGACUUUGGCAUGAUGUUUAUGGCCGAUCCACCAUCCACAAGCUUGCGAUUGACUUUGUGCUCCCUUACGUACCCAGAGAUGAAGAGCGAACGGUUGUGAGGCUUAGAUCCUAGUAGCAAGUCUUCGUCAGUGAAGUGGAUUGUGUCCUGGGCAACAUAACACGUGGCAUACUCAUGUGGCUGAAGUUUCAAGCAUACGUCAUUGCUUUCUUGCACUUCGUGGUCGUCGGGACUUGCCAAGACCGCUGCUAGUGCUCUUCGCAUUUUCUUUGGCAAUCGUAGUGCUUCCUCGAUGCUAACUUUGCCUUUUGACGAUAACUUUGCCUUUUGAGGGCUCUUUAAUCUCUACUUCAACCAUGUGACAGGCAAUGGUAGUGCACUGUUGGAAUAAGUCUUUCGGAAAAUACUUGUGCAAGGAGAUGGAAAUGCGUGGCUCUUACUCCAUAGGUUCCCCAUUGUAUGUUAGCUUAGCAGCUUUUACGUUUCCUUUGGGAUUCAUGUUGUUGUGGCUGCUGUGAUGUCCUCCUUGUUCCACCUUUGGCUGUGUGACUUGUGGUUUUGGCUUCCUUGUCUUUUUAUAUGUCACCAAUGUCCAUCUUUCUUCAUCAUUGGUAAGUGCAUUUUGGUCACUUGCCCUCAGCGAUGGUUGUGCAGAAGGUGUUGUGUGGCUUGAACAUUGACGUGAGUGGUCAUGCAUUAUUUGGAGAUGAAUAAAAUCAAAUGAUCUAAACACGAUCACAGUAGUGUGCGUUGUAGCCGUGUUUUCUAGGUCGAGUUCAAUUCGCCCUUGUUGUGCUAGCUUCAUGAUGAGCUCUUUGAGGAUGAAGCACUUGCCAACGAAUGACUUACGAUACGAUGGUACUUGCAGUACCUGGGAUCGUUAACGCGAUUCAUCUUUUUGGGUCACUUGUAUUCCGUUAACUCGAUCACCUUCUUUUUUAGUAAGUCGUCUAACAUUGCAGCCAUAUUUGAGUCAGGAAAAGGGUACAUCUUUUACUCCAGCUCUCUCAAGGUGUUUUUGCACCUGUCUUGGGUGCGAGAAGGCUUAUCUCUCUUUAUCUCAUUCGCUUUGUUCUUGGAGGAGAUCUUGAUGGGCGCAAAUGAGGUUUUAAUGGGGGUAGUGUUGAUAGUAAAAGCUUCAUUGGCGGGCUUCUUCCCAUGAUUGUCCACCUUCGGAGCAAAUACCUUAUCUUUCUUGAAGUUGGAUAUUGGCUUUUUUUUUCUUUCUAUGAUGGGCAAUGCUUAACUCCAUGUCGUGGGCGCGGGUGGCUAACUCUUCAAAGGUUCGUGGUUUGAUGCCUUGAAGGAUGUAGUGUAACCCCCAUGAUAUGCCUUGGACGCAUAUCUCGAUCGAUGAGAUAUCUGAGAACCUGUCUUUACAGUCGAGACUUAGAGUACGCCAUCGGUUGAUGUAGUCCACGACUGGCUUAUCCUUCCAUUGCUUCGUGCUUGUCAGCUCUAGCAUACUUACAGUGUGGCGAGUGUUGUAGAAACGGUUGAGGAACUCCAGCUCCAAUUGCUCCCAGCUGUUGAUGGAUUCAAGCUCAAGGUCCGUGUACCAGUCGAAUGCAUUCCCUUUCAAAGAGCGAACAAACUGCUUCGCGAGGUAGUCUCAUUCCGUCCUCGUGUUGUUGCAAGUUUCCACGAAAUGGGGGACGUGCUGCUUUGGGUUUUCUUUUCCAUCAAACUACAUGAACUUUGGUGGUUGAUAACCCCUCGGCAUUUUCAGGGCAUCGAUCUUCUUGGAGUAGGGUUUUGAGUACAUCAUGGAGGUAUGUAAGCUCCCUUGGUACUGCGCUUUGAUGAUGCUGGCGAUCAUCUCCUGUAGUUGUUGGAUAGAGAGAGAUCCCAUGAGCGCUGCUGCUUGGUCUAGCUCUAGCUUAUUUUUGACUUUCUCCACCGGAGGCUUCUCUUCUUCGUCGGCUUCUUUCUUUAGUGGAUCAACCUUUAAGUUGACUUUCACGUCAUACUGCACCUCCAGUUGGUUGGCGAGUGCGGUGAUUUGCAAGUCUUUCGCCUCCACAGUCCGUGUGAGUUUUAUGACCGCUUUAUUCAUUUGAGCCAGCUGCUCCUUGAUUCAAGUCGUUCAUGUGGUCAUGACUUGCAUGACUGAGCUAUUGCUCGAGUCGACAUCAGAAAGUAAGGACUCUGAGUACUUCAUCGGGCUUUCUUCUCUUGGCGCCUUUAGCGAGGCUAGGGUGAUCACGGACUCGUGCCUCGAGUGCUCUUGUUCAUUCGGUAGAGUUAAUGCAGGGGUGGAAGCCGCGACAGAGAGAGCUUUUGCCUUGCUUCGGGUUGUGAUGCCCAGUGUCCACUUAUGUGCAAGGAUUUUGUUGUCCUUUGCUUUGGUUGCAGAAACAGUUUGAUCAUUUCUUGAUGCCAUUUGUGUUUUUUUUACGGAUUUGAAGAUAGAGAUGAGAGGCAGAGAUGGUCCUACCGGGCGUGCUAAAUUUGUAAACACGAAUAUUCCUGCAAUGAAUGAGACAAGAACACGUGUACAAAGUAAUAUUUUGUAUUAAUUUUGGGGUACAAUCUCUUUUACAAUUUGAUCAUUUGCUUUUAUCUUUGUAAGACGUAGAUUUGUGGGUGGGCUAUUGAUCCAAAGGGGUCGUUGGGGCUUGAUCUAGGGAUGAACAAGUAUGAAUGGAUCUUCAAGGGCCUUUGGGGCUUGAUCUUGACGAACAGUUGUGUGAAUUUCUUUCAGGGCCGUUGGGCUUGAUCUUGAUGAACAGUUGUGUGGAUUUCUUUCAAGGCCGUUGGGCUUGAUCUUAAUGAACAAUUAUGUGGAUUUCUUCAAGGGCCGUUGGGCUUGAUCUUGAUGAACGAGGAUGAACGGAUCUUCAAGGACCUUUGGAGCUUAAUCUUGAUGAACGAUGCGGGGAUUUCUUCAAGGGCAGUUGGGCUUGAUCUUGAUGAACGAGGAUGAACAGAUCUUCAAGGGCCUUCAGGGCUUGAUUUUGAUGAACAGUUGCGUGGAUUUCUUCAAGGGCCAUUGGGCUUAAUCUUGAUGAACGAGGAUGAAUGGAUCUUCAAGGGCAUUUGAGCUUGAUCUUGAUGAUCGAGGAUGAACGGAUCUUCAAGGGCUCUUGGGGCUUGAACUUGAUGAACAAUUGUGUGGAUUUCUUCAAGGAUUUGACGAAGAACGAAGAGAGCUUUCUUGAUCCUUCGGGAUUCUUGGGAAUUUGGGAGGUUGGAUGCUUGAAAGCUUUAGAGUUUCAAAGUCUCAAGGAUUUGAGGAAUUCUCUUCCAAUUUAGGAGUAGAGAAAUGUAUAUGUGAAUUGAUCCCCCAAAAUGAAUGCCUUAGCCUUCUAUUUAUAGAAUUUUUUAAGGCUUAAUUUCGAAUAUAAUAAUAAGAUGAAAUGAAUCAUUUUUGCCAGAUAUUGACACGUUUCCUUUUUGAUGACUUUUCCAUUUUUUGUUAUGUGAUACGUGAACAUUGAAAUUUUAGUUCAUUGGUCAAUAUUUAUUUCAACGAAAUUUCGAUGUCUACAAAGUGUGUAGGUACAAACCUUUUGUUAUGAACUAGAGGCAUUGAUUUUAAUUUGGGAAAACUUUAUUAAGUUAGGCUAAGAGUCCCUAUGAAGUUUCAAUUACCAAUUGAUUUUUAGUUUUUAUAUUUUGUGCUUGAAAUAUAGGAAACUUUAGGUAGGAAGGGGCAAAUGGAGAUGAGUGGUGUGAUAGAAGAUAGGAAAUUGAAGAACAAUCAAUGCAACAAAAUCCAGAAAGUGAAAACAACUUAAAGUCAAUUUUAGUUUUCAUUUUUGUAUUUCUUUCCUUGAAUUCUUAUAUAUUUAUUCAGCGUUAUCUUCCUUCCUCCACUUUUCUAUGUCCCUCCCUUCUUCUAUGCAUUCCCCCUCCAUCACUAACAAAAAAAGAAAAACUAAAGUAAACAACUAAGUAAAUAUCAAAACAACCCUAAGUUGUUUGAUUACAUGGCUUAUUUGAUAUCCUGAAGCUCUCUUCAAGUCAACUAACCUAAUCGUUGUUGUGAUUAAGUAAUAAUUGAUAAGAUAUGGCCAAAGAGUGAUAUAAAUAAUCCAUAGAAAUAUCAGUCCUUUAUUCCUGGGAUAGAUCGCGACCAAAACAUACACGAAUAAUUGACAAAGUGGUCAUUUUCUGUGGGCGAAUUUCUAAGAGCAAGAUAAUGUAAUUUUUGUGUGUGGAUGAACUAACAAUUGUCAGUUGUAAAUAAUGCUAAUUGUCCAAACGUUUCUUUUGGUUAAUUGUCCUAAGAUUGGUUCAUGGCAUCUUAUUAAGAAGGGAUGAAGUCUGCUGCUUAACAGACAAAUCAAACGUACACAUCAAAGUGAAGAAAAAAACACAUUUGAAAUGUUCUUGUCUGGGUCCCUAAUUAAUUAGUGUCAAAUAGUUUCUUAAAGAAAAAUAAAUUUGGCCCCUUUGGAAUCUAUCCCUCCAUGGUCUCGUAAAGUGUGUUUAUACCAUAUUUAGGGCCUCGUAUUUAGACCUCGUAUAAAUACUCGAGGGACUUAAAUGUAAUUAUGUAAUAAAGGAAGGGGCAAAUAUGUAAUUAGGGGAGGAGCCCUUAUUCUAUAAAAGGGCAUCCUCACCCUCACAAACCCUAAGCCUCCUCACAUCCCCUAAGCUCUAAGCUCUCUCUCCCUCUUCAACAGAGAAAUAUAAUACAAUCAGUGUGGACGUAGCCCAAACCUUGGGGUGAACCACGAUAACUCUUGUGUCAUUUACAUUUCAUGCAGAUUCACGGUCGGAUUUACGUUGUUCCAAGACCUCCGGUUUUGUGCAUCAACAUUUGGCGCCGUCUGUGGGAAACGACACAAAAAACUAUGUCGGUUCUCUUUCAUUUUUUCAUCAAAUCUCACCACUAUGAAUCUGCAAAAUCUACAAAAUCAAUACUGCAAAAUCUGCAGAAACCCAGAACCUCCUUGGGCUUUUCCAGAAAACCCCCAUCCCAAAAGCCAAAAGCAAAAGCACACCAAAAAAGAAAAGGCAACAGCAUCAAAACCCAAAUCAUCUUCGAGAAGCUCGGGAUCCCGACCUCGCUCCCUCCAGAAAUCCCAGUCAGACGGAAUCCGCUCAUUCGUCUUGAAAAUCAACCGGUCCGACAAGCGCCGUGUGUUUCACCAGUACUUCCAGCACAUCCUCACCGUCGCCGACGAAAUUGAGCAGCGGAACAGAGAGAUCAAGCUCUACAUAAACCUCUCCAGCGAAAAUGAAAGGUGGCGAUCGGUUCCGUUCACGCACCCCGCCACCUUCGACACCGUGGUGAUGAACACUGAGCUGAAGAAUAAAAUCCGGUCUGAUCUCGAAAAUUUCCACGUUUGGAAGCGGAGCUUUUUGCUCUACGACCCCUCCGGCACCGGAAAAACCAGUUUCGUCGCCGCUAUGGCGAGGUUCCUGAGCUACGACGGGUACGACGUCGACAUGUCCAAAGUCGCCGACGACUCCGAUCUGAAAAUGCUUCUCCUCCAAACGACGCCGAAGUCGCUGAUCGUGGUGGAGGAUCUGGACCGUUUCUGGACGGAGAAAUUCACGGCUGUGAGUUUGUCCGAUCUUAAAAUACUUUUCCUCCAAACGAUUAUCCCAGUACGAGCUUGCUUUACACCUUGCACCUGACAUGCCAUCGUCUAUCGAAUUACGUUCUAUUUGUCAUUUAAACAGCGCAAUAUGCUUCUUGAAAUUGGAAAAAAUGAAGAGAGAAACUCACCAUCUGGAAUUAAGUUUGCAACGCUACACGAGCGAGGAUCUAAGUUGCAUUUGAUUUGAAGAUCUGGUGGAGCUUGAACACCAACUAGAGGCGUCUGUUAACAAGGUUCGAACUAGGAAGGAGGUUUCUGAGUUCGUCGUUAAUGGCGAAAGUGGGGAGGGACUGCAGGAUUUGUCACCUGAGCUUGGAUGCAACGAAUCAUGAAUCUGGGAUUCCUAUUGAGCUGGGGUGUUCUUGUAAGGCUGAUUUGGCUGCUGCCCACAAGCAGUGUGCUGAGGCUUGGUUCAAGAUCAAGGGUAACAAUGCGUCUGCUUUCUAAUUCACGACUUUGGUCAACACUCUCGGCAGAGACACUUGCCGGUCCAAGCUCUGGUCAACACUCCAGUCUUUGAGCAUAGCAGUCAUGGUGGCAGACGGCUCCUGAUCAUCGACAGACCAACGUGGCAAAGUCCUUAUUCCGUCUGAUUUCAGAAACAAUCUUCCUGCAAUACGCAGUGGAGGUACCAAGAAAAGCAGGUGGGUGGGGUCGAAGAGGUUGUCCAAAUAGCUGUGCCCUUAAUCAUGUCGUCAAGCGACAUAUCAAAAGCAGAAAAGAAGAAGGCAAAGAGAAAAGCAGUGGGAAACAGAAACAAAAGCAAAAGGAAAAGUAGAAAAGGAAAAGAGAAAAGCAAAAAAUCUUCCUAUUAUUAUGAUUUCUUAUGUCUGUCAGAUGAAGAGACAGAGAGUGCAGCAGAAAAACACUACAAAAACAAGGAAUAAACACCCCACCAGAAUGAUGUGUUUUACUUUCCUUAUUUUUUGAAUGAUGUAAUUUUCCUUAUCUUUCGGAAACAUCUGUAUAAACCCCAUCAAAGGGUAAAAAAAAAAAAAAAAAAAAAAAAAGAACGGCAAAACCCAAAAUAAAUGGGCUGGAAUGUUGUGGAGGGCGAAGGCCCAUAAGCCCAAAAUAGCUCCAACCAAGUGAUCAAAAGUACGCCCAGUACUCAACAAUUAUUCGGCAACCUGCCACUAUUAUCGCCAACCAGGUGACCAAAAGUACGCCCAGUACUCCACAAUUAUUCUGCAACCGACCGCUAUUACCACCAAUUACCACCAACCAGGUGAUGAAAUGUACAACCCGUACUCUAAUAUCAUUUGGCAACUAGCCAUUCAUGCCACCAACCAGGUGAUGAGAUGUACAACCCGUACUCUAAUUUGGCAACUAGCCAUUCAUGCCACCAACCAGGUGAUGAAAUGUACAACCCGUACUCUCCUUCAUGCCACCAACCAGGUGAUCAAAAGUACGCAUAGUACUCCAAAUUAUACAUGAGCAUUACUCAUGUCAUUCAUACAUAAACAUUCAUGAGCAUCACUCAUGACAAUCAUACGUAAACAUUCAUGACCAUCAUUCAUGUCAACAUUCAUGAACAUCACUCAUGUUAACAUUCAUGAGCAUCACUCAUGACAACAUCCAUGACCAUCACUCAUGUCAACAUUCAUGAGCAUCACUCGUGACAACAUCCAUGAGCAUCAUUCAUGUCAAUCAACAUAAACAUUCAUGAGCAUCACUCAUGUCAAUCAGCUUCAAAAGCUUCAUUUACAGAGCUUCAGCUUCAAAGCUUCACUUGCAAAGCUUCACCUACAAAGCUUCAGUGCAGGAUAUACAAAUACCGCCUCCGAACAACCGCCACUUCGGCCCAUAUAUGGAUUCAAUUUGAAGUCUCCAGCCAACAGACUCUAUUGACCGAAGACUUAGGGGACUACAUUAUGUACCAUAUAUUGGGCCUCAACUAGGCCUCAUGAAAAAAAUACUUGGGGGACUUAGCCCAUCACUUAUGUAUUGAGGAGUGAGCCCUUAUUUUAUAAAGGGACUCCCUCACCUUCAUUAGAGAACAACGCCGCCAGCUGAGCAACCGCCUCGCCGCCAGCAUCAACUCUAGCCCAUCACUUAUGUAUUGAGGAGCGAGCCCUUAGUUUAUAAAAGGGACUCCCUCACCAUCAUUAGAGAGCAUCGCCGCCAGCUGAGCAACCGCCUCGCCGCGAGCAUCAACUCUAGCCCAUCACUUAUGUAUUGAGGAGCGAGCCCUUAGUUUAUAAAAGGGACUCCCUCACCAUCAUUAGAGAGCAUCGCCGCCUGCUGAGCAACUGCCUCGCCGCGAGCAUCAACUCUAGCCCAUCAUUUAUGUACUGAAGAGCGAGCCCUUAAUAAAAUGGACUCCUUCACCUUCAAACGUCACAAGCCGAGCCAACCAAGGCAAUAUAAGCCACAAGCAGAGCUGCCUCGCAACAUGUGCUACUUCUAGUUGAGCAUCAUUUCACUUUGAGCACUACCUCAUAUCAAGUACCAGUUCAAGACGACAUCUAGUUACUUUGGCCCACACAUGGAUUGAAUUUCAAGUCUCCAGCCAAAAGACUCUCUUGACUGAAGACUUGGGGGACUACUGUUUAUACCAUAUUUAGGGCCUCGUAUUUAGGUCUCGUAUAAAUACUCGGAGGACUUAAAUGUAAUUAUGUGAUAAAGGAAGGAGCAAAUAUGUAAUAAGUGAGGAGUCCUUAUUCUAUAAAAGGACCAUUCACCCUCACACUUUGGGAGAGCCUGAUUCUCACCUUCAAAGGCCAAUUUCUUAGGCCAUGGAAGGGCUCUCUCACCCUCAGAAGCUCUAUCCAUCUCUCUCCUUCACUUCUCAGAGAAAUACAAUAUAAUCAGUGUGGACGUAGCCCAAACCUUGGGGUGAACCACGAUACAUCUUGUGUUAUUUACAUUUCAUGCAGAUUCACGGUUGGAUUUACGUUGUACCAAGACCUCCUGUUUUAUGCAUCAACAUUUGGCGCCGUACUCUAAUUUGGCAACUAGCCAUUCAUGCCACCAACCAGGUGAUGAGAUGUACAACCCGUACUCUAAAUUGGCAACUAGCCAUUCAUGCCACCAACCAGGUGAUGAAAUGUACAACCCAUACUCUCAUUCAUGCCACCAACCAGGUGAUCAAAAGUAUGCCUAGUACUCCAAAUUAUACAUGAGCACUACUCAUGUCAUUCAUACAUAAAUAUUCAUGAGCAUCACUCAUGACAAUCAUACAUAAAUCAUUCAUGACCAUCAUUCAUGAGCAUCACUCAUGUUAACAUUCAUGAGCAUCACUCAUGACAACAUCCAUGAGCAUCACUUAUGUCAAUCAACAUAAACAUUCAUGAGCAUCACUCAUGUCAAUCAGCUUCAAAAGCUUCAUUUACAAAAGCUCCAGCUUCGAAAGCUUCAUUUACAGAGCUCUAGCUUCAAAGCUUCACUUGCAAAGCUUCACUUACAAACCUUCAGUGCAGGGUAUACAAAUACCGCCUCUGAACAACCGCCACUUCGGCCCAUACAUGGAUUAAAUUUGAAGUCUCCAGCCAACAGACUCUAUUGACCGAAGACUUGGGGGACUACAUUAUGUACCAUAUAUUGGGCCUCAUGAAAAAUACUUGGGGGACUUAACCCAUUACUUAUGUAUUGAGGAGCGAGCCCUUAUUCUAUAAAAGGGACUCCCUCACUUUCAUUAGAGAGCGCCCAUUAUUCAUGUACUGAGGAGUGAACCCUUAUUUUAUAAAAGGGACUCCCUCACCAUCAUUAGAAAGCAACGCCGCCAGCUGAGCAACCGUCUCGCCGCGAGCAUCACUCAUAACCCAUCAUUUAUGUACUGAGGAGCGAGCCCUUAUUUUAUAAAAGGGACUCCCUCACCAUCAUUAGAGAGCAACGCCACCAGCUGAGCAACCGCCGCGCCGCGAGCAUCACUCCUAACCCAUCAUUUAUGUUAAGGAGCGAGCCCUUAUUCUAUAAAAUGGAUUCCCUCACCUUCAAACGCCGCAAGCCGAGCCAACCAAGGCAACAUAAGCCACGAGUCGAGCAGCCUCACAGCGUGUGCUACUUCUAGUUGAGCGUCAUUUCAGAUUGAGCACUGCCUCAUAUCGAGCAUCAGUUCAAGACAGCAUCUAGUUACUUCGGCCCACACAUGGACUGAAUUUCAAGUCUCCAGCCAAAAGACUUUCUUGACUGAAGACUUGGGGGACUACUGUUUAUACCAUAUUUAGGGCCUCGUAUUUAGACCUCGUAUAAAUACUCGAGGGACUUAAAUGUAAUUAUGUAAUAAAGGAAGGGGCAAAUAUGUAAUUAGGGGAGGAGCCCUUAUUCUAUAAAAGGGCAUCCUCACCCUCACAAACCCUAAGCCUCCUCACAUCCCCUAAGCUCUAAGCUCUCUCUCCCUCUUCAACAGAGAAAUAUAAUACAAUCAGUGUGGACGUAGCCCAAACCUUGGGGUGAACCACGAUAACUCUUGUGUCAUUUACAUUUCAUGCAGAUUCACGGUCGGAUUUACGUUGUUCCAAGACCUCCGGUUUUGUGCAUCAACAAAGUGUAUACACUACAGCCUAAAAAGGGCAUCAGGUAUAGUGCAUAUGAUACAAACAACUUCAUUCCCAAAAAGGCUAUCACGUCAAACUAAUGUAAUGAGAGAGAUAUACACAUGAAUGUGUCAAACUAAUAUAAUGAGAGAGAUAUACAUAUGAAUGUAUACACUUGGCCAUGUGUAAGAAUCUCUUGUCAUCAUUUUAGAGGUGUUACUGGCUGAUGAUCCAGUUGUUAUCCUCUUGAGGAUGAAGCUUAUUCAGAUUUUAGAAAAUUAAACUAAGAGCUGCAAGUUAAGUAAACAAAAAGUUGGCGCCGGCCUUUAUCUAAUCAAUUUAUAUGAAAAAUAUAAUUUUGUUUCUUUUGUAAUUGGUUGAAGACCUGAUCCAAUUACCGUCACAUUAGAGAUAAAUAAAAAUAUAUGGAUCAUGAACAGUACUUGUGCUGGUGCCAUGCAUGCAUACCAUGGUCUAAAAUAUCGAUGAUAUCGGAAAUAUCGGUAAUCCAAAAAACACGGAAAUUUCGAUGGAAAUAUCGGGAUAUUAUCGAUAUUGAUAAAAAUUGAAUAAAAAUCACGGAAAUUGUAAGAAAAACUUGGAAAUUUUUAUUGAAACUUUGCAGGAUGUUUAUUUGGUCAAUUAUCUAUUAGUUUAUCACAAAAAAUUGGAAGGAAAUACUUUGCAUGAUGGAUUUAACUGAUUUAAGUUGAUUAUAUAGCGAGCUGGCAAAUAUUGUGAGUGUAGAAAAUAUGUAGUAAUUAAUGAAAGAAGUUUAAACACACCAUAAUCAUUAAUAUAUAAUGAAUUAGUACAAUAUUUUACACUUUAUACAUUGCAUGGUAAGAUACAUGAGUGACUUAGUACCACAUCGAGUUCCUAUGAGGUUCAAAAUUUUCACUAUCUUCAUCAUCUCUAUGUGUAGAGUAAGUGUAUUGUGAAGAGUAGUCAGUAACCAUGACAAUGACUUUCAAGAACCAAAACCCAAAAGUCAAUAGGAAACCGAAUACUUCGGUAAUUUUUCGGGAUUUCAGGAUUACCAAACAAAUGGGAUUUGGAAGCCAAUCCCAUAUCGAAAAUUUCGGUAUUUUUCAGGAUGGGAUUCCCGAACUUCGGGAUGGUUUUGGUUUGGGAUUUUUCGGUUUGGGUUUGGGACUUUUUCGGUUUGGUUUGGGAUUUUCGGGAAUUUUUUCCAGCCCUACAUGUAAGUGACCAAAUAAAAAAUAGAAAAAUUAAAAACCACAUGCCAUUGACUAAGUAAUUAAUUGACACAAUUUAAAAUAUAAUACCACAAAAAAUUUGGAAUAUGUGCAAAUUUGUUUCUUGCAAAAAGAAUCAAAACAAAACCAUAUAUAUAAAUAUUUUAGCAUAUUUUCACAAAAACAUAAAUGAUAUGGUGGUCAAGGCGUUGAAGUAGUCAAAUGGGAGGGGUUUGAAUCCAUCUGUGCGCAAGAUUGAGACUUUUCAAAAAUUUUCAAGUAUUUUUGGGUUGCAUAUCGCGAUAUUAUCGCGGUAUAUUAACAAUAAUUAAGGAGAUAAAUCAUGAAAUAUCGAUAUUAUCGAUAUUUUGGUUCAUGAUGCAUACUGAAUACUUUGUGCUUUAAUAAAUUAAUGGAUAGUACCAACAUAUUGGAGCUCUCAGCUGUUCAUAUUAAGUAUUAACUACAGUUUGAUCUCUCAUUUGCAAACCUUCAAAUCCCAAAUCCUAGCUGGAGUAGGAGAUCAUGGAUUUGCAGGUCAAAUGGCAAUCUUAUUUUACAACGCAAGUUCUAAAACCCAAUUGGACAAUUCAACCUUUACAGUCCUUAUUUAUAGAGACCUCGUGCAUGACAGCUUUUCUUGAGGCUUGCUUUGAUCAUUUGUUGCAGCCGCAUGAGCUGCAGCUGCAGUUUGAGCCACACUUGCAGUCAUUUUCUGCUCCAUAGUUCAUCUCAGACCCCUCAAAGGACCUGCAAUAAUAAUAAUUUAACUUCAUUUUUUAAUAGUCCUAUUUUCAGCAUAUAUAUAAGGGAACUUUAACGAAAAACUUCCAGUACUGUUCAUUAGUUUUCAUUAGUUUUCAUUAUAUAAUUCAUGAAAUUAAAACAAUGUUUCAAAGAGUUUAUCAAAGGGCAAUAUGGGCAAAUAGAAACUAGGGGACACUAAGUAAACAACAAAAGUAUAUAAAUCACGAUUCAACAAUAUUAUUGUCUGUUUAGUGUUAUUCCAAUUCUAUUUAUUACAAAAAGUUAGUAACCGAUUUUAUUCAGGUAUAUUUGUCUUUUAAAAAUCUUACAUCUUCACUGGUGCAACCCCAGCAAUGAUGGUAUCAAUGGAAGUGGUCUGAGUAACCCAAGUCAAUGUGCAUCCCACAUCUACACAUAUAUACAUAAAGAGAAAACGAUAUUAUUAAGAAAAUAUAAACAAAAUAAUUAAUUCCUAGUUAAGAACAUUAGGAAUGAUAGAGAAUGAUGAUCGAUCACAUAUAUGGUUAAUUAGGGGUAUAGAAGAUUACUUGCAGCCACUGCCGCACUUGCAGUCACUACCACAGCUACAACUGGAAGACAUUUUCUCCAAAAGUUGGUAUAAGGACAAGGAGAAGAUUAAUUGUUCUAGUGCUGGGAACUGAAUUAACUUCAAAGCUGGGAUGAGUCUUCUUGUGAGGGUCUUAACUGCUAUUUAUAGUGCAGUUUAAGAUUGAAGUGGUCGAGAUCCACCGUACACGUGGAUCAAUUGUAUAUAUCUAUGCUAAUUAAUAAAGUUUAUAGAGAUUACUUGCUUUGUCGAACAAUCCAAAUUCCUAUACAAAUUGAAUUUUUUUUAGUGCGAGACGUUGUCAAGUAAUGUUAUUAACAAUUAUAUGAGGGCUAGAAGAGGCUUGUAUUUUUAGACCUUGCUUGUUUUUUAUGUGCUAAUUUAAUGCUUAUAGCAAAAAUGUUCGACAUAUUUGGGUUAUAGACCAGCUGGUCUACCACCGUGUCCAUCCAUGCAUCAGUGGUUCCUUUUUAUGCACAAGACGUAUAUGAAUUGACAAAGUGGUCAUUUUCUGUAGGUAAAUUUGUAGGAGAAAAAUAAUGUCAAUUGUUUUCUUUUGGCCACGAAGUUGUCUUAAGGCAUGAAGUCUACUGCUUAGCAGAAUAGCAGAAAACACAUAUUAAAUGUUCUUUUCUGGGUCCCUUAAUUAAUCUGUAAUAUUUUUCACAGACAAAUAAACUUGGUGGCCCCUUGGAAUGGAUUCAAUUGUUAUCUUAUACCCUAAUAUCUAGGAUGGUCGAUGCUAUCCAAGACAGUCGGAAAAGGACUUCAAAUCAUUUUAUAUGAUGCAAUUUUGUCACAAAAAUUCCCAACCAAUCAAACUAAAGUUCAUAACGUUCUGGGGCAAGUUACCUCAUCAAAUUAUUGGCGCAAUUUGGUUAUUUUAUUGUUACCAAAAAGGGAUUAAAAAAAGAACUAGCCUAAGCUAGCUAUCUCGUAAAAAAUAUGAGUUGCUCACAAGUUUUUCAAGAUGAAUAUACUCAUGUUGAAGCUUGAUUUGUUUCUUAAUCGAGCCAAAUUAGUUUUGGCUUGUUUUCUUCUUGAGCCAAGCUUCAACGAGUCAAACAUGAACCAAACGCAAUUAAUUAUGAAUCGAUCGGUUUUGAGCCAAUUUGAAACCCUCUGAGAAAAUGGUAAUCAGUGAGCCCUUUCUCUUGUUGGCGUUGUCUCCUGUCUCGAAUCUGAGCAGUCGUGUUGCUCUCCACAAAUAAGAGGAGGGUGAGAGAUUGACUUUAGAUAUGAAGAUAAGUGCACACUGCUCUCAAGGCACUAAAGUCGCAAAAUCUUUGUCCAUCUUUUAGGGAUAAAGACACACCAUUCCUCCAUUUUUUUGUGGGUUUGAUUUACUUUCUUUUAGUUAGUUCGUCUCACAUGUUCUGUGGAGUAAAACAGAAAAGAUAUUGCGACAAGGAGACUCCCUCCAAUUAUUGAUCCACCUUUCAUCGGGUGGGGCAUCAAGGGCUUCUAUACCCAUAUUGUGGAGCCAGCCAGUGCGGAAUAUUUUUGGUCACCACCUUUAAGUGAUGGAACCCUAUGUAUUACAAUUGAAUGAGUUUAAAUUUUGAGAUCUUUUUAUUUGAUAAACUUAAAUCUAAAAAAAUUAAAUUCAUCUAACGGUGAUAAAUAAAGACGGUGAGCAAAAAUGCACCUGUAAUUGUGACUUAAAAGUGAAGGGAUGAUAUUCUCUUCAAAUCUCUUCACCUCAUCCUCACCUGUCCUUUUCUUUUCCAUCUUUUGUUAUCAAAGGUUCUCCAUUUACCUUCUCUUUCCUUUGAAAAGAAGAAAAAGAAAGAAUUCCUCUAAAGUUAUUCUAACUUGCUGAUAUCUUAUGUAACGAAUAUCAAAUAUUAAGGGAAAUGAAAAUCGCAAAUCUUUUUUUUUUCUUUUCUUUGCGUACUUGUGUUUAUAUUUAGCUUUUUGAUUGAAUAGAUUGGAAAAAAAAAAAAAUCAACAAGUAUAAAAUAAAGAAUAGCGUCCAGAUGCAUAAAAAGAUUGUUUGGAAAUGAUCUCCCAAUAUUAAACUUUAUUGUAUAAAUUUUCAUAUAUAUACCGUUACAUAAGGAGCGAGAUAGAGAGAUUUAAGGAGCCGAAGGCUAGUGGUAGAAUAUGGGACAUGCACACACACACACGUGAAAGACAAGAAGAAAAACAGAAGUCCAUCAGAUAGCAAAAGCUGAUGGAUAAUGGAUGGGUACCAAUUUCUUGCAAGGAUAUACACAGAAAUGACAAGGACAGAUUUAACAGAAGAUAGAAGCCUCAAAAAUCACAGUAAUGAGCUUCAUCUUCAUUUCAUUCCGGGGGUUCCAACACAGAGAGUGUGAUACAAUUUUUUAGAUUGGGAAAGUUUUCUGGCGUGACUAUAACACCGUCACAUAGUAUUACCAAUCACAUCGUUCAUUUAUAUAAUGAUACAUGGAUUAGUAACAACAUUGAGAUGUGACCAUCACACUAAAAAAGUUCUCCUGCAUUUCAGUGUCAUGAACUAUUUGCUAUUUUGUGUGUGGAGGAAGCCAGGCCACCACUAACCCGUAAACCCUAAACCCUAACAUGACGCCUCGGACCACCGACAGAAAAAUCCACUGUUCAUAACUGAAAUAUAUAUACAUUGGUAUACUGAAACUGAACAAGAAGUGAUGUUUCCAAAUUUCUUUUUAGCCUGAGAGUGAAAGCUUAUUGAGAGAGCUUGCAACGAGAGGAAGGGGUAGAUCAGAGAGCACAAAGAGCAGAGCUCUGCAACUGGUUUCGUCGAUGGGCUGGAAAUGAUUGAUGGGCUUGUUUCCGACUAAAUUAUUUCUUCAUAAAUCAUGGCUAGAAUACAUGAAGCCAUGAAACCAAUUGGUCCAAGAACAAUGAGAUAAUUUUGUUUCUACUUUGUACCCAAAAACAAAAAAAACAAAAAAAACAAAAAAACACUGAAAUAUAGUGUUAUUCUUUGUAAAAAAACUUACACAAUGUUCCUCUUUAAUGUAGAAUACAUCUUACACCAUUUAAGUUUGAGGUGAUUUUCAAAACGGGUGUGAAAUGUGGUUAGCCCUAAAACCCUAAAAUGUCUUCCAAGUUUUGACAUGAAUUGAGAAUCAUUUGGUGCAGGUAUGGAUCCAAUUUUUUUCGUAUUUCAUUUCUAUUUUACGAUCAAGGUAGGUCAAGUCAGCUAUUCGUAUUUAUUAAGGAAAGCAGCUUGAGAUCUCUGGUUUCAACAAUAUUAAAUAUAAAUAACUUCAUCUAAUAGUUCAUCAAAGAUCAAUAAUAAAUAGGUUUAUUUAUAGAUCACAUAAGAAAUAGGUUUAUUUAUAGAUUUGCCAACCGUCUUUUAGUCUCACCUCCAAAACUGCCUAAAUCGAGCUAUUUCACCCUAUUUUUGUCAAUUCUGUCUCAUGGACGUAAAAUGGAAGAGCAUUUCGGACAUUUAAUACCAUGCUAGUAGCGAUGAGGUAUUGUGGUUGACGAAAUAUGAAAUUUCCAAACUGCCGUAAACCUCUAAAAUGCCAAAUCGGCCAACGUGGAAGUAAAUGGGUGAAAUGGCUCGAUUUUGGCACUUUCAAGGGUUAAAGUAAGACAAAUCCUGUUUCAAGGGAUAAGGUGAGACCAAAGAAUAGUUUUAGGGGCAAUCAAUAAAUAAGCCUAAUAAAUUUUCUCGAAACUGUUACAGGGUUGAUUAGGAUUUGGAGUUUACUAUCUAAGCGAACUUAUUGAGCUAUUAAGCCAAAAUGGUCAUUGAGAUUUGCAUAACACCUCACUUUGGUCCCUGAGAUUGAAAAUCAAUAGAAAUGGUCCCUGAGAUUGUCCACCAUCCAUUAUUUUGGUCAUUCCGUUAAAAACUCCAUUAAGUGUCUUGGAGCUCUUGGCCAAAAGUUUUGGCAAUAUUCAAAGCUUCGUAACUCAAUUGUUUAUUAACCAAAUUCGACCCAUAAUAUAUCAAAAUGAAGAUAGGAAAGUAUAGAAGAAGAUUAUACCUAUUUGGAAGCCAAAUGGUUGCCAGAGAUGUUCAGAAAAUAGCCUGAAAGGUGAUUGGUCCAUGGGAAAACUGGAAAACUUGCCGGAAACUGGGUAAACUUUAAAUGUCCAUAACUUCUUCAAUACUCAACGAAAUCAAGUGAUUCAAAAAAGAAAAUCAUACUUUUCGACAAGACGAAGAGAAUGGUAUCUUUCUGGAUGGCUAAAUAGCCGUGGUAUGGCCGGAAAACGGCUCGAAAGUGGAUGUCUUGGUCUCGAGUUAGCCACUUUCGAGCCAUUUUCCGGCCAAACCAAGUCGAAUUAGCCAUCAAGAAAGGUACCAUUCUCUUUGCCUGGUUGAGAAGUAUUAUUUUUGUUUUUGAAUGACUCGAUUUUGUUGAGUAUUAAAGAAGUUAUGAACGUUUAAAGUUUACCAGUUUCCGGCGAGUUUUCCCGCUGACUAGUCACUUUUCAGGCUAUUUUCCGGCCAUCUCCGGCAACCAUUGGGCUUCCAAAUUGGUAUAAUCUUAUUCUACACUUUCCUAUCUUCAUUUUGAUAUAGUAUGAAAUGAUUGAGUUACGAAGCUAUGAAAAUUGCCCAAACUUCCGGCCAAGAGCUCCGGGACACUUAACGGAGUUUUUAACGGAAGUACCAAAAUAAUGGAUGGUGGACAAUCUCAUGGACCAUUUCUAUUGAUUUUCAAUCUCAGGGACCAUUUUGGCUAAAAAGCCCACUUACUGAAGUUCUAUUCAUGAUCCUAAUAUUACAUUAAUCCAAAUUUGAGGCUUUGCUCAAUAUUAAUCUAAUGUCGAGCUGCAUGAUAGAAAUUCCCAGCAAUUAAUGAAAUGUAGUGGAAGUUGGAAGUAGAGGUCCCUAUUAUCUAGAGAAAUGUAGUUAUUACAAGAAAAGAAAAGGUUGGCGGUAAUACAGGAUUAACGGCUGGUGCCAUCUUCAACACUUACCACAAAUUUUGAUUGAUCCAUCUAUAAGACGAAUCAUCGUCGGAGUUAUAUCCGUUUACAAACAUCAAUAGAUUAAUGUUCAAGAAUAAGAAGGCGCGUGCUGGGCCAGGUACGUAGGAACCUUUAACAUCCAUGACAGGAGCAAGGAGCACUACUAUGAAGACCGUGAAGAAAAAUCACAUGGCAUAAAAAAAGAUGCGAAGCCAUAAAACGUGAUACACUGUCAGUGCAACACCAGCCAGGAAUGACGAGGACAACAUGGUAAGCGUUACACCUGGCGCCGGUAAGGUAAACCUCAAGGCAGCAUAGAUUAUACUAGGGUCAUGCGUUUGUGCCCACAUAAGGGCAAUUGAAGCAGUAAUGGAGCCGCACAUCGCCACGGUAUUGCAUAUCAAGAAAAUUUUGAAUAGGAUAUGCGUAAGAAAAAUUGGGGUGCCCACAUCAUUUCCAGAGCUACUGUAUCCACAUGGUAUUGUGAAGCCUUGAACAAACGUUAUACCAGCCACCAGCGUUGACACCAAUAGGAGAGUAUUGACACUCUCUUUCGAAAACAUUAGGCUAUCAGAUUGUGCAAGGACUUCAGAACAGAAUCCUCUAUCACUAGAUUUGCUUUGGUGGCUGUUCGCUCUUCAGAUCGUGGAGAAUUAGCCAAGGUCAAGGUCAUAAGUGUCAGUUUCUGCAAGAAAUAAACGAAAGUUUCAGUUCUUGACCAAGUUGUUAUCAAUAUGUAGAUCUUGGAUGACAAACAAGAGAAACGAUUAUUAAAAUAAAGGCCAUAAGGGUCAGCUUCUGCAGGAAAAAUCGUAUGUAAUCAGGAUAUCCUCCCCUCUUUAUCUCUCAUAUGCAAUGAGAGGGGCAAGAAGGGGAGACAUAUACCUCUGGUUAAUUAAUUACGUUGUAGAAUUCUCUCCUAUGUACGACAUACUUGUUGGUAGUUGUAGUGUCACACUGUGUAGGUAAAGGAAACUAAUCGAAACAAUGCGUUGAGAAAUUACGUACUCUCCGAAACAACAUCUCUUUAUCUACCUCGGUCUUCUCUGCAAGGUCCAAUGCCGUCAUACCUGCAUUGUUCAAACUAUUUAAAUUGGCUCUCUCAUGCGCAUGGAAGGGGGAAAGAAUUUUGACAAUCUUAGGAUGCCAGUUUUGGACGGCUAUGUGUAGAGGGGUAUUUCCACUUUGAUCUCUUUGCUUGCUAAGCACUUGAAGAUUGCGCUUUCCAACAAUAUAUUGGACAACAUUAACUCUUCCAUGCGCGGCCGCAACAUGAAGAAUAUUCCGGCCUUCACCGUCACAUGACUCCCUCAAGUCGGGGCAAUGAUUGAGAAACUCUUCAACAAUCCUGCAAUGGCCUUUUUUGGACGCCACAUGUAUGGGAAGGAACUGAUUUUCGUCACCUUUGUAUGCCAAUCCAGUAAAUUUGUGUAACAAUACGCGUACCGCCACGAAGUUACUUAUAUAAGCCGCAAGUGUAAGAGGAAUCAUCCACUCUUGUUCCGUUGAAUUGAUUAGGUCAGCUGAAUCCAUUUUGCUCAAUAUCGUCUCUAGGAGAUCUACGUAGCAUAUGCAUUUUAGAAGCAACUCUGUCAAGAAUAAGUAUUUAUGAAGAGAGAAAUGGAAAGGGAUCCUCUCUGGAUCCCUUCUUCCUAAUCCACCAAAUUAGUGGAUCAAUGCCAUUAAAAAUUUGAUCUAACGGCUACAAACAGGAGCUCACUUUAAUAAUUAUAAUAACUUUAGCCGUUGGAUCAAAUUUCAGUAGCACGGAUCCACUGAUUUGGUGGAUUAGAAGGAAGGGAUCUGGAUCCCUUUCCGAGAGAAAUAAAUGAAAGGUAAAUUGUCAUAAUGCCAUAUUACAAAGAGUUAGAGCAUCUCCAAUAGCGUAAGAAAAUGAUUUUGAUGAGCCACGUGGAUAAAACGUUGCUCUUGCUCCAAUGGUAUGUGCAAUUGAGUAGGAAAUUUUUGCUCAUUCCCACAAAGUAAGCAAUAUUAUUGACUACUUCAAUAUUGUAUGCUGAUGACAUGAAAAUGGCAAAGACAGAGCCAUACUUGUAUAAUUCUUUCUGGUGGCUCUGGGCAGCCACCAUUGAGAAUCUAUACGCUUAAAAUACAUCCUGUAUACAACCCCGGCCAGCAAAAAGAGUGGACUGAUGAGAAAGCAUAACAUGAGCUUGACCAACUCGAACACUGGACUACUUUCCUUUAGUCCACCUUUUGCUAUAUUUGUACCCCAUGCCAAAAUUUAAAAAGAAUACUCAUUACUAGCUAUAUGUACCAAAAACAAAAAGUACUCACGAGUACACCAAAAAGAAAAAAAGGUAACUGCAAAAUGCUUAAUAUUUACCCUGUUUCCUCCAUAUGAUCGCACUACGAAGAAUUGAAUUGCCGUUCGAUCCUUGCCAAAAAUUACCAGAAUUAACGUCUGCUGUGCUAUUUGGCGUGUUGGCUACCAUUGCUUUAACGAGUUCAAAAUUGGCAGUUUCAGCAGCCAUGCACAAGGGAGUCUUACUGAAGUUAUUUGUAGAAUGCGACGUGGAUCCAUCUUUGCCGACCAAAAACAUAGCCACAUCUUGAUGAUUAUUUUCCACAGCGACAUGCAACGCAGUGUUUCCUCUCCUGUCCUUUUCAUUAAACGUAUCACCUUGAGCCGUGUCUACCAAACAAUGAACUGCGGAUAGAUGGCCAGCGGAUGCAGCUACAUGAAGCGGAAGUUCUCCAUCAUCAAUUUUUUUGCGGACAAGCCCCGGAAAAUUUACGGUAAUUAGUUGGAUAAGCUUCACGUGGCCUGUAUUUGCAGGAAGGUGAAGCACCGUGUUCCCACGGAUGCUUACUUUGUUUUCACUACUUAGGACCAGCGAUACUAUUUGAUCAGGAAUAUUACAUAUAAGUAUUGCACAUGUGGCUCCGGCAAAAUACUUUGUGCGCAUAGCCCAUAUAAACUCUUGACGGAGGCAAAUACACUGUAAAGUUACUCCUGAUUUAGGCAUCGUUGCAUACCUGUGUAGUAUAGGAUCCAUGCGCGUGUCGCCUGCCUCGGUGUGUCCUGCAGCGUUCUCAUGAGCACCCUCCCUCGCCAGUUAUUUGAUCUUCUGGUCUUGAACUCCAGCCAACAUCCUCCAUUGCUAUUUCACCUUGUCUUAAACUUGAAGCAGCCAUUAAUUUGCAGAUUAGCUACAUAGGUGCUUUUCCCACGGAGAAAAUAUGACUCUUGUUUACUGUACGAUUUUUGGAGUCUUGAGUCUCGCACAUUUUGAGGGGGUCCUCCAUAUGGAAGACCACUGUCGCCUUCCAAUGCAAGUUGCGGAACUAUUAUAUAUGACAACGUGGUUGACUGACCUAAAAAACAACAGACUAAUGAUACACUUAAUACAUUUUUUUAUAUAAUAUUUGUAUCAUCUCUUUAAUAGGAGUAGCACCCACCAACACAUGUAGAUCUAUACAAAAGUGAUAUUGACACACCCGAUCCUGAUAUUCUCCCAAACACCAGAGUAGGCACGUGCUAGCCGACACUCAAAGGUGACGAAGCCAUAUUAGAAAGCAUGAGAACAAGAAAGAAAUAAGAUUCAUAAAUUGAAAUAUAAUGAAUAUGCAUUUAAGGAACGUGUUCAGAGCACACAUCUAAUCUAGAACACUAAAAGAAAUAAUAUAAAAAUUGAAUGAACAAAUGAAUGGGUCCUACAUCGAGAGGACUCGAAGAUGUCGAUAUGAAAGUGCCUUGACGCCGGGAUUGUACGCCUCGAUUCUAAGUCCUGAGGGGGCGCAAAACAAACAUGAGUGGACUGAUAGGAUUAAAAGCACACCACAAAGUAGCACACAAAUGUCCUAUUGAUUUUCCUUAUUAACACUAAGAUUUGUCAAUUGUAGCAUAUGAAAAUAAGGGUCUUUCCUGCAGAAGAUUGUUUUAUCUAACUACUUAAAAUGUCACAAAAACUGGUUGUUGUCCCUGCUGUCCCUACUAACAAACUUGCAAUCAUAUCCGGGGCUUCAAAACAGCCCCUAACUACUAAAAAUUUAGUUACACAUUAUUAUCAAAUAAAACCGAAAGAAAGACAUGAGUUUGAGAAGACAAAACCGAGAGAAGGGAAUGCCAAGAUUUCCUCCUUCAUUUCCUUCCUUUCCGCAAAGCUGCCUUGUCCUCUUUCUUUUCUAUUUUUUUUCCUUUCUCUUCUUUUUCCAACGCUGCAACCUGCACCCUUUCCCCUUUUUAACUUGCUGCCCCAUUUUCUUCUCCUUAACUCACCCACUAACAGCCAUUUAGUGAUGGCAAUAAGUGAGAGGAAAUGGUAAAACAAUUGUAACUCUUUGGGUAGCGUUUAUGCCAAUUACUCCCACUUAAUCCUCAUCUUUAUUUUCAUUUCCUCUGAUAUUUGAAUAGGUAUCAACUGGCUUGUUCUUGGCUGCAUCAGUUUUGGCUGCUAGCUUUAUUGGGUUUAUUGCUUUCAUUGUAGUUACAAACUGCCCAGUCUCUUGUGAACCUUUCAGUGUUAAAACAGCCAUAACUUCUUCUACAAAAAUGAUAUUAACAAUCCGCGAAAUGUUCCAACAAAUAGACAUCCGUAGCUUUCCAAGCAUAUAAGGCUCAUUCUCUAAUUCAUUUUGAGUUGUUCACAACUAGCUUCCAAAGUCAGCUGACCUGCACAGACAGUUUUGACGAAUUUGUUACUUAAAAUCCCACUUGUGCUAUUUUUCUUUUCUUUGCUUGACAAAUCCUAGAAAACACAAAAACAAAGUAAAUAGCUCAAAAAUAUAAGGAACUAACUAAGAAAAGACAAGUGAAUUUGAUGUAAAGUAUAUAUAAAUAUGAGUUUAUCAAAUACCCCCACACUUAGCUUUUGCUAGUCCUCGAGCAAAACGAAGAAAAUAUUAAAAAGUAGCAACAUGAAAAACAAUAGCUUCCCCCUAUGUGACCCUCAUAGAAUUUCAUUCAAGAAAACAAAUCAUCAAGACCCUUAGCUAGUACCAAACAAGCUAAUCAAGCUCAUCUUCCUUAUUCAAAUGUUAGCAAUAACCUUUUAAUCAUCCAUGAAGUGUAGUGUGUGUAAUAGUCAUGCUAAUGCAAUUUCAAGUUUUUUUUUAAAACACCACAUGCUAACUAGUGACCUUCUUACGGAACAUACACUCAAUCACACAUAUUUAGUUUAACGUGUUUCGCUCAAAGAAUCAAAUGUGAAAGAUCUACCAUAAGCUUGUAUAAAGAUCUCAUCUCCACAAUCAUAAUUGCAAAACUUAAAUCAAGAGGACUUUUAUUGGUUGUAAUGAGGCUUAGGAAGAGGGUUAUAGAAAUGAAAGGAUAGGUAAACACAAGUUCCAAGCUACAUUGCAAGCAAUUCUCUUGUUGAGAUUUACAAGAACUCAAGCUCUCCAACCACUCUACUAAUACCUCCAACCACACCCCUAAACUGAAACUAAAAAAAAAACUUUUUAUUUACUUUGUAUACUUUUUUUUUCUUUCUUUUUCUUCUUUUUCUUCUUUUUCUUCUUUUUUUUUUAUUUUUUUUAAUUUUGAAUCAAUUUUGCACAUAACUAAAUACAAACAUGAAAUACCCCCACACUUAUUCUUUUUCCAAACUCCUUCAAAGUACUUCACAAACAUUUCUCAUAAGACAAUCUCACAUUGCUCACUAGCCAGCUUGGAAAGGGUAAGGAAAUAUGUUAAAGGUAUAAGGGUAGACAUAUCUGGUGAUAAGAAAUAAAAGGCUCAAUAUAUACGGCUCAAAUUGGCAAUCUAAUGAUAUCAUUUCUCUUUAGGAAACAUGCUUAUUUGGGUCAUGGUGAUAAACCUAAUGCCUCUACCUUUUCAAGUUCAUGCAAUCAAAUGACAAACAUUUCAAAAGAUCGUUACGCAAGUUCUAGAGAUGUAAGUCACAUAAGUUCAUCACACAUGAAAGAAUAUGAGUGUAUGAAAAAUGCACACUUUCAAUAGGCUCAAAAACUCACAUAGGUUGUAUAUGGUCACUAUAUUCACAUGUGAAGCUUUAAGUCAUACUUUAGUUUCACAUCAACAAGGCUAUGUGGAUUUGGUUUUUCACAGAUGAUUAAACAUGUACAAGGCCAACAAGAGAAUAAGGAAUUUAACAUAACACAUGCUUACUAAGUUCUUGAUCACUGUUGUUCAAAUUCAAUCCAAUUAUAUCAUUGGGUCAGGAAACUAACAAAAAUCUAAUUCAAAACAAUAAAGAAAAUAAGACUAUUUUUUAAUUUUCAAAUUUUCUGAAUGUUUUUGUGUUUUUGUUUAGAGUAAAUAAAACUAACUAAGAAAACAAAAAGAAACAACACGAAAACAAAUCAAACCAGUUCAAAUUUUCAAUUUGGUCAUUUUUUUUCAAUCCUUACCCCCAAACUUAAACUAGACAUUGUCCCCAAUGUCAAAAAAACACAAUAAUUAAAGAUAAAAUAAAAUAGUAAAAAAAACAAAAUAAAGCAUUUGGACUAAAAACUUCCCCAAUUUGCAGUAAAAUCAAGCGAUGACCCCCAAAUUCCAAUUCUGCAAUCAACUCCAAUGGUAGGCACGAUCAAAUUUUCCUACAAAGAAAAGAAAUAAGUCAGUUUAGCAUGCAAGAAAAUUCAGAAAACAAAAACAAAUGGAAAAUUGAAAAUGACAUAAAAAGACAAUGAAUAGAAAUAUUGGGUUGUCUCCCAAUAAGCGCUUGCUUUUACGUCCGCAGCCAGACGGUGCCAAGAGUAAUCAUCCAAGGGGAGAUGGUUCUUGGAGGGGUACAACCUCCACAUCAUGCUCCGCAAAAGACUCGUAAUAUGGCUUGAGUCUAUGUCCAUUCACUUUGAACACAUUUUCGGUCUUUGCACUUUGGAUUUCCACUGCAUCAUGAGGAAAAAUAUUAGUUACAACAAAUGGACCAACCUAUUGAGAACGAAGCUUACCUGGAAAUAACCGAAGGUGAGAAUUAAAUAGAAGAACUUUUUGUCCAAUGGAAAAGCUCUUCCUUGAUAUCAUCUUGUCAUGAAAUGCCAUUGAUUUCUCCUUGUAUAUUCGACUAGACUCGUAUGCAUCAUUCCGAAUUUCGUCUAACUCAUUCAAUUGGAGCUUUCUAUGCUAUCCGGCAACACUCAUGUCCAUGUUGUAGGCUUUGAUCGCCCAAUAAGCUUUGUGUUCUAACUCUACUGGAAGACGACAUGAUUUCCCAUAAACUAACCGAAAUGGGGACAUUCCAAUAGGAGUCUUAUAGGCAGUCAUAUACGCCCACAAUGCAUCUUUUAAGCGCAUGCUCCAAUCUUUCCUACUAGGACUCACAGUUUUCUCCACAAUUUGCUUCACCUCACGGUUUGAUACAUCUGCUUGACCACUAGUUUGUAGAUGAUAAGGUGUAGACACCUUAUGUGUGACAUUGUACUUCCGAAGCAACGCUUCAAAUGUUCUAUUGCAAAAAUGACUCCCUCCAUCGCUGAUGAUUGCUCUAGGUAUUCCAAAUCUUGCAAAGAUGUUACUCUUAAUAAAAUCUGAAACAACUUUUGAAUCAUUAGUUUUGGUGGCUUUUGCUUCCACCCAUUUAGAAACAUAAUCCACAACCAAUAAAAUGUAAAGAAAACCAUUAGAAGAUGGAAAAGGUCCCAUGAAAUCAAUUCCCCACACAUCAAAGAUCUCAACAAUCAAAAUAGGGGUUUGUGGCAUUUGAUUUCUUAGGCCCAAGUUACCUGUUCGUUGACAACGAUCACAUGUUUCACAAAACUCGUACGCAUCCUUAAACAAACUAGGCCAAUAAAAACCACUCUCUAACACCUUAAGAGUUGUCAUCUUUGCUCCAAUAUGGUCUCCACAUGCAUAAGAAUGACAAAAAGUUAGAAUAGAUUUAAACUCAGAUUCGGGGACACACCUUCUAAUCAAUUGAUCAGGGCAAUAUUUCCACAAAUAAGGAUCAUCCCACUCGUAAUAUUUGGCGAUUUUGACAAGCUUAUCUUUCUGAGCACGUGUAAAAUCAUCCGGAAUCUUUGUGGUGACCUUGUAAUUGAUAAUAUCUGCAUACCAAGGGUUAGUAGCCUUUAAUGAAAACAAUUGCUCAUCCGGAAAACUCUCAUGUAAAGGGAUGAGAUCUUCCUCUGUGUUUGAAUGCACAAGUUUGCUAAGAUGAUCUGCUACAACAUUCUCACUUCCUUUCUUAUCCUUGAUCUCCAAGUUAAACUCUUGAAGUAGAAGUAUCCAUCGAAUGAGUCGCGGUUUUGUAUCUUUUUUUAUGAGUAGAUACUUCAAAGCUGCAUAGUCAGAAAACACAAUAACUUUAGUCCCAAUCAGAUAAGAUCUAAAUUUUUCUAAAGCAAAUACACAGCUAAAAGCCCCUUCUCUGUUGUUGAAUAAUUCAACUAUGCAUCAUUGAGUGUUCGAGAUGCAUAGUAGAUGACAUGUGGCACUUUGUUGACACGCUGCCCUAGAACUGCACCGACGACAUAGUCUGAAGCAUCACACAUCAACUCAAAAGGUAAACUCCAAUCUGAUGGUAUGAUCACAGGAGCCGUGGAUAACAAAUCCUUACGCUUGCUGAAUGCUACCACACACUCUUCAUUCAUAUCAAAUGUUACAUCUUUUUGAAGCAAACGGCAUAAAGGUCUAGAAAUCAUUGAGAAGUCCUUCAUAAACCUACGGUAAAAACCUGCAUGUCUAAGAAAAGAACGAACCUCCCUGAUAGUAGUAGGGAGGGGUAAAGAACUAACAAGUUCUACUUUAGAUUUAUCAACUUCAAUUCCAUUUUCAGAUAUGACAUGCCCUAGAACUAAUCCAUGUGAAACCAUGAAAUGACAUUUUUCCCAAUUUAAGACUAGGUUAGUUUCUUGGCAACGUUUUAAAACUAGAGACAAAUUAGGUAGACAUGUAUCAAAAGAAUCACCAUAAACUAAAAAAUCAUCCAUGAACACUUCAAUUAUUUUCUCAAUCAUAUCAGAAAAGAUACUUACCAUACACCUUUGAAAUGUGGCGAGAGCGUUGCAAAGUCCAAACGACAUCCUCCGGUAUGCAAAUGUGCCAAAUGGACAUGUGAAAGUCGUCUUUUCUUGAUCCUCUAGAGCAACUGCAAUUUGAUUAUAUCCAGAAUAGCCAUCAAGAAAACAAUAAUGAGAAUGACCAGCUAACCUUUCUAACAUUUGAUCAAUGAAUGGGACUGGAAAAUGAUCCUUGCGUGUGUGUUGUUUAUCUUUCAAUAGUCUGUACAAACUCUCCAACUAUUUUGCACACAUGUAGGCACUAGCUCAUUAGCUUCAUUCUUAACAAUUAUGACUCCGGAUCGUUUCGGAACUACUUGAAUAGGACUCACCCACUUGUUGUCCGAGAUAGGAUAUAUGAUGCCAACAUCAAGAAGUUUGAUAACCUCUUUCUUGACAACCUCCAUCAUAAGUGGGUUCAAACAGCGUUGAGCUUCCCUUGUUGGUUUUGCACCUUCCUCCAACAGAAUCCUAUGUAUACAUGUAGCUGCAUUUAUACCUUUGAUAUCUGCAAUACUCCAAGCUAUGGCAGUUUUGUGAUCCUUCAAUACCCGAAUCAGUUUCUCCUUCUCUUCUGCUGUGAGUUGUGAUGAUAUGAUGACCGGUAAUGUUUCAUCCUCUCCUAAAAAUGCAUACUUCAAAUGUUUAGGAAUCGGUUUAAGCUCCAAUUUGGGUGCCUGAGUCCCAGAAGGAAGAGUUUUUUCGUUAGAAGUAGGAAGAGAAAUAAAAUAAGAAAAAGACUUACCACGAAUUGGUGAAAGAGACUCAAGAACGGCCACUGUUUGGAUUAAUUCUUCUUCAGUGUGCUCUGAAUAAUUAAAAUUUCCAUGUGUAAUGCUAUGCACUAAUGUCUUCUCUAAAUUAUCUUGUCCCACACCUUCAUUAAAACAAUCCUACACAAAAUAGUCAAACACAUCAAUAGACAAAUAAGAUUCAAAAUCACUAGGGUACCUCAUAGCAUUGAAGAUUCUAAACUUGACGCAUUCCCCAUCAAUUUCCAUGGUUAAGGUACCAUCGUAGACAUCAAUCUUCGUACGUGCUGUUCUAAGGAAUGGUCUUCCCAAUAUAAGAGGAAGUGCAGUAGGCAUAGGGUCAUGUUCCAUCUCAAGAACAAAAAAGUCAGCGGGAAAAAUGAGCUCAUUCACCUGCACAAGUACAUCGUCCAAUAGGCCUUUAGGAUAUCUAUUUGAACGAUCUGCCAACUGGAUUACUACCUUUGUUUCCUUCAAGUCUCCAAGGUUCAAUGAUUCAUACAUUGAAUAUGGCAUCAAAUUGAUGGAUGCACCCAAAUCACACGAUACUUUCCCAAACUUUUUCCCUCCGAUUACACAUGGAAUGGUAAAGCUACCAGUAUCUUUCAACUUCGGUGGCUGCUUCCUCUGCAAAAUAGCUGAUACUUCCUCGCUUAAUGCCACAGUUUCUUGAUCAUAGAAUCUCCUCUUGUUCGUACAAAGCUCUUUAAGGAACUUUGAAUACUUGGGCACUUGUUUUAUGGCAUCUAAAAGAGGUAAAUUCACUUGGACUUUCCGGAAAGUAUCCAAGAUUUCCUUAUCAGUUUGCUCUUUCUUAGACUUCAUAAACCUAAGAGGAAAAGGAAUAGGGACACAUAAGUUAAAUGAAUUUUGAACUUCUUUACUUACCUUAUCAGAAUCUUUUGUGUUCAAUUUUGUAGCUUUAUGAGACUUUUCAGUUUCUGUUGAAGCCUCAUCUUGCUCAAGAUUCUUGGUUUGUAGCUCCCCUUGCUCAUUUGUAUAUUUUCUAGUUCUCUUUUGCAUCCUUGACUACUCAAAAACUUCUUUUCCACUCCUUAAAGUCACAACAUUCAUCUGCUCUGCAUUUGGAUUCACCACGGUCUGGCUAGGCAACCUUCCUGGUUGGUGUUGUUGCCCCAUCAAACUUGCUAACUGACUCAUUUGGCACUCAAGGUUUUCAAUUGCUUUGUCUGUUUUCUGUUGAUGAGAUUGAGUAGAGUUAGCUAAAGAAGUAAUUAAAUCCUCAAGAGACUUACUUGGAGCUUGUUGUUGUUGAGGCUGAAAUGGUCCCUGCGGUCUUGCUUGAAAGAAGCUAGGUAGACGGUUAUAGUUGUUGGGAACAGAUUGUUAUUCGUUGUCUUGAUUGUUCCACUUUAAGUGUGGAUAAUCUCGCCACCCCGCAUUAUAGUUGUUGGAGUAUAGAUCAUACUUUUGCCUUUGUUGCCCCUGAAACCCUUAUAACGCAUUAGCUUGCUCAAGACCACCUUGAUCCAUCAAUGAAGGGCACAUGUUCGUGGCAUGUCCCGUCAUUGAACAUACACCGCACACCUGUUUUGGAGCCACCAUAACCUGUUACACAAGAUUAGUCAAGUUAGCUAAUUGUAAUUCAAUACUAGAAUUAACACUUACCUCAUUAACUUUCUUAAGAGGUAGCUCAUCUCUCCCUCCAAAUUGUCGUGUAUUGCCAACAAUGUUCUUUAAUAAUGCCUUAGCAUUUGUUGGUGUCUUGUCCAUGAAUGCUCCUCCACUUGCUGCAUCAAGCAUUACACAAUCAGUACCACACAAUCCUUCAUAAAAAUACUGUAUUAAAAGAUGUUAUGAAAUUUGAUGAUUAGGACAAGAUGCCACCAAAUGUGUGAAUCGCUCAUAGUAAUCUCCAAAGGGUUCUCCAUGUUGUUGUCGGAUUGCACAUAUGUCCUUCCUUAUGCUUGCAGCUUUUGUGGUUUGAAAAUAUUGCUCCAAGAAUGAUUACUUCACCUGGUUCCAUGUGUUCAUUGAUCCCGGAGGUAAAUUGUAAAGCCACUCUUUUGCCUUAGCUUCUAAUGUAAAUGGGAAUGCCCUCAACUUGACUUGCUCCUCAUCAACAUUUGUGGUCUCAUUCCCGAGUAUACCACUUGAAACUCCAUGAGAUACUUGUUGGCAUCCUCUGUUGAGAAGCCACGGAACUUAGGCAAGUAGUGAAUCAUGCCGGACUUGAGCUCAAAUCCUCCUUCUACAUUUGGAUAUGUGAUGCACAAUGGUUGUUCAUCUGUAUUUGGCGUUGCCAAUUCCCUCAAAGUACGGUUAUCAGCCAUGCCUUCUUGUGGUUCUUCCUCCUCUUCCGAACUCAAAUGUGGUGCAGAAGAUGGUGGUAAAGACACCGAUGCAUGCUCAGGAUCGUAGGAAGCAAUUCCCUCAAAGUUCGUUCAAGCUCAGAAUCGUAGGAAGCAAGAUCAAUGCUCUUGGACCUUCGAGUAUGCAAAUACUACGAAUAGUACCUGAAAUAAAAACAAAAACAAAACACUAAUUAGGCAAGAAAAGAAAACAAUAGAAAAUUAGUAAUUAGAAAUAACAAUCCCCGGGGACACAACGCCAAAAAUUUGAUAGGAUUAAAAGCACACUACAAAGUAGCACACAAAUGUCCUAUUGAUUUUCCUUAUUAACACUAAGAUUUGUCAAUUGUAGCAUAUGAAAAUAAGGGUCUUUCCCGCAGAAGAUUGUUUUAUCUAACUACUUAAAAUGUCACAAAAACUGGUUGCUGUCCCUACUGACCAGCCACCAAAAAAUAAUUAUUAGACCGACUUACAAUUAUCUAAAUUCUACAAAAUUUUAUAUAAAGACACUAGACACACAAAGCUACACUUCUACAAUUUUUUGGGAUUUUUGGAGUUGAUUUGCUAAUUAAAUUGAACAAAAACAGGACAAAAACAAAUUUUAAGUAGUUCACAAAUUAAGAAAAACGAGUUAGGGGAAUUGCUAUCCACCACCAAAUAAUCAUGCAAACAUGUUAUGUUUCAUUCAAUCCGGAUGAAGAUGCUCAAGUUGGCUCAAUGUUAGAACUCAACCUAUUACUCUUUCUUAUGUAGUAUGUUAAAAGAAUGACGCUUUCAACUUAACUUAGUCCCUAGCAUGCAAUCUAGAAUGGCGUGUUCAUAGAUUUAACAAGUAGAAAUCAUUAAGAAUGAAAAGAGUUUGAGUCAUCACAAGACAUCGUAAGUACUGGCGUUGUCUUACUUAUCCUAAAAAUUGGUUCACAUGUUAAUUGCAAUUAACAAGUACUACUCUAGAACAUAUGUAGGUCCUCAUUCGACAAGGGCAGGCACACACAUAUUCAUAGCGUUAGAAUCCUAGAUAUGCUUACUAAGUAUGCAUCCGUAGAAAACACAUAAAGAAUUCAUCAAUGAGACAAGUAGUGAAUCAAUUUUCAUCCAUUCAUAAAAGUAAUUCAAACAAAAUGUCAUAACAAACUUGCAAUCAUAUUCGGGGCUUCAAAACAGCCCCUAACUACUAAAAAUUUAGUUACACAUUAUUAUCAAAUAAAACCGAAAGAAAGACAUGAGUUUGAGAAGAUAAAACUGAGAGAAGAGAAUGCCAAGAUUUCCUCCUUCCUUUCCUUCCUUUCCGCAAAGCUGCCUUGUCCUCUUUCUUUUCUAUUUUUUUUUCCUUUCUCUUCUUUUUCCAACCCUGCAACCUGCACCCUUUCCCCUUUUUAACUUGCUGCCCCAUUUUCUUCUCCUUAACUCACCCACUAACAGCCAUUUAGUGAUGGCAAUAAGUGAGAUGAAAUGGUAAAACAAUUGUAACUCUUUAGGUAGCCUUUAUGCCAAUUACUCCCACUUAAUCCUCAUAUUUAUUUUCAUUUCCUCUGAUAUUUGAAUAAGUAUCAACUAGCUUGUUCUUGGCUGCAUCAGGUUUGGCUGCUAACUUUAUUGGGUUUUAUUGCUUUCAUUGCAGUUACAAACUGCCCAGUCUCUUGUGAACCUUUCAGUGUUAAAACGACCAUAACUUCUUCUACAAAAAAUGAUAUUAACAAUCCGUGAAAUGCUCCAGAAAAUAGACAUCCGUAGCUUUCUAAGCAUAUAAGGCUCAUUCUCUAAUUCAUUUUGAGCUGUUCACAACUUGCUUCCAAAGUCAGCUGACCUGCACAGGCAGUUUUGAUGAAUUUGUUACUUAAAAUCCCACUUGUGCUAUUUUUCUUUUCUUUGCUUGACAAAUCCUAGAAAACACAAAAACAAAGUAAAUAGCUCAAAAAUAUAAGGAACUAGCUAAGAAAAGACAAGUGAAUUUGAUGUAAAGUAUAUAUAAAUAUGAGCUUAUCAUGGACCAAGUUGAUAUAUAAUAAUAAUAAAACAGUUAUUCAACAUACUAACCCCUAAAGUUUAUGAAAAUUCAAUAGUAUAAUAUGUAAUAGGUUUUCUGAAAACCCUAGCAUGCCAUAAAACCUUCAUAAAACAUAUAUCAUAUCGUGUGCUAAAUAGUGGUAUCAUAUAUCAGUGUCAUACGGCCAAAGCCACCAACCUACGCCCGACCGAAGCCACCAACCUACGCCCGGCCAAAGCCAUUAUAAGUAUCAUCACUCGCAGGCAGAACAGUGACUACUAGAUACGCAUAAAACAUUGAAUAUAAUCUUUCCAACAUAUGCGUGUGUGUGUGUAUAUAUAUAUAUAUAUCUCUCUCAAAAACAUCUUCAUAGUAUAAAGUCAUUCAUCAUUUAUACUACAAAGAACGCGAGUUCGAUAAAAUAUGGUAAUUCAAAAUAUUUUUAGUAAGCAUAAUAUCUCAUAAAACGUAAUCAUUAAAUCUUGCUUUUCAUGUAUGCAUUUCUAAUAUUAAAACAUGCAUUUUAGAAGGGGUCCACUCACAUAUACUUCGCCGUCGGAAAGCCACGCAAACUAGCGAAGACGGAAACACCACAAUAGAUGCCCCUAAGCACAUAAAAGGUCCAAUUAAUAAAACUCUAUUAAAACGAUUGAAUUUGGGAAAACAGACAUCAAAAACGGAUUCAGAACGUCGAAUUAACUUAAAAAGGGUCUCGGGUAAAUUUCGAAGAGUCAACACAAAGAAUAGUCCCUAAAGGAAUAUUCCAUCAGUUGGGCUGAUGGGUUUGGGCUGAAAGGUCCUAGGCCCAAAGGCUUGGGUUAUAAGGGUUCAUGGGUUUUGGAUCAAAGGGAAACGGGCUGGCUCCCUUAAGUUUGCAGACAUGGGCCUGGGCUUGAAAGCCUAGCCCUUACAAAAUAAAAUAAGAUAAAAACGGUUGGGCUUAGGGGUUUAGCGGGCCAAAGGCCAAAUGUUGGUCAUGACCCGAAGGGCUUGGUCUCAUUGGUUUGGGCUUGAAAGCCCGUGUCUCGCCAGGGAAGAAGGCCGAAAAACAACUGGGGAUUCCUUGAUCUCCAAUUGAGCUUGAUACUCAACCAAAACAUGCAAUCAAUAUACCAAUUUAAAGCCCGUACAAUAAGGAAUCGAGUUAUACCUAUCUCGUGGCCUGCCGUGGCCGCGUUUGGCCGAAAAGCCUUGGUUUUGUCACCAGAAAUAUGGGAAACAUGUCUUAGUCGUUUCUACGUCUUACAGUCAUAAAAAAUGACUCAAAACGUCCCUAAACUCACAAACAACACUAACCAAGAGGUACAAAGGGCUUACCUACGUUGAGGAUAAAAGAUUAUGGUCGGAGUUUGAUGAGAGAUGAAGAUAACAAUGGUCUCUGCCACUGUGGUGCACUACGGACCUAUCCUGGGUUCGAGGUCUUGCUUGGGAGGAUCCUCGGGUGUGUGUGUGUGUGUGUGUGUGUGUUUCAGAAAGGGGAGGGAUAACGCAGAAAAGGAGAGAGUUGCCGAGAGAGUUGCAGAGAGAGUUUCGGGGGAGAGAGUGAAGAGAGAACCGGGAUAGAGAAGGGAGAAAAAGUGGGAAGGAGAGAGGUGCCACUUAGCAAGCGGGGAAUAUGGGAACUGGGGACACAAAUCAGGGGGUGGGCCCCUUGGGCUCACCAUUUAAGACCAAAAAUAAUAUUUUAAACAACCCAAAUGAAAAAUACGAUAAUACCAAUUUCCUUUUGUAAGCUUCGGGACAAGUUGUUACAAUCCACCUCAAUUAAAUGAAAUUUCGUCUUGAAAUUUAAAAUAACUUGGUACACUAAAAACUCAAAAAUAGGGAGAAAAAAAAAAUAUAUAUAUAUAUACGUAACAAAGAAAUCAAGUCAGAGUGGUUGCACAAAAGGAAAAAUGUCACAUCGUCGCGAUCGGGUUGCAAUGAUUCCAUCUUUCGUGCCUCCAAGCUCGUACCUUUUUCCCCCAUCAGUGUAAAAGUAUAAGCAUACUUUAUAAAGAUAUAAAAUCAAAAACAUAUAAUAACGUAUGGUAAAAAAUAUGUACGUAAAAUACGAUAAUGUCAAAAUAGAUAUGUACUAACAUAUAGGUCGAAAACUCGUGCUAAACUUAAAACUGAAAAUGGAAAAGACUGCCCCAAACAUUUGUAACCUCGAAAAUAAGUUAAAACUAUAAUAAGGUAAUUUAAAAUACUUUUACUGAAAACCAAAACCGAAUAUGAAAGUAGGUCUCGCCCACGCAUACAUAACGUCACGUACUCCGACAAAAUGUGUCUUUGGGUCAAGCCCCAACAAUAGCAAAUCCGUAACAACUGUCGUAGAAGGGUCUUCCUACCUACUUGCUUAAUGAACCCAACAAAUAAGUUAUCUAUACAACAGUCGGCCACCCGCGAUAUCGACCACACAUUUGUUGUCUCGAUAAGCAAACAGUAAUUUCCCAAGGGUGCACAAUUUACCAUAUCGUAAAUUCGAUCCUCCGAAUACAAGUUCGCAAAAGUCCUCUGUCAACCAGUGUUGCUUGUAGAAACUCUUGUACCAUGUUGCAAAAAGUGCCAUACCCAAACCGAACAAAACAAAAAUGAUCAUCGUAAAAACUUCAUCCAGUACCAAGCACCCUAUCCUCAUCAGUUCUUCCAAAAGUGACCAACUACUCUAGUGUUUUGCUAACAAAGAACCCAUUUGAAAAAUGUACCUUAGGAUUCAAGAGAAGUGGCUACCAUAUUAAUAGUAGACCCAAAAGCUCAAACCAAGCAAGUAGAAAACGAGAAGUCACCUUCCCCAACAAGCAGUAUCUCUUGGGAGCUGUUAUAGUGCUCAAACCAGCUCACCAUUUUUGCUUAGUUGCAUAUUUCUAGUCAAACAAGGUCAAUGUUGGUGGAAAGAAGAAAAGACUCGCAAAUGAUCAACCUAAAAUCCCCAUGAGAGCACACACACCAUUUGAGAAGAGUGUAAAUUUAAAUGUGCUUAAACCACAAGACAAGUGAACACAAAGUGUCCCUCCAGGUCUAGAUAGUUCGUGGAUGAUACCCUAAAAAAUAUUGAGGCAAUGAACUUAUAUAUAUAUCGUUGGGAAGGAACUACUAGAUUACGAUAUGAUGUCUAUGAAUUGUAGCAAGAUAAUAUGAGGUGGCUAUUCAUUUCUGCAUGAAGAUAGUGAUAGGUGAUGCAAUCCGCUGACCAUCCGCACUACAAUCUUCAUCAAUCUCUUACUAAAAGACGACUCAAACCUCAUGGCCAUAAGAAACUCUUCUUGAUAAGUCUGGUAAGCUUGUGAAAAUAUUAUGCUUUUAACGUUCCUGUCCGAAAUGAUAUGAACUGGGCGCACACUUCAGCCGAGUUGAUCCCUCGUGAAUUCCUUACGAAUUGAGCGAGAAACCAUGUCGAGAAGGCUAAAAGAACACUCAAGAAUUUGAGGGUCAAAACAAGUCCAAGGAUGUUUCGUAAUUUCAUGACACCUUGUAAAGAUUUUCAAUUGCCAAUGGUCACAAACCUUUUGGAAAUUGAUGAGAAUAUCGUCUGCUACCAAAGAGUUGUACUGAUUCUGCAAAAUGGUCGAAGCCGAGUUGUACUGAUUCUACAAAAAUGAUUGAGGACGGAUUGAACUGAUUCUGCAAAAAUGAUUGAAGAGUGAUUGAACUGAUUAUACAAAAAUGGUUGAAGACAGGUUGAACUGACUCUGAGAAAAUGGUCGAAGACGGGUUGAACUGAUUCUGCAAAAAUUAUUGUCGAAUGAUUUAACUUAUUCUCCAAAAAUAGUCGAAUACGGGUUUAACUGAUUCUGCAAAAAUGAUCGAAGAUAAGUUAAACUGAUUCUGCAGAAAUGGUUGAGAACUGAUUAAACUGAUUCUGCAUAAAUGAUUGAGGACUGAUUGAACUGAUUCUGCAAAAAUAGUUGAAGGCAGGUUGAACUGAUUUUGCAAAAAUGGUCGAAGACGAGUUGAACUGAUUAUGCAGAAAUGGUUGAGGACUGAUUGAACUAAUUUUGAAAAAUGGUUGAAGACGGGUUGAACUGAUUUUGCAAAAUAGUUGAUGAUGGGUUGAACUGAUUCUACAAAAAUGGUCGAAGACUAAUCAUUGAACUGAUUCUACAAAAGUGGUCGAUGAUAAGUUAAAAUGAUUCUAGUAAUAAAGGAUAGAAACAAAUUCUACAUAUAAUUUCAAAACUGAUUCUGCAUAAAUAGUUAAUGAUGAGUUGAGCUAAUGACACAUUAAUUUUGUUGGAGUUGUGAAUGUUAGAUUCUAUUAACAAUCAUAAAGCCUUAGAAGUAUGGCUGAUAUUUUAAAACAUUGUUUUCAUGUUUUUUAGGCAAGACUUUAGUUGUUUUUAUAUUUUUGUCUCUCAUUGAUAUGUUAUAAAACUAGUGGAGUUCCUUGAAAUAUAGUGAAAUUUUUUAUCUCUAUAUAUGAAGCUCCCUUAUAAUUAAUGAUUUAAAAUAAUUUUUUUGAAAAAUUAGUUUACGUGGGGUGGUGAUUUUUGAAUUUUUUUCAUUUCAAAUUAUUUUACUAUUUUGCCCCUUCUUCAUUGAGUUGUCUUAUUUCAGUGAUGGAUGUAAGGAUGGGCAUUUUUUAAUACUAUUGUACAAACUUUGCUUUUCCUUAAAUAAUUUUUUUUUCUCAUAUUAUAUUAAUACUAAACCUCUUACCACAUGCUAAUGCGUAGGACAAUUUGUUCUUUUACAUUUAGUUUUUACUAGCUAGAGUGCCCGUGCGGUGCUACGGUGUUGUGUCUUGCUGCUGUACAAUUUACAAUAAGAAACAAUGAGUAGUGUUAAACUUCAUUAAUGUAAUGGGUCUGUUUUUAUUUCUCUUAGUGUCAUUGGCUGAAAUUAGGAGAAAUAUAAAAAAAAAUUUUGAAAUUGUCUAUUAUGAAGCAAAGGAAUCCAAUCGAAAUUAUACAUGUGCAUUUCAGUGGAAUCAAAUCAAAUUUAAUAAUAAUAAUAGAUGAUGUAUUACCUAUGAGGAAAAGGAGUUGGUAAAAUCAUUUCUCAAAUUAGGAAACCCAUGGCUCCAUCAUAGAGAAAAAUGUUAACAUUGAGAAAAGGUAAAAAAAUAUAUAAAAAAAAUUAAAAAAAAAUAUCUCGAAAGGAAACUGAGAUGAGGGAUUACAUUGACUGGAAACCACAAAUACCAAGCAAAGGAAAAAUGAUCAGCUACACCAAAUGACAACAUUUUGAUCCUUCAAAGUGUCAACUGAAAACAUAAAAAACCCAAUUAAAUGAAGGGAUCUACAUGUUAAGACAACGAAAAAAAAAAGUAGAUCAAAGCUAGAAAGUAUCAAACUUUACAACUUCGCUAAAAAGCAUAUAUUACUACAAAAGUACCUAUUUUUCGCAUUAAUGAAAAACGAUACAAUAUUAUUUCUUAUUUUUCAAAGAAUUUUAAACCUAGAAAUUGCCAUAUCUAGGUUUUCUUUUAUUCCAAAUUUAUUUAAGAAGCUCUGGUCAAAUCUCGGACAAAAUUGGGCAAUUCAAACAAAAUCCACACAAUGUAGAGAAUGGUUUGGGAGUGAGGUGCUUAAAAAAAAAAACCCAUGAAAAAAAACUGUGAGGGUUUUAGGUGUUUGGUAAACUAAAAAAAAAAAGCUUAUUUUGGAAGCUGCUGUGAGAAUAAGCUGAAAUCAAAGGAAAAAACUGAAGCUGCUAUUUGCAGCUUUGGAAAAUUGGCUUUUUUUCAAAGCACACAGAGCUACAGUGCUCCUUUAAUGAAAAUACCCACUAUCAGACUGCUUUUUUUUCCAAAGCACUUUUACAAAAAAGUUUACCAAACACUCUGCUAAUUUAUUUCACAACCGCUUAUUCUCACAGCACAGCCGCUUAUUCUCACAGCAGCUUUUUUUCAAAGCAGAGCAAUACCAAAUCAGCCCGUAGUCAUUACAAUCCUGAGGACCAACAUUUGAAAAAUUCAAAUAAAUUCACUGAUAAGGUACUUAAAAAAUAUAUAUAUAUAUAUAUGAGAUGAUAGAAUAACAAACUUUCUAGGUAAGAUCGCUUGAAUAUUGCGAGUCCAGAUGGAAUAGAAGGCGUUUCUGCUCAAAACUUUUCAAAUCAAGCUUUUAAAUAGUUCUAUUGGCGUACAGCGUAUUCUUCCAACCUGUAAUAGUCUCUGGCAUGAGAACACCAAGUUUUAUCAUGCAAACAACGCUAGCCUCCUAUUUCUUAUUAGGAAUGUGACCAGACAGUUUCUAAAGUAAGCGGGCACACAUUUUCCCCUAGAUUUUUCAAGGUUAAAAUGGUAUUGUAAUUUCAAAUUUAAAUUUCAUUUUGUCACAAUAUUAUAGCUGAUAAUCUUGUUUAAUUUAUUAUGCGUACAAUACAAUUUGUACACAACUAUAUUACAAACGAAACAAACAUAAACACUGAAAGAGAAAUCUUUUUUUUUAUAGCAGAGGAAGAAAUAAUUGCCUACUAAAAAACUUGGAGUGAGAAUCAGUGGAUAAAUUACAAAUCUAAUGGAUUUUUUAAAUAUAUAACUGAUAGUUUCAAACGGCAAGCAGAAGUAAAUGACCUGAGAUCGCAGAUGCUCCAGUAGUUUCAAACGGCAAGCAGAUUGUUUGAGGGUGUGAACACAGAUAGCGAUGGAGAGGAAGAGAAGUGGGGUCCAAUGUUUGAGGACUGCGAUAUUACGAUAUACCAAAUAAUCUUUUUAUUUAUUUUUAAAUGAUUAGAUUAGGUUUUCAAAAACAAAUUCAUACACUAAAAGAUAAUGACAUUUCAACUUUGUAACACAUGCUGAAAUCAUUUUUAUCAUACAUGGAAGACCAGAUUACCAUUAUGCUAAAAAAGAUCCACAAAUGGCAAGCAAUUCAGAUUUGGAAAGGAAAAGGGGUGUGCUAUCCACACAUCCCUUUUUACUUCUCACACACUCCUUGUUAAUUUUUAUCCAUAGAUCUUCUUCAAUUCAUCCGAUCCGACGGCCGAAAAUCAAAAAGAUGUGAGACAAGUAAAAAGGGGUGUGUGGAUAUCACACCCCAAGGAAAAAAGUACAAAUUCAUUCAAACAAAGAAAGCAGUAAUUGCAAAAGAAAAGAAAGAUAGUAGACCAAUGGUUUAUGGUGAUAAUCAUUAUGAAGAAAAGAAAUUGUUGGUUAUCAAUGUUGUGACACCCAUUGAUAAGAUUCUUUUGAGAGCUUUCAUAGUUGUUAAACCAAUUUGACUUUUGUUGUUGAGAAGGGUGCUUUCUGUAUGAAGAAAACAAAAUAUGAAGUUGGUUAUAAGCUUAAUGCACAAUACAAUGAUAUGUAUCACCAAAUGAGAAUACAAAACGUUUGUUCAUCUCAAUCAAAUUUUGUGAUUAAAUUAAAACAAAUGAAAAGAGAAAAACCCAAAAAAAAGACAUUAACAAUGAGAAACAUGACACGCCCCAAUCCAGAUAUCCAAAUGACACCUGGAUGGCACGUGUUGGCCAACACUCGAAGUGACGAAGCUAUAAAUAUGUGAAAAUGCAAGUAUAAAAAAGGGAACAUGAAAUUCGAGAAUCAUAUAACAAACAACAAUCAUAGGGAAAAAUACCAACGCAAGAAAGGCAAUCAUAACAUUCCAAAAUAAACAUGAAUGAAAGCGAUGUCCGAUGGUUUCAAUAUCCAAAAUAAAAGAUGCACGAGUAUGUCCAAUGUUCAGAGCAUAUUACAAAACGAACGGCAACGCAAGAAAGGCAAUAAUAACAUUUCAAAAUAAACAUGAAUGAAAGCAAUGUCUGAUGGUUUCAAUAUCCAAAAUAAAAGAUGCACAAGUAUGUCCAGAGCAUAUUACAAAAUGAACGGCUAACGAAAUGAAAGACAAUGAGUUACAGUCAAUCAGAAGGAAGCCAUACGCAAGUAGAAUGACAAGAAAUCACUGAUAGGGAAAUGCCUCGAUGCUCGAGUCUAGUGGCGGAUCCAGGAUUUUAAAUUCGGGAGAUCCCAAUAAUAAAGGUCAAAAAAUUUAUACACAAAAACAACAUUGAAAACUUAAAUAUAAUACAUUUCAUUCAAAAAUCAUAUGCAAAACAAUAUUACAAAUUAUAAAAUCAUAAUUCAAGGGUCCAUUACGAGGUUUCAUAAGUUACUAGGGAAUACCUAAAUUAUUGAUUAUCUAAUAUGGACCACUAAAUUUAAAACACCGGUAAAAUAAAACUGUCCCCAAACUCCCACUAUCUUUCUAACCAAACACACCAUUUUUCUCUUUUACUAGUUUCCAAACAUCCACUUUCUCUCUCACUAAGAACACAGUUGUCAUACCUCCACCAACCGCCUCCCUCCCCAUUCUCCCGAAGCCAUGGCAGCUCCACCCCCAUAUUUCACCAACCCAUGACAGAUCAUAUCCAUCUUACUAACCUUAUGUAGGAAAUUUCACCCAUAAGAAAAAAUACUAAGGUGGUUGAAAUAAUUUGGGGAAAUUUGGGCUUAUGUACUGCCCUGCCAGAUGACAGAGAAAGGUUGGAGGAGAAGUGGGUGGCACUGAUGGAUGAGACCAUGGCAGAAGCAAGGAGGAGAGAGGCUGGAAGGAUCCCUAUUUUCUUUCUUCUACGUGCACGGUCAUCUUCUCCAAGAAGAAGACAGCCACUGCAACCUACAACCUGCACAGACCUCAUGCUCGAGUACGAGGGGUCCCCGAAAAAUUUCUAGCAGUGAUUUAGGAUCGCCGACGGGUCCUAGGACCUCCCAGGUCCCUAUGUGGAUCCGUCCUUGCUUGAGUCGUACUCCUCGUCACUAGGUAUUGAAGGGGACGCAAAAACAAAAAAGUGAGUGGACCAUAAUUUAUAAUAAUAGUAAUAACACGAAUACCGUUUUCUUUUUCUGAACAUACUAACGUCCUGUUUUGAAAACUCAUAUAAUACUACAUAGUAGAUUUUUCUAAAAACUAACAUGCUAAAAAUGUUUGUAGCGGUAAAAUCAUCUCUGAAAAUCGUAUCUAAAUGCCUGAAGGGAAAUCUGAGAAUCUCGUAAAUCAACUCUAUGAUAUACUCUAGUAGAAGUAUCAUAGUCGCCCGAAGGGAAACCUAAUGUGUAUAGCCAGUGCAUUAGAAAAUCAAACCUUGAAUAUAAUACAACGAACAUGGCUCUGCGAGUAGCCCACUUCAAGCAUGAUGGAACUCUGAUGUGACUGUCGCAUCAUGGCACCUAUAGAAAAUACCAAUUGAUAGAGAGUCAAUAUUCAAUAAGUUUAUCUCACAAUUAUUUGAUUUAAACCGAUUCUUUUCAUAUGGUUCAUCACAUAAGGGGUUUCUGAGUAAUCCAAGCAAUUAAGCUACUGGCAGGAUUUGGAGAUAAAUCUCGAAACGAUAUGCAAUUCAAUGACGACUGAAAGGGCUUAGGAUACAAUCAGAAAAGCAUUGUAAUGCUUAGCUUUUAGUUUAACACACUUUUCUUCCUUUAGAGAAGAGAGGCAGGGGAAAGCCAUAGGAACAGUCUGAUAGGUAUCAAGUUUUAUCCAUACAUACAUACAUAUAUAUACACAUACACAAAUAUUCAUUGACCAUAAAGUAUUACAUGCAACUCAAAACUAAAAAUAAGAGAGAGACUUAGUGGAAAACCCGAAAUCUCUUACCCAAAAAACUCAAUGCGCAAUUAGAUCAUCAGGCUUCAUGUCAUAUUGUUUUUCGUUUAAGAAAACCUUCUUCUAGUUCAAGUAAUACCAAUUUAAGUUUAAAUACCUUAAAUAUUCAGAAUACAUAAUUUGGAAAUAGAAAAAAACAUAAACAUAAUCAUACUUGGAGAGUGAUGGCAAAAGUAUUAUAUCAGCCAGAAAAACCUUGCAAAGAACAAAAAUUCCACAAAAUCAGUAUAUUAGCACUUCCUGCAAAAUCCCAAAAUAAAAAAUUAGAAAAAUCAAAUUUGAUAACAUAAUACAAAUUCGUAUCUGUUAGAGUAGACUCCAUUUAAAUUAGAAUAAUUAGGUUUAGGAUAAAUACCCAAACAGUUCUACUUGAUUUGGUCCUUGCUGCAAAAAUGCAGGCAUAGUGUUAUGCACAGUAGACUUUUUCUUGCCGGUCCAGCAAUGACCACUAACACAGCAGGCACAAUUAAAAGGUCCACCACUUCUCGAACAAAAAACCUACUUUACACAAGUUUUUUGAAUUAUAAUCAAAAUAAUUAGAUUAAAUGCAAAAUUAAAACUCAUUUCAGAAAAUGAAAUUGAAAUUAACCGAAACCCUGAUUGAAUUGAAGCCCUUGUUAAAAAAAGCCUCACUGAUAUUGAUUAAACAAAACCCUCCCUGAUUUUGAAACCUCAAACUCAGAGUCUCAUACCUUAAAUUUGAGCAUCGAACCUGAGAGACAAAGCCAUGAAGAUUGGUAAUAACGGUGUCGUCCGUUUCGCUGGCGUCCGGCAAGAAACAGUUCGCCGGAAUUCCAACACCCAAAAACCUGGCUGCUUGAUACUUGAAAUCGAGUUUUUGGUUCUAGGGUUUAGAUUAGGUGUGAGAGAUUGUGGAAUUAAAUUUGUUGGUUUGAGGGUAUGAGGGCUUGAGGGGUUUUGCGGUGGCUGUGAGCGAGAAAGAAAGGAAGCGAGGGUUGAUGGCAGUGAAAAGGUAAAAAUGGAAUAGAGAGAUGAGGAGAGGAGAGAAGAGAAGACCGCAGAGAGAGAAAUGGAAACAGAAGGAAAAGUCGGGAAGAAGGUCUGAGCGGAGCCUUCGACGAUGAUCGACGCGUGGCCAAGAAAGAAAGAAGCAGAAGCCGAAAGAAAACAUCGAGAAAAAGAAACAAAAACAGAGGGUUAAACUAUGAGGGACCUGUGGCAAAAAAGGGCAAAAUCGGAAUUUUAUUGUACCGAGCAAACAACACAACGUGGAUGUGAGAAGAAACAAAGGGCAUUUUCGUCAUUUCACUGUUAUAACUAGAGAUUAGGGCCCACGCGUUGCUGCAGAUUUUAAAAUCCUAUAAAACAUGUCAAAAGUUCUAAUCCGAAAUACUAUGUACGUACAUGUGAUUGAUGUCUCGUUCAUUAAGAAUAGGCAAAUACUAUUUACAUACAUGUGGAAUGCAAAAAGGCAAUUAUUAACCUUUUGCUCUAAAUAAUAAAGAACACUAAAACUAAAAUACAAUUUCGAAAAACCUUUCCAAGCAGUUGGAAUAUCAAGAAUAACGCUAAUUCUAAAAUACAAAUUCAAUUUCUCUCCAUGUUAAAAAGCAUGCAAGCAAAGAGUAAUUUCUAUUACCGGUAUGAUUAGCUUAUAAUGACUUGUCCGCUGUUAUAAAAAGCAUCCAGUUUCUCAUUGUCUCCAAUUUCCAUCACCUCAUUUGCCCCUUUUGCAGAUUUUAUUUUCUUUAUGUCUUUCAGUGAAGCCAACGUUUUGCCUUACGCUUUGAUGCAGCCUCAUCUAGAUAAUGUAAAUAUAAAUUUAUUACAUAUACCUAUAACAUUCGUUCACUAGGAUUUGGAGUUCACUAUUUCAACAAACUUUUAUGGAAGUUGUAUUCAUGAUCAUAAUAUUAUAUUAAUCCAAAUUUGAGACUUUGCUGAAUAUUGAUCUAAAUCCAGUUUAUCAGCCCCAAUCAGUGGCGGAUCCACAGUGGGGUCGUCGGGGUCGCACGACCCCUUGGAAACCAUGGAAACAACCUUGAAGCUCCCAUAUGCGACCUCUUGGAGCUGGGGUCGUCGGGGUCGGAGGCACGCCAACUGUUCGACAAAAGCCCUGAACGAAAACUGGGCAGGAAGAGGAAGAAGAAGCAGCCCACUCAAAUGAGCUUGGUUGUGUGCUUGGUUGCAUGCCUGUUUUUGUCAAGUGAAUGAUAUUUAUACAUGCUACUUUUUAUAACUCUAUCCAGUUUAAUUGGUCUUUCUGAUAAAGAAAUGAUAGGGGUUGGAGGAGUGCUAUAUGAGAACGAGAACAUUAAGAAGAUACGGAAAUUAAUUUGAAACAUCAAGCUGUCAGGGAAAGCAAAAAUUUGGAUACGCCAGUAACAAGACAAUAAAAGAGGAAGUUUAAGUGAAUCUUACUUGCAUGAAUCCACCUAAACGAAUUAUGAUGUGAUUUAUGCCAGAAUCUUGGGUCAGUCCCUAUACUUUAUUAUUGUUCCAUGCACAGAUUAAUUCGACACUGCACCAAACGCCCGACUAAUGGAGUUAGUACUAUCCGACGACUAUUUAUCUUAUCCGACUGAAAUAGUCAAUACAGUCCGAAGUACCAAACAACAACAACAACAACAACAAAGCCUUUUCCCACUAAGUGGGGUCGGCUAUAUGAAUCCUAGAACGCCAUUGCGCUCAUUUGUGUCAUGUCCUCUGUUAGAUCCAAGUACUCAAGUCUUUUCUUAGGGUCUCUUCCAAAGUUUUCCUAGGUCUUCCUUUACUCCUUCGGCCCCGAACCUCUGUCCCGUAGUCACAUUUCCGAACCGGAGCGUCAAUAGGCCUUCUUUGCACAUGUCCAAACCACCGGAACCGAUUUUCUCUUAUAUUUCCUUCAAUUUUGGCUACUCCUACUUUACCUCGGAUAUCCUAAUUCCCAAUCUUAUCCUUUCUCGUGUGCCCAUACAUCCCACGAAGCAUCCUCAUCUCCGCUACACCCAUUUUGUGUACGUUGAUGCUUCAUCGCCCAACAUUCUGUGCCAUACAAUAUCGCUGGCCUUAUUGCCGUCCUAUAAAAUUUUCGCUUGAGCUUCAGUGGCCUACGACGGUCACACAACACGCCGGAUGCACUCUUACACUUCAUCCAUCCAGCUUGUAUUCUAUGGUUGAGAUCUCCAUCUAAUUCUCCGUUCUCUUGCAAGAUAGAUCCUAGGUAGCGAAAACGGUCACUUUUUGUGAUCUUCUCUAGAUUGCUCCGGUCAUUAGUGUGGAUAAGUAUAUAAAUGGAUAGAGAUAGGAAAGCAAACACAAGAUGUACGUGGUUCACCCAGAUUGGCUACGUCCACGGAAUAGAGGAGUUCUUAUUAAUUGUGAAGGGUUUACACAAGUACAUAGGUUCAAGCUCUCCUUUAGUGGGUACAAGUGAAUGAUUUAGUACAAAUGACAUUAGGAAAUAUUGUGGGAGAAUGAUCUCGUAGCCACGAAACUUCUAAGUACCGGAGUGUGGUAUCGUCUUGACUUGCCUUAUCUGUCUCAUAGGUAGAUGUGGCAUCUUCUCUGGAAGUACUCUUCCUCCAUCCAGGGGUGGUAUCUGUAACUGGUGGAGAUGCACAAGGUAAUGUAUCAAUUUCACUUGAAGCUUACUUGUAGUUUCAUGGCUUGGUCCAAGCGAGAUACAAACCAUGUAGUAGGAGUCCCCCAAGUCGCCGAGCUGGGGAUCUGCUGAAAGAGGUGACAGACAAGGUAAGCAAUCAGAGCUCCGGCUGAUUGUUCACAUUCUCCCUAUCUUGCAGGCAGCAUGAAGGAUAAAGAGAAGAAAAAUGAGGAAGAGAUGAUAUGGGAUACUUUUGCUUUUGAAGAAGUAACUUUCCACAGGCUUAUUCUUGAACUGGGCUGGAGGGUUUUCUGGUUUCCUCCAGAGUAUAAGGCCGACUGAAGAAUUUGAGGGUCAAAACAAGUCCAUCAAAUCUAGAGUACGUUCGACCCUGCUGAUAUGGGAUACUUUUUCUUUUGACAGAGUAGUGGAUGUAUCGGCACGUGUGCUGUUACGCUUGUCUCCACAUGCUUCCUUGUAUCCUUCUCACUUGCCCUAUCUGUUCCUCAGGCAGAUGCGGUAUCUUCCCUGGAAGCAUAAGAUGUUGAAGAUGAGUACUCGAGAGCAAUGCCAGGUAAGUAAUCAGGUAAGGGGUUCCAGGCAGUCAGUUCCUGGCUGGAAGCUUAAUUCCAAGUGCUGACUGAUUGCUCUCUUUCUCCUUGUCUUACAGGUAAGAACAAGGCCAAAGGAAAAGACAGGGAAAAAGCAUGAUAUGGGAUACUCUUGCUUUUAACCCUGAUGAUAUGAGAUAAUCUUGCUCUAGUAUAGCUUGUUUAUAGAGGUAUUAUCGGGGGGAAAGAAAGCUGAAUAUUUCGAAAGGCUUUGUUGGGAGUGCCCUCUCAGAUAAGAGAAAGGGUUGAGCAUUUUUGCAGGUCUGCCUGUCCGUUAGGGAUGGAAGGUCGACAUAUAUAUAGGAGUCUCCCUAACAUCAAGUAAUAAUGCUAUUCCUUUACCCUGCUUGGUCAUAGCACGGUAGUGGGAGCUGCCAGCUUCACAUGUUUUAACUCUGUCAGAGCACUUUGAAAAAGUGGUUUGUGGUAUCUGGAAAGCUGAUGUUGCGUGUGAAGAUUACAGACCUGUCGGGGGUCUGGCUCUCGAGAUUCGGAGAACGAUGCCUCUUCGAUUUUUGAGAAAGCAAUCCUGCUGGGGGUCUGGCUCUCGAGAUUCGGAGAACGAUGCCUCUUCGAUUUUUGAGAAAGUAAUCAUGUUGGGAGUCUGGCUCUCGAGAUUCGGAGGGCCGUGCCUCUUCGAUUUUAGAGCAAGCAAUCUUGUUGGGAGUGUUUUCUCGAAUGUGAGUAAAGGUUGGGCAUGUUUGCUAGUCUACCUUGCCACGAAGCACGGAAGUUGACACACAGAGACUUUCCAAUUAUCCAGCAGUGGUACUGUUCCUUUACCCUCUCUUCGAUUUUUGAGAAAGUAAUCAUGUUGGGAGUCUGGCUCUCGAGAUUCGGAGGGCGGUGCCUCUUCGAUUUUGGAGCAAGCAAUCUUGUUGGGAGUGUUUUCUCGAAUGUGAGUAAAGGUUGGGCAUGUUUGCUAGUCUACCUUGCCACGAAGCACAAAGGUUGACACACAGGGACUUUCCAAUUAUCCAGCAGUGGUACUGUUCCUUUACCCUCUCUUCGAUUUUUGAGAAAGUAAUCAUGUUGGGAGUCUAGCUCUCGAGAUUCGGAGGGCGGUGCCUCUUCGAUUUUGGAGCAAGCAAUCUUGUUAGGGAGUGUUUUCUCGAAUGUGAGUAAAGGUUGGGCAUGUUUUGCUAGUCUACCUUGCCACGAAGCACAGAGGUUGACACACCGGGACUUUCCAAUUAUCCAGCAGUGGUACUGUUCCUUUACCCUUGUGGGUAAUAAUAUGGUAGCUAGACCUUCAAAAUUUAUGUGUCUAAACUUUGUUAGUGUUGUUUCUUUGCAAUUCUUUUACCCUUCUUGGUCAGAGCGAUGUAGUGAGCUGCAAGCUUCACGUGUCUCAACUUUGUCAGAGAACUUUGGCAAAGUUAUCUGUGGUACCCAUGAGCUACUGUUGCGUGUGGGAAGUGGGUGAUUGAACAGUACGAUUCAUGUGCUUUCUACUUCGCCAGAAAUCUUCGACAGAAUGCCCAUAAUUUCCGCAAAGCUGAGUGUGCGUGUGACAGGUGCUGACAAGGCUGGAAAAGUAGGUGCCUCUUCGAUUUCUGAAAUCGGCCCUCGUGGUCUCUGAGCAGCCCAGCUUUUGAGAAAGCAAGCCUCUUCGAUUUCUGAGAUCGGCCUUUGUGGUCUUUGAGCAGCCCAGCUUUUGAGAAAGCAAACGCCUCUUCGAUUUCUGAGAUCGACCCUCGUGGUCUCUGAGCAGCCCAGCUUUUGAGAAAGCAAACGCCUCUUCGAUUUCUGAGCAGGCGCCUCUUCGAUUUCUGAAGCUUCGUCGAGUGCAGAUUUUUAUAGGGGCUGACAUUAAGUUCCAAAGCACACUUGAAUAUCCACCAGUAGAAGCUCCAUUCUUGCACUUCUAAGAUCUUGAUUUGUCCGACCUCUUCUCUCUUCAACACCUUUGAAAAUGUCUGGCCCCUCCGACCGUCGUUUUGACUUGAACCUUGUUGAAGAGGCAGCCCCGCCUUCUCCAGACAACAUAUGGCGCCCAUCCUUCGUCUCCCCUACUGGUCCUCUUACCGUUGGGGAUUCCGUGAUGAAGAAUGAUAUGACCGCUGCGGUAGUGGCCAGGAACCUUCUCACUCCCAAAGAUAACAGACUACUUUCCAAACGGUCUGAUGAGUUGGCUGUUAAGGAUUCUCUGGCUCUCAGUGUUCAGUGUGCAGGUUCUGUGUUUAAUAUGGCCAACGCCUAUUUGCUCGAACCCGCCAAGUUGAAUAAUUGGCGGCUGAAGUGAUGAGUCUCAAACAGGAGAUUAGAGGGCUCAAGCAUGAGAAUAAACAGUUGCACCGGCUCGCACAUGACUAUGCUACAAACAUGAAGAGGAAGCUUGACCAGAUGAAGGAAUCUGAUGGUCAGGUUUUACUUGAUCAUCAGAGAUUUGUGGGUUUGUUCCAAAGGCAUUUAUUGCCUUCGUCUUCUGGGGCUGUACCGCGUAAUGAAGCUCCAAAUGAUCAAUCCUCUGAUGCCUCCUCCUUCUAGGGUUUUGUCCAGUACUGAGGCUCCGAAUGAUCCCCCUCCGGUGCCUUCUCUUUCUGGGGCUCUACCGACUGCUGAGACUUCUCCUAAGCAACCUUUGUGAAGGCUCCCUCUUGUUUGUUUAUUUUGACUCAAGUAUAUGUACAUAUUUGUAACUUAUCGGGGAUAUCAAUAAAUAAGCUUUCCUUCAUUUCAACGUAUUGUGUUAAAUACACCAAAGCCUUCUUCGCUAAGUUCUUUGAAUUUUCUUUUGUUGAAGCUUGUAUGUUGAAGCUUUGUGAGUGGAGCAUGUAGGUUGAGGUAGUGUUCCCUUAAUUUCCCGAGUGAGGAAAACUUCUCGGUUGGAGACUUGGAAAAUCCAAGUCACUGAGUGGGAUCGACUAUAUGAAUCUUAGAACGCCAUUGUGUUCUGUCCUGUGUCAUGUCCUCCGUUAGAUCCAAGUACUCUAAGUCUUUUCUUAGGGUCUCUUCCAAAGUUUUCCUAGGUCUUCCUCUGCCCCUUCGGCCCUGAACCUCUGUCCCAUAGUCGCAUCUUCUAAUCGGAGCGUCAGUAGGCCUUCUUUGCACAUGUCCAAACCACCGUAACCGAUUUUCUCUCAUCUUUCCUUCAAUUUCGGCUACUCCUACUUUACCCCGGAUAUCCUCAUUCCUAAUCUUAUCCUUUCUCGUGUGCCCACACAUCCAACGAAGCAUCCUCAUCUCCGCUACACCCAUUUUGUGUACGUGUUGAUGCUUCACCGCCCAACAUUCUGUGCCAUACAGCAUCGCUGGCCUUAUUGCCGUCCUAUAAAAUUUUCCCUUGAGCUUCAGUGGCAUACGGCGGUCACACAACACGCCGGAUGCACUCUUCCACUUCAUCCAUCCAGCUUGUAUUCUAUGGUUGAGAUCUCCAUCUAAUUCUCCGUUCUUUUGCAAGACAGAUCCUAGGUAACGAAAACGGUCGCUCUUUGGUAUUUCUUGAUCUCCGAUCCUCACCCCUAACUCGUUUUGGCCUCCAUUUGCACUGAACUUGCACUCCAUAUAUUCUGUCUUUGAUCGGCUUAGGCGAAGACCUUUAGAUUCCAACACUUCUCUCCAAAGGUUAAGCUUUGCAUUUACCCCUUCCUGAGUUUCAUCUAUCAACACUACAUCGUCUGCGAAAAGCAUACACCAAGGAAUAUCACCUUGAAUAUGUCCUGUUAACUCAUCCAUUACCAACGCAAAAAGGUAAGGACUUAAGGAUGAGCCUUGAUGUAAUCCUACAGUUAUGGGAAAGCUUUCGGUUUGUCCUUCAUGAGUUCUUACGGCAGUCUUUACUCCUUCAUACAUAUCCUGUAUAGCUUGGAUAUAUGCUACUCGUACUCCUUUCUUCUCUAAAAUCCUCCAAAGAAUGUCUCUUGGGACCCUAUCAUACGCUUUUUCCAAAUCUAUAAAGACCAUGUGUAAAUCCUUUUUCCCAUCUCUAUAUCUUUCCAUCAAUCUUCGUAAGAGAUAGAUUGCCUCCAUGGUUGAGCGCCCUGGCAUGAACCCGAAUUGGUUGUCCGAAACCCGUGUCUCUUGCCUCAAUCUAUGCUCAAUGACUCUCUCCCAGAGCUUCAUUGUAUGACUCAUUAGCUUAAUUCCCCUAUAGUUCAUGCGAGGCUAAAAAAAAAUUUCGCGCUGCGCGCGCUAUGACCCCAUAAACAUUUUUUCCUGGAUCCGCCACUGGCCCCAAUGUCGAGCUGCAUGACAGAAAUUUCGAGUAAAUUGAUAUAAAUGUACUGGAAGUAGAAGAAAUUAUCUAGAGAAAUGUAGCUAUUACAAGAAAAGAAAGGUUGGCAGUAAUACAGGAUAAACGACUGGUGCCAUCUUCAACAAUUGCCAUAAGUUUUGAUUGAAAUUCUACAAACUCCAUCUAUUAGACCAAUCAUCGCCGAAAUUAAUUAUAUCCGCCGACAAACAUUAAUAGAUCAAAGCAGAAGAAUAAGAUGGCGCGUGUUGGGAUAGUUUCGUAGGAAACUGGAAGAUCUAUGAGAGGAGCAAGGAGCCCUACUAUGAAGACAGUGAAGGACAAUCCCAUAGCAUAAACAAAGAUGCGAAGCCAUAAAACGUGAUACACUGUCAGUGCAACACCAGCCAGGAAUGACGAGGACAUCAUGGUAAGCGUUACGCCUAGCACCGGUAAGGUAAAUCUCAUGGCAGCAUAGAUUAUACUAGGGUCAUAUGUUUGCGCCCACAUAAGGGCAAUUGAAGCAGUAAUGGAGCCGCACAUAGCCACGGUAUUGCAUAUCAAGAAAAUUCUGAAUAGGCUAUGCGGAAGAAAAUUUGGGGUGCCCACAUUAUUUCCAGUGUCACUGUAUCCACCUGGUACUGUGAAGCCUUGAGCAAACGUUAUACCAACCACCAGCGUUGACACCAAUAGGAGAGUAUUGACACUCUCUUUCGAAAACAUUAGGUUAUCAGAAUUGUGCAAGGACUUCGGAACAGAAUCCUGUGUCUCUUUGGAGACUUUUCGCUCUUCAGAUCGUGGAGCAUUAGCCAAGUUCAAGGCCAUAAGUGUUAGUUUCUGCAAGAAAAACGAAAGUUUCAGUUCUUGACCAAGUUGUUAUAUAGAUCAUGCAUGACAAACACGAGAAACGAUUAUAAAAUAAAGGCCAUAAGGGUUAGCUUCUGCAGGGAAAAAUCGUGUGUAAUCAGGAUAUCCUCCCCUCUUUAUAUCUCUCUUAUGCAAUGAGAGGGACAAGAAGGGGAUACAUAUACCUCUGGUUAAUUAAUUACGUUGUAGAAUUCUCUCCUAUGUACGACAUACUUGUAGGUAGUUGUAGUGUCACACUGUAGGUAAAGGAAACUAAUCGAAAAGAUGCGUUGAGAAAUUACGUAGUCUCCGAAACAACAUCUCUUUAUCUACCCCGGUCUUCUCUGCAAGGUCCAAUGCCGUCUCACCUGCAUUGUUCAAACUAUUUAAAUUGGCUCUCUCAUACGCAUGGAAGAGGGAAAGAAUUUUGACGAUCUUAGGAUGCCAGUUUUGGACGGCUAUAUGUAGAGGGGUAUUUCCACUUUGAUCUCUUUGCUUGCUAAGCACUUGAAGAUCGCGCUUUCCAAUAAUAUAUCGGACAACAUCAACUCUUCCAUGCGCGGCCGCAAGAUGAAGAAUAUUCCGGCCUUCAUGGUCACUUGAUCCCUCAAGUCGGGGCAAUAAUCGAGAAACUCUUCAACAACCCUGCAAUGGCCUUUUUUGGACGCCACAUGUAUAGGAAGCAACUGAUUUUCGUCACCUUUGUAUGCCAAUCCAGUAAAUUUGUGCAACAAUAUGCGUACCGCCACAAAGUUAUCCAUAUAAGCCGCAACUGUAAGAGGAGACAUCCACCCUUGGUCCAUUGAAUUGAUGAGAUCAGCUGAAUCCAUUUUGCUCAAUAUCGUCUCUAGGAGAUCUACAUAGCAUAUGCAUUUUAGAAGCAACUCUGUCAAGAAUAAGUAUUUAUGAAGAGAGAAAUAAACAAAAGGUAAAUUGUCAUAAUGCCAUAUUACAAAGAGUUAGAGCAUCUCCAACAGUGUAAAAAAAUGAUUUUGAUGAGCCACGCAGGUAAAACUUUGCUCCCGCUCCAAUGGUAUGUGCAAUUGAGUAUGAAAAUUUUGCUCAUUCCCACAAAGUAAGCAAUAUUAUUGACUACUUCAAUAUUAUAUGCUAAUGACAUGAAAAAGGCAAUGACAGAGGCAUACUUGUAUACUUCUUUCUGUUGGCUCUGGGCAGCCACCAUUGAGAAACUAUACUCUUAAAAAAUAUCCAGCAUACAACCCCCGCCAUCACAAAGAGUGGAUUGAUGAGAUUGAUUAAUAUGGACAUGACCAACGCGAACACUGCUAUAGAAAAUAGCAAUGACAGAGGUAUAUUUGUAUACUUCUUUCUGUUGGUUCUGGGCAGCCACCAUUGAGAAACUUCAAUCAAGCAUACAACCCCCGCCAGCACAAAAAAAAGUGGAAUGUUGAAAUUCCAUAACAUGAGCAUGACCAACACGAACACUGCAUCAUAUUUCUUGAGGCCACCUUUUGCUAUACUUGUAACCCAUGCCCAAACAACCGCCAGCAAAACAAAGAGUGGAAUGUUGAUAUACCAUAACAUGAGCAUGACCAACACGAACACUGCAUCAUAUUUCUUGAGGCCACCUUUUGCUAUAUUUGUACCCCAUGCCAAAAUUUAAAAAAAUACUCAUUACUAGCUAUAUGUACCAAAACAAAAAUUACUCACAAGUAUACCAAAAAGAAAAAAGGGUAACUGCAAAUGCUUAAUAUUUACCUUGUUUCCUCCAUAUGAUCGCACUACGAAGAAUUGAGUUGCCGUUCGAUCCUUGCCAAAAAUUACCAGAAUUAGCGUCUGUUGUGCUAUUUGGCGUCUUGUCUACCAUUGCUUUAACAAGUUCAAGAUUGGCAGUUUCAGCAGCCAUGCACAAGGGAGUCUUUCCGGAUUCAUUUGUGGAAUGCAACGUGGAUCCAGAUCCAUCUUCGCCGACCAAAAACAUAGCCACAUCUUGGUGAUUAUUUUCCACAGCGACAUGCAACGCAGUGUUCCCUCUCUCGUCCUCUUCAUUAAACGUAUUACCUUGAGCCGUGUCUACCAAACAAGACGAAGCCAGAAAUUUAACUAAGAGGGGGCACCUUAAAAAAUUUGAGCUCUUUUUUUGGAUAAAUAAAGCUAGUUCUUUUACAAAUAUUGAAAAAAUCAAUUACAAAAUGCCUAAUUUUAUUACGCUAUUGUCUAAUUUUGUUUUUAAUUGUUGUAUUGACAAUCUAAUACUCAUUACUUUAGUCUAAAGUAGGGGGAGGGUGGCACUGUGUAAUUUUGAGGUACAUUUCAGUUUAUUUACGAAAUUGCCACUAAAGCUCCUUGCCCCUGAUUUAAAGUAAUUUGCAAAAUUGUCAUUGGGCUUCAGAAAUUUUUUGUAGUAUUAAAUGAUGAGACUGCCCAUUUGAGCUUCAGAUCACACAGUGAGGUUUUUGUCCUUAGGGUUUUCGGAAUGAUUGAGGUUAAGUUGUUUCCCCAUCAUUUGUUUCUUUCUUCGGCGCAGGCAUGCCCAUGCCGAUCUUAGCAUGAGUGAGUGGGAGGGUGACAGUGAGAGAAAGAGAGAGUGGUUGUUCGGAUUUCAGGGAUCAAAAGAAGGACUAAGAUAGAGAUCGGGAUCGAGAGAGGGAUUGAGAUCGCGAUAGGGAUCAGAUGAGCCGCAGAAAGAGGCGAAGAGGCGAGAGGUUAAUGCAAUCGCUGGAAGCAUCUUUCGUUUCUCUCUUUCUUUCGCCUCUUCCUUUGGUACGCCUAAUCGGAUUAGCAGUGAAAUUGUUAGAAAUUAAAGAACAAUGCAGGAAUUUAAAGGGAGAUAAAGGAAGAAGUCGAGACAAAGGAUAAAAGGAUUAUUCAUUCAUUCAUAAAACCCAACGAGGCUGAGAGUUACAUAUAUAUAUAUAUAUAUAUAUAUAUAUAUAUAUAUAUAUAUAUAUCAAGCCAAUAAGGGGAAACCCUAGCUAUGAGGCUUGGGCUUGAAGACAAGACAAGGUAAUUAUUAACAAAAGGCUUGGGACUUAAAAAGAUGAGAAAGGUCCAACUGUUAGGUCCUAACAACUCCCUCCCUUAAGAAGGAACAUGUCUUCAGGUUCAAAAGUCUGGAUAAUGUGCAAUGAUCUCGUCGGCUUCCUCCUAUGUGGCAUAUUCAGCUGGAAGAGCCAACCACUGUAUGAGCCAUUUUGUGAUUGUAACGUUCUUCUUCUUGAACAUCCCUCUGUCCAAAAUCUUCUUAGGUUGCCAAUGCAAGUGACUUAUAGAGUCAAUAAGCGGCAGGAUUGGACUUGGAGAGAUGGCAUCACCUAUCUUCUUCUUGAGUAGAGAUACAUGGAAGACUGGGUGUAUUUUGGAGUCAAGAGGUAGAUUCAAAUGGUAAGCCACUACACCUAUGCAAGCUUUCACUUGGAAUGGGCCAUAAAACUUAGGUGUAAGUUUGUUGAAAUGCCGAGUGGCCACAGAUUGCUGGAGAUAGGGCUGGAGCUUGAGAUAGACCUAAUCACCCACAUUGAAUUCGUGUUCAGUUCGACCUUUAUCGUCAACUUAUUUCAUUCGAUUAUGUGCAAGCUACAAGUUAGCACGCAAAAGGCUAAGAAGCUUGUUAUGGUCCUGCAAUGCCACAUCAACCGAGUUAACUGCCGUAGUACCAAAUAUGUAGGAGUGAAUGGUUGGGGGUGGCAAUCCAUACAACGCCUGGAAGGGUGACAUUUUAAUGGCAGAUUGAAACGUGGUGUUGUACCACCACUCGGCCCAGGGAAGGAUGGCAGCCCACUUGCGAGGGUGAUCUGCCGAGAAGCAUCGAAGGAAAUGCUCGAGUGUGCGAUUUAAGACUUCUGAUUGGCCAUCAGAUUGCGGGUGGUAUGCAGAACUCUGACGCAAUUAGGUGCCCUGUUUACUGAAUAACUAUUGCCAAAAGUGGCUGAGAAAGGUUGGGUUACGAUCCGAGACAAUCGAUUUUGGCAUGCCAUGAAGAUGAAAAUUUUCCUUGAUGAAUGUGUCGGCAACGGAUGCAACUGUGUAUAUGUGUUUGAUCGGAAUUAAGUGGCCAUAUUUAGUGAGGCGAUCAACAACUACCAAAAUGACUGUGUAGCCAUUGGAAGAAGAUAAUCAUUCGACGAAGUCAAGAGCAAUGUCCUGCCAUAUGCCGUCAGGAAUAGAGAGCGGCUGCAAGAGACCCAACGGGUGAAUGUUCUCAUGAUUCUAGCAUUGGCAUUCCGAGCAAGUGGAUACAAAAUUCUUUACAUCUUUACGAAUACUAGGCCAAAGACAGUUGCGAGAGACGUGGUUGUAAGUACGGAGAAAACCGGAGUGGCCCCCUUGCAGCGAAAAGUGGAAUUCUUCUAGGAUUUUUGGACGCCAUUAUGAUGUCAAAGGAACAAAAACUCCCUGUUUGUAAUGAAGGACACCAUUAACAAGUGUGAAGCCUCGCACACUGUUGUUUGGUGUUUGGAGCAAUGAAAGCCAGAGUGUUUGAACCUGUGGAUCUGCAGCAUAUGAUUGUUAUAGGUUUGGUAAACAAUCAAAAACUGGAGAGGAUAAACCCAUAAAAAGCAGUAUCUCAUGUUGGUGAGAAAGUGCAUUCGGGGCUCCAUUUUGAGAACCCGAUAUGUAGUCCACUGUGUAAUUAUACCCUAGAAGCUUAACAAGCCAUUUUUGUUGUUGUGGAGUCGUUAUACGCUGCUCAAGGAAGAACUUGAUGGGUUUGUGGUCAGUCACAAUUCUAAAUUGUUGACCCAAGAGGUAAUGGCGCCAAUUCUGCACAGCAAAGACGAUGGCGAGCAUUUCCUUGUCAUAUGUAGAGAGAUCGAGAUUAAGACAGGACAAGGCCUUACUGAGGUAAGUUAUUGGGUGACCAUCUUGGCAUAAGAUAACACCUAUACCAAUACUCGAUGCAUUUGUUUCCACGACAAAUUGUUAGGAGAAAUUGGGGAGAACAAGCACGAGUGUGGUUACUAACGCAUGCUUGAGCUUGUCAAAUGCAGCAAUGGAGUCAGUUGUCCAUGAGAAAUUACCCUGUUUUAACAUGUCAGUCAAUGGCUUUGCAAUCAGACCAUAAUGACGGACGAACUUCCGAUAAUAACCUGUGAGACCCAAGAAUCCACGAAGGCUUUUGAUAGACUACGGUUGAGGCCAAUUUGUGAUUGCUUGAAUCUUGGAGGUGUCCAUUGCCACACCGUGGCCCGAGAUAAAGUGGCCCAAAUAGUCAAUCGUAGCUUGCCCAAAGGAACAUUUGCUAAGCUUUACCCUUAAGCUGUGAGUAGACAAAACUUGAAAAAUAAUCUCCAAAUGGGAGAUGUGGGUAGCAAAUGAAGAACUAUAGACAAGGAUAUCAUAAAAAAAAAAAAACUAAUACAAACUUAUGCAAGUAUGGCCUAAAAAUGGAAUUCAUCAAAGCCUGAAAAGUUGAUGGAGCAUUGGAAAAGCCGAAUGUCAUCACCAAGAACUCGAAAUGGCCGUUGUGUGUACGAAAUGCUGUUUUUGGAAUAUCCUUGGAACACAUGCGGAUCUGGUGGUAACCUGACUAAAGGUCAAGCUUGGAAAAUAUGGUUGCCCCAUGCAAUUUGUCAAGUAACUCAUCCACAAUUGGAAUGGGGAAACGGUCCUUGAUGGUUGCUGCAUUCAAAGCUCUAUAGUCAAUACAAAGACGCCAUGAGUCAUCCUUCUUUUUCACAAUGAGUACUGGCGAGGAAAAAUGACUAUUGUUGUUUCAAAUUACGCUUGAUUGUAGGAGUUCUUGCACUUGUUUCUUAAGUUCAGCUUUUUUGGAGUGUGGGUAUCAACAUGGACGAACCGAGAUAGGUGUAGUGUUGGGUAAGAGCAAAAUUUUAAGGUUUAUAUGGCAUUGGGGUGGGAGACCAGAUGGUAUGGCGAAAAGAUGGCGGUAUUGUGUAAGGAGGGAAAAAAUGGUUGGGUGGGUGUCGGUUGGUGGGGAGAGAAGGGUAUCUGUGGGUGAGUUUGGUCGGGGAAUGAGAUGGGUGAGUUGGGAAGUGGGUUGUAGUGAAUGACAGGUGUGAAAAGGUGGGGUGAUUUUGAAUAGUCCCUAAAGGGAUGAACCUCAAAGGGUGUAGCCUUGCAGAUUUACAUCGACAUCAUAAACUCGCAAGGAUGCAGUAAUUCGUGUGUGAAAGGCUGUAGUGAAAUGAACCGGGGCAAUAUUUUCAAUUGGCAGGCCUAAACGGUGUGCAACAUCCGUAUAAAGCAAAUUGCAAGUAGCUCCAUAAUCGAUUAGGAUCGUAAUUGGAAGGGAGUUAAUGGAGCCUUGCAAUUUCAGUAGUUGACCCAUGUUAAGCCUAAAGAGCGAAAAAAGCUCUAGCAUGUGGCGUGUGGGAUCAGGAGGGAGUUCUUACUCCGAUUGGAAAUCAUGAAACUCAAUAGAAUCAUCUUCAAUGGUAGGGGCAUCAAGCAUCACAAUCAUAGGAACUUUGCAUUUAUGUCUGGGAACAUAAGGUUCUGUGCAAUGGAAGCAUUCGAGUUUGCGAAUUUUUUCUUGAACCUCAGCUGAGGUUAAUUGUUUGAAUGGCGCGGUUUGGAUUGGAGGGGGUUUAAGGCAUGAGAUGGCAGAGAUGGAGUUAGGGUUGGAUGGUUUUGGAAAGCUAGAGGGUAGGUAUUGCCGAGAGAAAUUAGAACGAGAGGUUCUUUUGGACUGCAUUUUGGUUUAAAAAAUUUUGGCCAAUUUUUAAGCUUGGUGUAAAGAAUCGGGUUUAAGAGCUAGGACAUCAUGGCGAAUAUCCUAUUUUAAUCCCCCUAAGAAAACAUGUUUGAGCCGAUUCUCUGUCCAAUUAAUCACCCUACAAGAGAGUUUAGUAAACUCUGCUAUAUAGUCAUCCACAGUGCCCAUUUGUUGGAUGUGGGUGAGCUGUGAUUCAAUGGUCGAAGAGGAUGGUGUGGGUCGGGUAGAGGGAGUAUAGGUGGGGAUUGGGGCUAAACUUAGGGAUGGAGGUUUAGAGAGUCCCAAACUUGUGUAGGUAGUGGUGGGUAGGGCAAAUAAGGAGCGGAAUGAGGGUGGGGGGUUGGUUGCAGGGGUGCAGGUAGAGGUGGGAUUUACUGUCAGUGCUUGUUUGGGGGUGGUGGAAGGCUUGAUUUGAGAGUAUAAAGCUUGUCGAGCAUUGGAGAUUGAAAUGCCACGAACUAGGUAGUCAUGGUGUUUUGAAAGGCUAUAUUGGAGUUGUUGAUUUGGUCAAGAGAUUUUUGGAAGGACACCUGUUGGUUCUCUAGGGCUGAUAUGGAGUCACAAACAUCUACCUGGGAUGUGAUGUGCUCAUGACAGACAUCGACCGCCAUAGUGACGGCGUCUGGGUUAGAGGUUACAGAUGGAGUGUUUUGGCCCAUAAUAUCUAUGGGCUCUGAUAACAAUUGGUACGCCCAAUCAGAUUAGCAGCUGAAAUUGUUAGAAAUUAAAUAACAAUGCUGGAAUUUAAAGGGAGAUAAAGGAAAAAGUCGAGAUAAAAGGAUACGAGGAUUUUUCAUUCAUUCAUAAAACCUAACGGGGCUGAGAGUUACAUAUAUAUAUCAAGCCAAGAAGGGGAAACCCUAGCUAUGGGGCUUGGACUUGAAGACAAGACAAGGUAAUUAUUAACAAAAGGCCCGGGACUUAAAGAGAGGAGAAAUGCCCAACUGUCAGGUCCUAACAACCUUUUUGUUCCAGUGCUUCAUUUUCGAUAGCCUUCCUCAUCUUUCAACGAGAUUCCGGUGACUAGAUCCAUAGCACACUCGAGAACCGCUCCCUUUUAGGGAUGGGCAAAUACCCAUCGGUUAUGGGUAACUGCGGAUAUCCGCCCAUUUAAAUUUCACAGUUACGGUUAUGGGUAACCGUUUAGAUAAUUAAGUUAUGGGUAUAACCGUUUACCUGUGAAAUUUAAAUGGACAUUUAUGAGUAUUAAUUGCGGUUAUAACGAUUACCCGUUUACCAGUUUAUUUUAAUAGAUAUAUAAAAUUAAAAAAACAAAAAACCUAAUAUGUAAGACUGUAACAUGUUCGUUCUCUCUGCCAGGAGGCCAGGACCUGUUUAUUUUAGUAGCUAGGUGAUGAAUAUGACUGGUAUGUUUAAUUCAGUUUUAAAUUGCUGACAUGGGAAUCAGUUGUGGACCUAUGGUACGAAUACAAUGUAUAAUCUGAGGUCACAUUCAACAUCUCUGGUUAAAUACAUUUCUUUUGGGAUACUAUUUCAAUUUAUAAAUUUCUUUUGUAUGUCUACAACGAGUUGAUGAGACUUUGUCAUUGAAUGUGCUUAAAACAUUAGUGUUCGAAAAUGUAUAGUUUUGAAAUAUUUUGGAGCUUUGAAUCAUCUAGUAUUUAAGAUAAUGACUAUCUUGAGUUUUUAGAAGCUAUACUUUGUAAUCAUAUGAAUGUUAUAUUUGAAUACUUGCUUAGGUGUAGAAGAAAAAUAUGUCGAAAAUAUAUGAAUUUUCUUUCCACUUUUUGAAGAUUCCCUUCUCUCUGUUUUGAGAUUAUACUCUUUGGCUAUCUAUUUUAUCUGUAGUUCAUUUCACUAAAUUAAAAAUGAAUCUUUAAUUUUUUAAUUUUUAAAAUGAAAGAUAAGAGAAAAUCAUAAGUACUUAAUUAUAUAUAUGGGUUGCUGCUGAGAAGAAAUGGAGGGAAGUGGAAGGUGUUUUCAUGUUCUCCCCACAACCAAAAGCGCUUCGUUUGAGCUACUCAACCUUUCUCUACCGUUACGAACAAGUUCGCUUUUUUAGGGUGGGUAAUUUUGUGGUUUGAAAAUUAUGUGUUGUAAGUGUAAAUUUGGGAUUAGAAAUGGGUUUUCUGUUAAAAUUUCAUUUUUUUUAAUUUUGGGGGUUUUGUUUCAAGCGAUCUCAUUCUUUUAAUCGGACUUUUGCCAAAGUUUAUUGCUGGGUUUUGGGUGCUUUUGAAUUUGGUGAAAUUUGUGAUUUUUCAGUGCUUCAAUGGUGUUUUGGAAUGAUUGGUAUUUUGGUGUCGAAUGCAACUAAUUAUGUGGAUCUUAAUUAGUAGAUAUCCAAGAGUGACAAAUGCAACUAAUUAUGUGGAUCUUAAUUUGGUGAUUCAUUUCCUUCACUCUGUGUGUCAGGAAAUGAGUUCAACCAUGGAUUCGUAUACGUUGAAGUCCACGUCCGAUUUGCCUGCUCUCUUUCUAUCAUCGUUUAUUUUUACAUAAUAUCCUUGCAAUUGGAGUUUUGUUACUGGUAUUAUUAAGGUUUUGUUCCUGAUAUUAUUUGGGUUUGGUGUUAGUGGGGAUGGCAGUGGCGCGCUAAGUUAGCCGUUCGUGGCUCACCGGAAAACCCUUGGUUGGGCUAUCAGGAGGGAACUCAUAAUGUAGUAGAUAUUUCUCAAUGCAGAGGUCACAAUCCUAAUGACUUUAUAUUUGAUAUUUUAAAUCCUUGGAUUAUGUUAAAUUUUAUGUUUUUAGUUUAAUUUGUAUCUUCUUCUCUGUUUUUGUAGCUCAUCAUCCCAGUAUUAAUGCUGUUGGGGAGCUGCUUAAACAAGGUCCAAUUUCAGCUAUUAAAACUGAAUGUUACCAGUUUUCAUAUCCGGUGUUUGAGUCUUGAAUAUUACUUCUCUUUAUAAUGUUCAGGUAUUACAGAACUACGAGUUGAGCCGUAUGAUGAAGAUGAGGGGACUGGUGAUUUGGUAUUACGGAACUACUUUGUAUAACGUUCAGGUAUUAUGUGCAGGUGACUGAUGUGAUUCAUAAUAAUGCAAUUGCACAUGGAAAACAUGUUAGUAAGUUGUAAUGUUUUGGAAUUCAAUUAAUGGUGGUGUAAUGCAGAUGGCUGUGACAACACAUAAUACUUCCCAUCCCGUUUCUGAAAGAUAUAAGAAUGGUUAGUAGCUGAAUUCAUCAAAGUUAUCUGAGUUUCUAGAAAGACAUUUUACGUGAUACUUCAUUUCAUCGUUGUAAAUAUUUUCUUUAAAAGGAUUAAAUUAAAUAAUGAAAAUGCUCUAGCAAAUGUUCUGGAUGUAAGCUAAAAGAUCAAUUUAACUUUUCUUCCCUGUCAUUUUUAGUGCUUUUUCUUUUCUUAUUACUUUUAGGAAUUAAUUUUUGAGAUAUAUUAUGACUAACAAAUUUACUGUUGCCCCUAUCAUCUUUUUUGCUUAAGAUUUCUUUUGAACCUCGCGGAAUCUUCUAUUUAGAUGCGCCAUCAUCAUCAGUUUGUCUGCUAUUCCAGUUAGAGAUUCAUGCCACAGAAGAAGGUGGGCUUACACCUUCAGUUUAUUCGUGCAAAGAACCAGUAUGUCCAAAUAUAUGUUACUCGAUUCUUAAAAACUGUAUGGCAUGACAAGAUAAAUUUAUAAAUUUCUAAUUUUUCUGCUUUGUAUAAAAUCUUUGUUCACUCUACCUGAAAAGGUACACUUGACUGAGAAGAAAAGUCUUUUCAUAUUAAAUCCUUGUUUUCUUUCAUCUUAUCUUUGGCACAGAAAGCACCAUCAAAAUUUAUUUAUUUAUUUAUUUAUUUUCAGGUGGCUGUUGAGGAAGGUAUUGUUGUCGGUGGAUGAACCCUUUAGGUAAUUAUCUGUUACUUAUUGGACUCCCCCAAUCAUGAGUUUUGACUCGGAAGAAGAUUUUGAUGAUGAUAGAUACUGAAUUGAAUUUUGGCACAAAUUGUAUUGAAAAUUGCAGUUCAGAGCAAUUUUUAUGAGGAAGAAGGAUGAAUCUUAAACAUAUAUAUGAAUUUAGUCAAAUCCACACGCUCCAUUCAAACUUCUGAAUUUCAAGCACUUGAAUUGAAUAGAUGCUUUUAAUUCUUCUCCCAUCUAAACAUUAGAUAUUUCUGCAAUUUUAUUUCUAUGUUGUUUAUAUCAUUGUUGUUUGAAUAUAUGCUUAAACCUAUUUCAUUCAGAAUAUAUGUUAGCAAUAGUUUGAUUGUUUAAGCUAAGAUGUUUUUCAUGGCAUCGCAUGAAGCUUGAUAGGAAAGUAGUUCCAUUAUAUGUAGGCAUUGCAACUCUUUUUUUCUUUUCUAUUCUCUGGUUGCUGCUGUUUUCUCAUAGUGCAGGAAGCUUUAUGGCGUACAACGUGCCAAGUCAUUAUGCUGGCACCAUUCUGUUUUAGUAUUUGUUGGAUUAGAAUGUACUCAUUGUUUCAAGUGAGUAUUAAUUGUGACUCCUAAUAAAUAUUUAGAUUGAUAAAAUCAAAGGCCAGGGAGGGAGAGUUGGAGAAGCUCUUAGUUUGGGUGUUUUAACAUGUUGAUGUUGUGUGUUUUACUGUUUUAUGAGAUUUGGUGCUUCAUAUGCAGAUAAUAUAUUUCUGAUUUGAAAAUUUCAUCAUUAUUCCGUUGAUUUAUAAUUAAAUUUAUGCCUUAAUUUAGCAUUUUCAUCAUGAUGAGUAUUAGGAAUAGAGUAGGAGAGGUUGGUGAUUUUAUAGAGCACAAUUAUUAGGCUGCUUGGGUGCUUUGUGUUUAUUGAUUUAGGUAUACGUUAAAUCGAUUUGAUGUGAUUCUGAUUCUGGAAUUGGGUGUUGACUGCUGAAUUGGUGCUUGAUAUUUUCGUGUUGGAUUUUUCUCCAGCAGUGGAAUCUGAGGAAGAUUUCAACUGGGAAAUCAUUUUGUUCUCCACUUGGUAAUUAGUGGAGAUGUCAAGUUAUGUGGGUGUUUACAUUACGGAUCAAUCGCUUCAAAGCCAGGCCACACAGGUUGAGCUGUGCAGUCUAGAAUCCAAAGUAUGUAUAAUUGAUUAGUCAUGAAAUAUGAUACAUUUUCUCCGUGUUUACAUACUUAUGACAUACAAUCAGUUUCUUUUUGGUUGGGUUGAAAUGAUAUUGAUUGUGUUGUUAUAGAACUCCUUUUUAUAGUUGGGUUGAAAAUCAUGUUAAUAGAAUCUUUUUUUGGUUGGUCUGAUCUGUAACAGAUGAGAUUGUUUUGUUUGAAUCAAAAUUUGAUCGUUUUUUGUGUGAAAUUAUAAUGGAAUCGCAAAUUUAUCAGGUAUAUCUUAGAUUCUUUGUUGCAUAUUCACCUUCUCACAACUUUUACAUUGUCUCUUGAUUUGAUGUAAUUUUUAUAAUUUCCAUGAUCAACGGAUGCAUGAAGUAAGGAGGAAGCUACUAUUAUGGAGCUUCUUAGGCAUGGUAAGUUGAAGUUGUAAAUCAUUUUUUUCGUUCACGGAAUUCAUUAUCUUGCUAUAUUGGCAAUUAGUAGUGUCUGACAAUUGGUAAAGUGUAUUCAUUUUUCUGCUUAAUUUAUGUUGAAAAUUUGUAAUCAUUUAAAAAUGUAUUGUAAUCAAAUGACUAGCAUGUGAAUUUGUGUAUUGUAAUCAUUUACAACUUGCAGAAUUAGUUAAAUGUAUCAAAUGACUAGCAUGUGAAUUUGUGUAUAGUUAAAAAUAAUCUUAUCCUUAAGGAUUAUUGAUUGGGCAAAUUUGGUUGAGUAAAUUUAGGGUUAUUGAUUGUGCUAAUUUGGUUGAUUGGUUGAUCUGAUUUGAGAUUUUCUUCUAAUGAGGAAAGGAUAUUAUAUAACUUGUAAGGAUUGCAAAGUUAUACCGGGGGAGAGCUUGGCUAAUCAACAUCGCUUGUUGGUGAUGAAUGUACAUAUCAAAAGAGUGAGAAAAAAGAACAAGACUUGGAAGUGCCCAAGGACUAGAUGGUGGAAUCUAAAAGAAGAAAAACAAGUCAUUUUCAAAGAGAAAGUAAUCACCCAGUGUGUGUGGGAUAGAGAGGGGGAAGCUAGCCAAAGGUGGGAUUCCAUGGCUAGCUGUAUUCGAAAAGUAGCAAAAGAGGUAUUAGGAGAGUCUAAGGGCUUUGCUCCAUACCAAAAGGAAUCUUGGUGGUGGAAUGAGGAGGUACAAACAAAGGUGAAGGCUAAGAAGGAAUGUUGUAAAACCUUAUACAAGGAUAGGACCGAUGAAAAUGGUGAACGGUAUAGAAGAGCCAAGCAAAAGGCGAAGAAAGCUGUGAGAGAAACUAAGUUAGCGGCUUAUGACGAUAUGUAUAAGCGACUAGAUACCAAAAAAGGAGAGUUGGAUAUCUAUAAACUAGCUAGAGCAAGGGAAAAGAAGACAAGGGACCUAAACCAAGUGAGGUGCAUCAAGGAUGAGGAUGGAAAGGUUCUUGCUACAGAGAACGCGGUCAAAGACAGAUGGAGAGGUUAUUUUCAUAAUCUUUUCAAUGAAGGACAUGAAAGGAGUACUUCUUUAGGGGAGUUGAGUAACCCAGAAGAGUGUAGAAACUACUCAUUUUAUCGUCGAAUCAGGAAGGAAGAAGUGGUUGUAGCUUUGAAGAAGAUGAAGCAUAGAAAAGCAAUGGGCCCAGAUGAUAUACCGAUUGAAGUGUGGAAAGCCUUGGGAGAUACAGGUAUAGCAUGGCUCACUGACCUUUUCAAUAGGAUUUUGAAAACGAAGAAGAUGACAAACGAGUGGCGAAAGAGCACUUUGGUGCCUAUUUACAAGAAUAAGGGCGACGUACAAAAUUGCAUGAACUAUAGGGGUAUUAAGCUAAUGAGUCAUACAAUGAAGCUCUGUGAAAGAGUCAUUGAGCAUAUAUUGAGGCAAGAGACACAGGUCUCGGACAACCAAUUCGGGUUCAUGCCAAGGUGCUCAACCAUGGAGGCAAUCUAUUUCUUACAAAGAUUGAUGGAAAGAUAUAGAGAUGGGAAAAAGGAUUUACACAUGGUCUUUAUAGAUUUGGAAAAAACGUAUGAUAGGGUCCCAAGAGACAUUAUUUGGAGGAUUUUAGAGAAGAAAGGAGUACGAGUAGCAUAUAUCCAAGCUAUAAAGGAUAUGUAUGAAGGAGCAAAGACUGUCGUAAGAACUCAUGAAAGACAAACCGAAAGCUUCCCCAUAACUGUAGGGUUACAUCAAGGCUUAUCCUUAAGUUCGUACCUUUUUGCGUUGGUAAUGGAUGAGUUAACAUGACAUAUUCAAGAUGAUAUUCCUUGGUGUAUGCUUUUCGCAGACGAUAUAGUGUUGAUAGAUGAAACUCAGGAAGGGGUAAAUGCGAAGCUUAACAUUUGGAGAUAAGUGUUGGAAUCUAAAGGUCUUCGCCUAAGUCGAUCAAAGACAAAACACGUACACAAAAUGGAUGCUUCGUUGGAUGUGUGGGCACACAAGAAAGGAUAGGAUUAGGAAUGAGGAUAUCCGAGGUAAAGUAGGAGUAGCCGAAAUUGAAGGAAAGCUGAGAGAAAAUCGGUUACGGUGGUUUGGACAUGUGCAAAGAAGGCCUACUGAUGCUCCGGUUAGAAGAUGUGACUACGGGACAGAGGUUCAGGGCCGAAGGGGUAGAGGAAGACCUAGGAAAACUUUGGAAGAGACUCUAAGAAAAGACUUAAAGUACUUGGAUCUAACGGAGGAUAUGACAUAGGACCGAGCACAAUGGCGUUCUAAGAUUCAUAUAGCCGACCCCACUCAGUGACUUGAAUUUUUUAAGUCUCCAAUCGAGAAGUUUUCCUCACUCGGGAAAUUAAGGGAAUACGUUGAAAUGAAACAAAGCUUAUUAAUUGAUAUUUUCGAUAAGUUACAAAUAUGUACAUAUACAUGAGUCAAAAUAAACAAACAAGAGGGAGCAUUCACAAAGGUUGCUUAGGAAAAGUCUUAGCAGUCGGUAGAGCUCCAGAAAGAGAAGGCACCGAAGGGGGAUCAUUCGGAGCCUCAGUACUGGACAGAACCCUAAGGAUGAGGCAUCGGAGGUUGAUCAUUUGGAGCUUCAUUACGCGGUAUAGCCCCAGAAGACGAAGGCAAUAAAUGCCUUUGGAACAAACCCACAAACCUCUGAUGAUCAUGUAAAAUCUGACCAUCAGAUUCCUUCAUCUGGUCAAGCUUCAUCUUCAUGUUUGUAGCAUAGUCAUGUGCGAGCUGGUGCAACUGUUUAUUCUCAUGCUUGAGCCCUCUAAUCUCCUGUUUGAGACUCAUCACUGCAGCCGCCAAUGAUUCAACUUGGCGGGUUCGAGCAAAUAGGUGUUGGGUCAUAUUAGACACAGAACCUGCACACUGAACACUGAGAGUUAGAAAAUCCUUAACAGCCAACUCAUCAGACCGUUUGGAAAGUAGUCUGUUAUCUUUGGGAGUGAGAAGAUUCCUGGCCACCACCGCAGCGGUCAUAUCAUUCUUUAUCACGGAAUCCCCAACGGUAAGAGGACCAGUAGGGGAUAAGAAGGAUGGGCGCCAUAUGUUGUCUGGAAAAGGCAUGGCUGCCUUUUCAACAAGGUUCAAGUCAAAACGAAGGUUGGAGGGGCCAUACAUUUUCAAAGGUGUUGAAGAGAGAAGAGGUCGGACAAAUCAAGAUCUUAGAAAUGCAAGAAGAGAGCUUCUACUGGUGGAGAUUCAAGUGUGCUUUGGAACUUAAUACCAGCCUCUAUAAAAAUCUGCACUCGACGGAGCUUCAGAAAUCGAAGAGGCGCCUGCUCAGAAAUCGAAGAGGCGUUUGCUUUCUCAAAAGUUGGGCAGCUCAGAGACCACGAGGGCCGAUCUCAGGAAUCGAAGAGGCAUUUGCUUUCUCAAAAGCUGGGCUGCUCAAAGACCACGAAGGCCGAUCGCAGAAACCGAAGAGGCGCUUGCUUUCUCAAAAGCUGGGCUGCUUAGAGACCACGAGGGCCGAUCUCAGAAAUCGAAGAGGCACCUGCUUUUUCAGCCUUGUCAGCACCUGUCACAUGCACACUCAACUUUGCGAAAAUUACGGGCAUUCUGUCGAAGAUUUCUAGUGAAGUAGAAAGCACGUGAAUGUUACUGUUCAAUCAUCCAAUUUUACACACGCAACAUCAGCUCACGGGUACCACAGAUAACUUUGCCAAAGAUCUCUGACAAAAUUCAAACACGUGAAGCUUGCAGCUCCCAUUACAUCUCUAUGACCAAGAAGGGUAAAAGAAUAAUAAAGAAACAGCAUUAACAAAGUUUAGACACAUAAAUUUUGAAGGUCUAGCUACCAUAUUAUUACCCACAAGGGUAAAAGAACAGGACCACUGCUGGAUAAUUGGAAAGUCUCUGUGUGUCAACCUCUGUGCUUCGUGGCAAGGUAGACUAGCAAACAGGCCUAACCUUUACUCACAUUCGAGAAAACACUCCCAACAAGAUUGCUUGCUUCAAGAUCGAAGAGGCACCGCCCUCCGAAUCUCGAGAGCCAGACUCCCAACAUGAUUACUUUCUUAAAAAUCGAAGAGACACCGCUCUCUGAAACUCGAGAGCCAGACUCCUAACAGGAUUGUUUUCGAUGCACCGUUCUCCUAAUCUCGAGAGACAGAUCCCCGACAGGAUCAUUUGUACUAAAUCAUUCACUUGUACUCACUAAGGAGAGCUUGAACCUAUGUACUGUGUAAACCUUUCACAAUUAAUGAGAACUCCUAUACUCCGUGGACGUAGCCAAUCUGGGUGAACCACGUACAUCUUGUGUUUGCUUUCCUGUCUCUAUCCAUUUACAUACUUAUCAACACUAAUGACCGGAGCAAUCUAGCGAAGAUCACAAACUUAAUACUUUCAGUUGUACCAAAGUCCUCACUGCUUUUGUGCAUCAACAAUCCGUAAGUCCUUACCUUUUUGCGUUGGUAAUGGAUGAGUUAACAGGACAUAUUUAAGAUGAUAUUCCUUGGUGUAUGCUUUUCGCAAACGAUGUAGUGUUGAUAGAUGAAACUCAGGAAGGGGUAAAUGUGAAGCUUAACCUUUGGAGAGAAGUGUUGGAAUCUAAAGGUCUUCGCCUAAGCCGAUCAAAGACAUAAUAUAUGGAGUGCAAGUUCAGUGCAAACGGAGGCCAAAAUGAGUUAGGAGUGAGGAUCGGAGAUCAGGAAUUACCAAAGAGCGAUUGUUUUCGCUACCUAGGAUCUAUCUUGCAAAAGAACGGAGAAUUUGAUGGAGAUCUCAACCAUAGAAUACAAGCUGGAUGGAUGAAGUGGAAGAGUGCAUCCGACGUGUUGUGUGACCGUCGUAGGCCACUGAAACUCAAGGGAAAAUUUUAUAGGACGGCAAUAAGGUUGACGAUGCUGUAUGACACAGAAUGUUGGGCGGUGAAGCAUCAACACGUAGGUGUAGCGGAGAUGAGGAUGCUUCAUUGGAUGUGUGGGCACACGAGAAAGGAUAAGAUUAGGAAUGAGGAUAUCCGAGGUAAAGUAGGAGUAGCCGAAAUUGAAGGAAAGAUGAGAGAAAAUCGGUUACGGUGGUUUGUACAUGUGCAAAGAAGGCCUACUGAUGCUCCGGUUCGAAGAUGUGACUAUGAGACAGAGGUUCAGGGCCGAACGGGUAGAGGAAGACCUAGGAAAACUUUGGAAGAUACCCUAAGAAAAGACUUAGAGUACUUGGAUCUAACGGAGGACAUGACACAAAACCGAGCGCAAUGACGUUCUAGGAUUCAUAUAGCCGACCCCACUUAGUGGGAAAAAGCUUUGUUGUUGUUGUUGUUGUUGUUGUGGUUGAUCUGAUUUGGAUGGGUUUGAGGGUUAGUUUCUAGGAAUGUUCCAUUGGUGUUCUUUUUCUUCUACACAGUUACCAAAAUCUCAAGUCCUCAUUUGAUCCUCGAGUACAACCCAAUCAUAUUUGCUGUAAUACAAUCAUAUUCUUGAGGUUUUGAUUUUUUACUCAUGUUUCUGCCUAAACUAAUAUACACGACUUCUAAUUCUUAUGGAAACACCUACAUGUUUUUGCUUUGCACGUUUGUGCUUGAAAACUUAGAUGCUAGAAUAAGAACGAAACAGUUUUUAUGUUUUUUUGUCAACUGCUAAAACAUGUGCCUAACCUACAUGAUAUAUAUUUUGUCAACUUGACUGCAGGGGCAAGAUUUGUGUGAACUGGAUGUUGCUUCUAUUUCUUCUAUUUAUUAGGGAAACAGAACGUUUAGUUUCAUCCUGUUAAUUGUGCAAUAUCUUUUCAUGUCAGCUAAGUUGUAUGUAUAUAAAAACGAAGUUGCAUAUCUUACUGAUCCCAUUCACUCAUUUAUCCUUUUGUUCAUUCAUGAUUGUGUUGAAUUUAUUCAGGCAAAAUGUGUCUUAAUCAUGCAGUUCAAGGUGGUGCAUUCAAGUCCCGCAACAACGUGCAGGCAUAUUUUCUAGUUUGUACUAAUUAACCAAAUACAUGCAACUCAAUAAGAUUUAGACAUCAGUAGUGUGUGAGAAAAAUAUACAUGGAGUGGCAUUUGAAAACUAGAAGAUUUUCACUAUUUUAAUAUGAUUAAUUGAAUAAUCUGUAAAGCAAAAAAAAAAAAUGAAAAUUAUUAAUUGAAUAAUUUGUAAUGCAAAAAAAGCUUUACCUCCCUCUGUGCAUGCUACCAAUUUACGAACUGCGGAUAGAUGGCCAGCGGAUGCAGCUACGUGAAGCGGAAGUUCUCCAUCAUGAUUUCUUUUGCGGACAAGCCCCGGAAAAGUUCGGGUAAUUAGUUCAAUAAGCUGCACGUGGCCUGUAUUUGCAGCAAGGUGAAGCAUCGUGUUCCCACGGAUGCUUACUUUGUUUUCACUACUUCGGACCAGCAAUUCUAUUUGAUGAGGAAUACCUGUGGCUCCGGCAAAAUACCUUGUGCGCAUAUCCCGUAUAAACUCUUGACAGAGGUAUAUUACUCCUGAAUUAGACAUCGUUGCAUACCUGUAUAGUAUAGGAUCCAUGCGCGUGUCUCCUGCAGUGUUCUCAUGAGCACCCUCGCCAGUUAUUUGAUCAUCUUGUCUUGAACUCUGGCUAACAUCCUCCAUUGCUAUUGCUAUUUCACCUUGUCCCUCGCCAGUUAUCUGAUCAUCUUGUCUUGAACUCUGGCCAACAUCCUCCAUUGCUGUUUCACCUUGUCCUAAACUUGAAGCAGCCAUUAAUUUGCAGAUUUAAUUUUGAGUUUUUUUUUUUUGGGGGGGGGGGGGGGGGGGGGGUUCAAACAGACAAAUGAUAUCAUUAUCACAUUUUUUAUACAUUGUAAUAUGGAGUAAACUGUGGAAAACUACUGUUGCCUUGCAAUGCAAGAUGCGGAACAAUCAUACAUAACAACGUAGUUGACUGACCAAAAAAACAAACAAACAAAUGAUAUCAUUAUCACAUGUUUUAUACAUUUUAAUAUGGAGUAAACUGUCGAUUUGUCCCCUAAAUUUUCACCUAGUUUCGAUUUCCUCCCUGAACUUUUCGAUUGGAAAAUUAAAGACUCAAACUAAUUUUUUUAGCCAAUUUGCCCCCUACCGUUAGUUUUUUCAAACAUUCCAUCUAUAUUUCUGUUAUGUGAGACCAUGUGCACAACAUGUGAGGGUAGUUAAGUCAUUUUACUCUUAAAAAUGAUUAAAAAACUGAAAAAAAAUUUAAGAAAAAAAAAACUUUCCCUCUAAUUCCUAUCCUCAAUUUUAUUUUUCACUCAUACAUAUGCAUGAGAAAUGACAUAUGGUGUUAUUGUCUUCAAAAGUAUCUAAGUUAAUUAGUCUUUUUCUUGAAGCAUGUACUGCCAUUUUUAUUUUCUUUAACAAAUUAAUAAUUUGACAAAUGUUCAUAGUGUUAUUGUCUCCAAAGCAUUGCAUUAAUAUAAGCAUGUUAAGUGUUGUGCUUCAUUUUAGAGACAUUAAGACUUUACUAGUAGAAGAGUUAGAAGAGUUAUAAAAAUAGUUUCUAAUAGUUAACAUGUCCGCCUUCUAGUAAAAACUACAACAAGUCAAAGAAAACAACUACUCCAAUCACUAGCAUCAAAACUCCAAAGAUCUGCUAACUGCACUAAUCCUAACUAUUCCUCCAAUUUUCUAGCAAUAGUAUCCAACCAAAUCACAAAAAAAAGAAGCAUAUCAUACCCACGCAGUUCCACAAAACUUUGUUUGCCUCCUUAAAGUACAAUGUUUUCAAAUAAUAAAUUAAUUACUAUAAAAGAGAAGAAAGUGCACAACUCAACCUAGAAUCAAAUGAUGAAUAUUUCAACUGCAUUCUUGCACAUUUAACACCAUGAGCAUUUGUCAAAUUAUUAAGUUGUUAGAGAAAAUAAAAAUGGUAGUACAUGCUUCAAAAAAAAAAACUAACUUAGAUACUUUUGAAGACAAUAACACCGUAUGUCAUUUCGCAUGCAUAGGAAUGAGUGAAAAAUAAAAUUGAGGAUAGGAAUUAGAGGGAAAAAAUAGUGAGAAAUUUAAAAAAAAAAAAUUAUUUUCAGUUUUUUAAUCAUUUUUAAGAGUGAAAUGACUUAACUACCAUCACAUGUUGUGUACAUUGUCUUACUUAAUAGAAAUAUGGAUGGAAUGUUUGAAAAACUAACGGUAAGGGGCAAAUAGGCUAAAAAAAUUAGUUUGAGUUCUUAAUUUUCCAAUCGAAAAGUUCAGGGAGAAAAUUAAAAAUUAGGUGAAAGUUUAGUGGGCAAAUCGACAAUUUACUUUUUUAAUAUGAGUAGCUCCUACCAAUACAUGUAGAUUCCAUACAAAAGUGAUAUUCUAAGAAUAUCAUCUUUGAAACAAAAGAACGUAAUCAUAAGGAAACCUGAACAAGGCAGCUGGUUUAAUAUUUUUACUUUAAAUAUGUGACAUGAGUCACACCUACUUUUGACGUGGUUAGAUAUGCGACAUGUUUCAACCGGUCAUCCAAAAAGUUAACUAAAACCACAAUCUUUACAGAAGAACUUCGGACCACAAUGCAAUUUUAUAAAGAUAUUUUUCGUCCAAAAAAUAAUAAGAGAACGAAAAGGAAAAAUUAAAAGCUUACAAUAAGACUAUAUAGUAUCUAAGUAAUGUGUUUUUCUCAAUUUAAGAUUAAUGUUGUUGAUGCACAAAAUCAGUGAGGAUUUUUGUACAACAGAAAGUGUCAAGUUUGUGACAUUUGCUAGAUUGCUUCGGUCACUAGUGCGGAUAAGUAUGUAAAUGGAUAGAGAUAGGAAAGCAAACACAAGAUGUACGUGGUUCACCCAGAUUGGCUACGUCCACGGAGUAGAGGAAUUCUCAUUAAUUGUGAAGGGUUCACACAAGUACAUAGGUUCAAGCUCUCAUUUAGUGAGUACUAGUGAAUGGUUUAGUACAAAUGACAUUAAGAAAUAUUGUGGGAGAAUGAUCUCCUUUUAUAGAAGAGAGUUUCUAGCUUUGUUCUGACAUUGACACGUGUUGUGUUGUGAUUGGCUUCCGAUGUUAACACGUGUUGUGCUAUGAUUGGCUUAUGAUGUCGACACGUGUCGCAUUGUGAUUGGCCUUCUGGUUGGAGGGAAACUCUUCUGGGUCCUUGACGGUAUAACGUUGACCGGUGCUCAGUAGUUUCGGGAUUGGUCAAGUAUGGUACAAACAAUGCUCCCCUAAGUUCUCGAGUGAGGGAAGCUCCUCGGUUGGGGACUUGCAAGAUCCAAGCCGCUGAGUAAUCACGAAACUUCUAAGUACCGAAGUGUGGUAUCGUCUUCACUUGCCUUAUCUGUCUCAUAGGUAGAUGUGACAUUUUCUUUAGAAGCACUUUUCCUCCAUCCAGGGGUGCUAUCUUUAACCGGUAGAGAUGCACAAGGUAAUGUAUCAAUUUGACUUGAAACUUACUUGUAGUUUCAGGCUUGGUCAAGCGGGAUACAAACCAUGUAGUAGGAGUCCCCUAAGUCGCCGAGCUAGGAGAUUUGCCGAAAGAGGUGACAGACAAGGUAAGCAAUCAGAGUUCCAAGCAAUCAGUCCCAGAUCAGAAGUUUGAUUUCGAGUUCCAGCUGAUUGUUCUCAUUUUCCUUAUCUUCCAGGCAACAAGAAGGAUAAAGAGAAGAAAAAAGAGAAAAGAUGAUAUGAGAUACUUUUGCUUUUGAAGAAGUAACUUUCCACAUGUUUAUUCUUGAACUGGGCUGGAGGGUUUUCUGGUUUCCUCCAGAGUAUAAGGCCGACUCAAGAAUUUGAGGGUCAAAACAAGUCAAUCAAAUCUAGAGUACGUUCGACCCUGAUGAUAUGAGAUACUUUUGCUGUUGACAAAGUAGUGGAUGUAUCGGCACGUAUUCUGUUGCGCUUGUCUCCACAUGCUUUCUUAUAUCCUUCUCACUUGCCCUAUCUGUUCCUCAGGCAGAUGUGGUAUCUUUUCUGGAAGCAUAAGAUGUUGAAGAUGAGUACUCGAGAGCAAUGUCAGGUAAGUAAUCAGGCAAAGAGUUCCUGGUAGUCAGUUCCUGACUGGAAGCUUGAUUCCAAGUACUGACUGAUUGCUCUCUUUCUCCUUAUCAUGCAGGUAAGAACAAGGCCAAAUGAAAAGACAGGGAAAAAGCAUGAAAUGUGAUACUCUUGCUUUUAACCCUGAUUAUAUGAGAUACUCUUACUCUGGUGUGGCUUGUUUGCAAAGAUAUUAUCGGGGGGAAAAUAAGCUGAGUAUUUCGAGAGACAAUGUUGAGAGUGCCCUCUCGGAUGUGAAGAAAAGUUGAGCAUUUUUUUUUAUUUGCAGGUUUACCUCGCUCUGGAGGAUGAAGGUCAACAUAUAUAGGAAUUGUCCCAACAGCGAGUAGUAACGAUGUUCCUUUAUCCUUCUCGGUCAUAACAAUGUAGUGGGAGCUGCAAGAUUGACUUGUUUUAACUUUAUCAGAGCACUUUGAAAAAGUGGUCCGUGGUAUCUGGAAAGCUGAUGUUGCGUGUGAAGAUUGCAGAUAAGUUUUAUCCAAGGAAAUCUGGCUCUUGAAGUUAGGAGAACGGUGCCUCUUUGGUUUUCGAACAAGCAAUCCUGUCGGGGAUCUGGCUCUCGAGAUUCGAAGAAUGGUGCCUCUUCGAUUUUUGAGAAAGCAAUCGUGUUGGGAUUCUGGCUGUCGAGAUUUGGAGAGCGGUGCCUCUUCAAUUUUUGAGAAAGCAAUCCUGUUAGGAGUCUGGCUCUCGAGAUUCGGAGAGUGGUGCCUUUUUAAUUUUUGAGAAAGCAAUCCUGUUGUGAGUCUGGCUCUCGAGAGUCGGAUAGUGGUGCUUCUUCGAUUUUUUAGAAAGCCAUCUUGGUAGGAGUUUGGCUCUCGAGAUUCGGGGAGCGGUGCCUCUUCGAUUUUUGAGCAAGUAAUCAUGUUGGGAGUGUUUUCUCGAUGUGAGUAAAGAUUGGACAUUUUUGCCAGUAUGCCUUGCCACGGAGCAUGGAGGUUGACACACACAAGGACUUUCUAGUUAUCAAGCAGUGGUGUUGUUCCUUUACCCUUGUGGGUAAUUGUAGGGUAGCUGGACUUUCAAAAUUUAUGUCUCUAAACUUUGUCAGAGAUCUUUGGCAAAGUUAUCUGUGGUACCCGAGGAGCUGAUGUUGCGUGUGGGGAUUGUUGACAUAUUUUACUCAGGAAAAUCUGCUUCUCGAAAUCCGGAGAGUGAUGCCUCUUCGAUUUUUGAACAAACGGCCCUGCUGCCCUUUCUUUUAUAAGGGCACCAAUUGUGUGCAAGAAGUACGUUCAGAGAGUUAUUGUUUAUAGGAAUUUUCCCUUUAUUUUCGUACUUCAGAGAUUUAUUGGACCUCAUUUCUCCUUCAUCAUUUUUGAAAAUGUCUGGCCCAUCCGACCGUCGUUUUGACUUAAACUUUGGUGAAGAGCCAGUCAUGCCUCCUCAAGACAACAUAUGGCGUCCAUCCUUCUUAUCCCCUACUGGUCCUCUUAUCGUUAGGGACUCUGUGAUGAAGAAUGAUAUGACCGCUGCGGUGGUGGCCAGGAACCUUUUCACUUCCAAAGAUAACAUACUACUUUCCAAACGGUCUGAUGAGUUUACUGUUAAGAAUUCUCUAGCUCUCAGUGUUCAGUAUGCAGGUUCUGUGUUUAAUAUGACCCAACGCCUAUUUGCUCGAACCCGCCAAGUUAAAUCAUGGGCGGCUGAAGUGAUAAAUCUCAAACAAGAGAUUAGAGGGCUCAAGCAUGAGAAUAAACAGUUGCACAGGCUCGCACAUGACUAUGCUACAUGAAAAUGAAGCUUGACCAGAUGCAGGAAUCUGAUGGUCAGAUUUUACUUGAUCAUCAGAUGUUUAUGGGUUUGUUCCGAAGGCAUUUAUUGCCUUUGUCUUAUGGGGCUGUACCGCGUAAUGAAGCUUCAAAUGAUCAACCUCUGAUCCCUCCUCCUUCUGAGGUUCUGUCCAGUACUGAGGCUCUGAAUGAUCACCCUGUCUACACUUUUUGGGGCUCUGCCGAUUGUUGAGACUUCCCCUAAGUAGCCUUUGUGAAGGCUCCAUCUUGUUUGUUUAUUUUGACUCAUGUAUAUAUACAUAUUUGUAACUUAUCGGAGAUAUCAAUAAAUAAGCUUUGCUUCAUUUCAAUGUAUUGUGUUAAAUACACCAAAGCCUUCUUCACUAAGUUCUUUGAAUUUUUUCUUUUGUUGAAGCUUUGUGAGUGAAGCAUGUAGGUUGAGGUAGUGUUCCCUUAAUUUCCCAAGUGAGGAAAACUUCUCGGUUGGAGACUUGAAAAAUCCAAGUCACUGAGUGGUCGUGAGACUUCCGAGUAUCAAGGUGCAAUAGCAUAUGGUAGGAGUCCCCCAAGUCUUCGGUUGAGUGAGUUAACGAAUGAGGCAUUUCCUUUCUAAGUGGUAGCCCAAAACUCAUCAUUCAUAUAUAUUUGUUAUGAAAGUUGUUAAGCCCAAAGAAGAGGAGGCCUAGGCAAUUUUUUUUUUUUUUCGAAAUUUCAAAUUUCUGAAUAUAUAUAUAUAUAUAUAUUAAGCUUAGUGAAGCUUUGGUGUUGAAGCUUGUAGGUGAAUCUUUGAGGUUGAAGCUUUGUUGGAUACCAUGAAUUGAUUUUGCUUCACACUAUCUUGAUCAAGAGUGUGUGAAGCUUUUGUAUGUGAAGCUUUUGUAUUGAAACUUUGUAGGUGAAGUUUUUGUGGGUGAAGUUUUUGUAGGGUGAAGCUUUUGUGGAUGAAGCUUUUGUAGGGUGAAGUUUUUGUUGGUGAAGCUUUUGUGUUGAAGCUUUUGCAGAUGAAUCUUUGGAGUUGAAGCUUUGGGGUUGAAGCUUUUAUAGGUGAAGCUUUGGAGUUGAAGCUUUUGUUGGGUACCAUUAAUUGAUUUUGCUUCACACUAUCUUGAUCAAGAUAGUGUGAAGCUUUUUAGAAUUUGUAGUUGCCUUCCAUUUGUUAAAACUUUUGUUGGUAAAGCUUUGUAGGUGAAGCUUUGUUGGGUACCCUGAAUUGAUUUUGCUUCACACUAUCUUGAUCAAGAUAGUGUGAAGCUUUUGAGAAUUUGUAGUUACCCUCCAUUUGUUGAAGCUUUUGUUGGUGAAGCUUUUGUACGGUGAAGUUUUUGUACGGUGAAGUUUUUGUGGGUGAAGUUUUUGUGGGUGAAGCUUUUGUGUUGAAGCUUUUGUAAGUGAAGCUUUGGAGUUGAAGCUUUGUAGUUGAAGCUUUGGAGUUGAAGCUUUUGUAGGUGAAGCUUUGGAGAUGAAGCUUUUGUUGGGUACCAUGAAUUGAUUUUGCUUCACAUUAUCUUGAUCAAGAUAGUGUGAAGCUUUUGAGAAUUUGUAGUUACCCUCCAUUUGUUGAAGCUUUUGUACGGUGAAGUUUUUGUGGGUGAAGCUUUUGUAGGUGAAGCUUUUGUGUUGAAGCUUUUGUAGGUGAAGCUUUGGAGUUGAAGCUUUGUAGUUGAAGCUUUUGUAGGUGAAGCUUUGGAGUUGAAGCUUUUGUUCGGUACCAUGAAUUGAUUUUGCUUCACAUUAUCUUGAUCAAGAUAGUGUGAAGCUUUUUAGAAUUUGUAGUUGCCUUCCAUUUGUUAAAGCUUUUGUUGGUGAAGCUUUUGUGGUGAAGUUUGGUUGGUACCAUGAAUUGAUUUUGUUUCACACUAUUGAUCAAGAUAGUGUGAAGCUUUUGAGAAUUUGUAGUUACCAUCCAUUUGUUGAAGCUUUUGUUGGUGAAGCUUUUGUGGUGAAGUUUUGUUGGGUACCAUGAAUUGAUUUUGCUUCACACUAUCUUGAUCAAGAUAGUGUAAAGCUUUUGAGAAUUUGUAGUUGUCCUUCAUUGAUGAACUGGGCUUGAAUUUCCCAAUUUCCUUUUUUUUUUUUCGGAAACUAGAAAUUUGAAAAUGUGGGAGAGACAACAUAUACAAAUUUUGCUUCCACACUGUUGAGCAAGAAAUUGUGAUACAAGCCACACCUUGUAGUAGUCGAAGGUUUGGAUGAACCAGAUAAAUUGAAUUUGCUUCGAAUAAUCUUGAUCAAAAGUGUGUGAAGCUUUUUAUGAGUUGUAGUUGCCCUUCAUUGAUGAAGCUUUUGUUGGCAUCAUAAAUUGAUUUUACUUCACACAAAAGCUUUUGAGAAUCGUGGUUGAACUCCUUUGAUGAAGCUCUUGUUGGCACCAUAAAUUAGUUUUGUUUCACACUGUCUUGAUAAAUAAUGUGUGAAGCUUUUGAGAAUUGUGGUUGCCCUCCAUUGAUGAAGCUCUUGUUGGCACCAUAAAUUGGUUUUGCUUCACACUGUCUUGAUCAAGAAUGUGUGAAGCUUUUGAGAAUUGUGGUUGAACUCAUUUGAUGAAGCUCUUGUUGACACCAUAAAUUGAUUUUGCUUCACAUUGUCUUGAUCAAGAGUGUGUGAAGCUUUUGAGAAUUGUGGUUGCCCUCCAUUGAUGAAGCUCUUGUUGGCACCAUAAAUUGGUUUUGCUUCACACUGUCUUGAUCAAGAUUGUGUGAAGCUUUUGAGAAUUGUGGUUGAAUUCCUUUGAUGAAGCUCUUGUUGGCACCAUAAAUUGGUUUUGUUUCACACUGUCUUGAUCAAGAGUGUGUGAAGCUUUUGAGAAUUGUGGUUGAACUCCUUUGAUAAAGCUCUUGUUGGCACUAUAAAUUGGUUUUGUUUCACACUGUCUUGAUCAAAAGUGUGUGAAGCUUUUGAGAAUUGUGGUGGCCCUCCAUUGAUGAAGCUCUUGUUGGCACCAUAAAUUAGUUUUGUUUCACACUGUCUUGAUAAAGAGUGUGUGAAGCUUUCGAGAAUUGUGGUUGAACUCCUUUGAUGAAGCUCUUAUUGGCACCAUAAAUUGUUUUUGCUUCACACUAUCUUGAUCAAGAGUGUGUGAAGCUUUCUACGAGUUGUAGUGUUUGCAUUGUUACAGAGGAGAAAUGUUUGAAGCAGAUGCAAGAGGGCUGAAUAGCUUGAUCUUCGUAUGCCAUGCACUGAAGUUGUUGUUGGCUUGCAAUAAGACUUUGUUGGUGACUAUAACUCUUGUUGGGCAUAAGUGCUCCCCUAGUUGAGUUGUCAAGCUUGAGGGGUUUUGAUUAUUUGUGAAUGCUAGGAGUUCACAUGUACAAGUUGUACCACUCGUCUUCUAGUAAGUGGAAUGAAUGGUGAGUUGCUUUCAUCACUUGGUUGGUGGUACGAAUGUGAGUUCCUUCAGCACCUUUCAUCACAUUUCAUCAUCUGGUUGGUGGCACGAAGAUGAGUUCCUUUUUCACCUAGUUUGUGGCAUGAAUGGCAAGUUGCCAAAUGAUAUUAGAGUACGGGUUGUAUAUUUCAUCACCUAGUUGGUGGCAUGAAGAUGAGUUCCUUUUUCACCUAGUUGGUGGCAUGAGUGGUAAGUUGCCAAAUGAUAUUAGAGUACGGGUUGUAUAUUUCAUCACCUAGUUGGUGGCAUGAAGAUGAGUUCCUUUUUCACCUAGUUGGUGGCAUGAGUGGUAAGUUGCCAACUGAUAUUAGAGUACGGGUUGUACAUUUCAUCACCUGGUUGGUGGCAUGAAGAAAAGUACGAGUUGUACAUUUCAUCACCUGGUUGAUGGCAUGAACAUGAGUUCCUUCUUCACAUUUCAUCACCUGGUUGGUGAGAAUAAGGGAAAGGUGUCGAGGCACAUUGUAGCAAGUGUCGAAUGACACAAAGUAUGUUGAAACCUUUCGAAGCACAGUUGGCUUAUGUAUGAAUGUGUUGGAAUGUAUGAUUGAACGAAUAUACUGUGAAACUGUUCGUUUAUUUGUACAGUCUUGUUGACAUAUACUUAGACUUUGUUUUAUGUUGGAAACAUUUAUGUUGAAGCUUUGAACCCUAGUGUUUCAUUGCUAGGAAUGUAAGAGGAUUAGGACCGAGUUGUCUAAAUCACCUCUUUAUUGAAUUCAUGCAAAAUAGUCAUCGCUACAUAGGAUGCCGAACGGCUGAAGCUUAACACUUGUACAAUGUGAGUUUACUUGUAAUAGUACUUCAAGUGAUCAGCGUUCCAUGGAUGGCCAAGCGUCUUGCCAUUGGAGCUUUUAAGUUUGUAGGAGCCAGGCGACUGAUGCCAACAACUUCAAACGGUCCAUCCCAGUUUGGACAAAGUGUUCAUUCACUCGGGUCUCUGUCGCAGAGUAAUCUUUUCUUCAAUACCCAGUCCCCUACUGUGAAAGAACGAGGUUUGACCCUUGAGUCAUAGUAGUUGGAGAUGCGCUGCUUAUAGGCGACAUUCCUCAAGUGAGCCUGGUUUUUGUGUUCCUCGACUAGAUCUAAGUUGAGGGUAAGUUGUUUGUCAUUUUCACUUUGCACGUAGUUCUGGACUCGGAACGUUGCUUGCUCAAGCUCAACUGGGACAACUGCCUCCGUACCAAAGGCAAGUGAGAAUAGGGUUUCUCUUGUUGACGUCCGAUACGAAGUACAGUAUGACCAAAGAACUUGGGGUACAAAUUCUGGCCAACAACCUUUAGCCUUGUCCAAGCUGGUUUUCAAAGUUCGCUUGAUUAUUUUGUUGAUGGCUUUGACUUGUCCAUUAGACUGGGGAUGAGUUAGGGAGGCAAAAUAUAAGUUGAUGUUGAACUUAGAGCAAAACAUCCUGAACUUAUUGUUGUCAAACUGUUGCCCGUUGUUAGUGAUUAUCGCAUUGGGAAUGCCGAAUCUGCAAAGGAUGUUCUUACAUACCAAGUCUUCUAUUUUUGCCUCAGUAAUGGUUGCCAAGGGUUCUACUUCGGCCCACUUUGUGAAGUAGUCAACUGCAACGAUUGCAUAGCGGACCUUGCCCUUCCCUGCAGGCAUUGGGCCGAUCAAAUCAAGCCCCUAUUGGGGGAAGGGCCAAAGGCUAAUCAUAGGAGUGAGGGCUCGGGAGGGGAGUGAGUAAUAGUUGCAUAGCGUUGACACUUAUCACAUGAGCGGGAUAUUCUGAUGGCAUCUUGGUGGAGUGUUGGCCAGUAAUAUCCUUGGCGAAAAGCCUUGUGCGCUAGGGAUCGAGAUCCAACAUGAUCUCCGCAGACUCUUUCAUGUAUUUCCCGAAUGACAGUUUCCGCCUCUGCGGGCGUAAGGCAUCUUAGGUAUGGUAGGUUAAAACCCCGCUUGUAGAGUUGGUUAUUAAUGAUCAAGUAACGAGUAGCUUUGUAUCGAAUCUGCUUAGCUUGGACUUUGUCAUUUAGAAGGGUGCCAUGAGCAAGGAAUCUAUAAAUCGAGGUAAUCCAACUAUCCACCUGUUGUAAGUUGCACACUUUUGUAGCCAUGUUGCUUGGUGCUGCUAACAAUUCGACCUAAAUUUUUCUCCCAAUCUUGUCUUCCACCGCUGAGGCGAAGCAAGCCAAAGCAUCUGCAUGAUUGUUUGCCACUCGAGGAAUUUGGGUAAUCUGGUAGUGGAAAUGCUUGAGCAACAAUUAUGUUUAUGCCAGAUAUGCUGCCAUGGAGCUAUCCUUAGCAUCAAAGUUGUUGGUGACCUGGUUAACCACCAAUUGGGCAUCACUGAAGAUAUCAAUUCGUUUAACCCUAAGGUGUUUAGCCAAACGUAAGCAUGUUAUGAGGGCUUCAUAUUCGGCCUCAUUGUUCGACGCCUUGAAUUUGAAACGAAGAGCAUACUCCAUCGUCACUUGUCAAGGGUCGUAAGGACUAGUCCUGCUCCAUAACCUUGUUGGUUAGACGAGCCAUCAACAUAUAGACUCUAUGCUGGGGCUGUUGGUUCUAGUUUCUGAGCUUCCGAGAGUAAUGAAACCACUUCUUUAGGCGUAAAAACAAUGUCAACAAGAUAUGUGAAGUCGGCGAUGAAGUCUACCACUGUUUGGCCCUUCUCAGCUGGCUUUGGUUGGUAGGAGAUGUCAAACUCACCUAAUGCUAUCGCCCAUUUGAUUAUUCACCCCGAAGUGUCAAGACUUUGGAGUAUCUGUCCAAGAGGAUGAUUGGUAAGCACGAUGAUGGAGUGUGCUUGGAAGUAAGGGCGAAGUUUUCGAGCAGACAUGACCAAUGCUAGAACCAAUUUCUCAAUGUUGAAGUAUCGUGUUUCUGCAUCUUGUAAGGCCUUACUAGCGUAGUAGACAGGCCGUUCGACAUUACCAUCAUUUCGAAUGAGAACGGAACUUACUGCUGAAGCCGAUACCUACAGAUAGAUCAUGAGAGUGUCACCAACCUCUGGUUUGGAGAGUAGAGGGGCGUUAUUCAUGUAGUCUUUGAGGUUUUUGAAUGCCUCGGCACAUUCAUCAGUCCAUGUAAUGUACUUCUUACUUCCCUUAAGUGCUUUGAAAAAAUGAGCACAUCUGUUUGUGGCCUUAGAGAUGAACCUAGUUAAGGCUGCCAUCUUGCCAGUAAGGCUCUGGAUGUCUUUUGAAGUUACCAGUUCCUUCAUGUCGAGGAUUGCUUUAAUCUUCUCGGGAUUAGCCUUAAUGCCUCGUUGGCUUAUCAUGAAGCCUAAGAACUUGCCAGAGCCUACACUGAAGGCACAUUUGUUGGGGUUCAACCUUAUUCGAUAACUCUUCAGAAUGGGGAAAGUUUCAGAUAGGUUGGUGAUGUGUUGGUCAGCAUGUUUGCUUUUGACUAGCAUAUCAUCAAAGUAAACUUCCAUGCUCUUCCCAAUCUGUUCGACGAACAUUGAAUUGACCAGUCUCUGAUAAGUUGCUCCUGCAUUCUUUAGGCCAAAGGGCAUGACUUUAUAGCAAUAUAGUCCCCUGUCAGUAGUGAAGGUUGUGUGUUCUUGGUCCGAAGGGUUCAUGAGGAUUUGGUUGUAUCUUGAGUAAGCAUCCAUGAAGCUCAGGAGUUCACACUCUGUCGUAGAGUCUAUAAGUCUGUCUAUGAGAGGAAGAGGAAAGCUAUCAUUCGGGCAUCCUUUAUUUAGGUCGGUGUAAUCGACACACAUUCUCCACAAGACCUUUUGGAGCAUGAGACUUUCCUUGGUCGGAUUCUUUUUAACAAGGAUAACAUUAGCUACCCACGUUGGAUAAUUGACUUCGUGGACGAAGCCUAUGCCUUUGAGUUUUUCAACUUCUACCUUCAUUGCUUCGUACUGUUCAGUGUCAUAAGAUCUUCGCUUCUGUCUCACUAGCUUGGUCUUAGGGUCAUUACUUAAGCGAUGACAGAUGAUAUCAGGAGAGAUGCCAAGCAUGUCCUCGUAUGACCAGACGAAGACCUCAGUGUUCUCUUGCAAAAAAGAAAUUAAUGCCAACCGAAUGGGUGGUGACAAAGUGGUGCCAAUCUUCACCAUGCGAUCCAGAUAAUCUUUUGAGAUAGAGACCUUCUCCAACUCUUCAGCGGGUUGUGCUUGCUGGGUGAAAGAGUCAUCUCGAGGAUCGUCGGGUUGACUGUUGCCACCGUGAAGAUCCAAGUUGGCUUCUUCUGGGCUGGUCUUUAUGACUUGGUCAUGUAUAGAAAGGGUUUCCUUGGGCACAUGCAUGUGUUGUUGCUUAAACGAAGUGUUGUAACAUGAUCGUGCACUAAGUUGGUUUCCUCUGAUGUAACCAUUGCCAUAGAGGGUUGGAAAUUUCAUCAACAACAUAUGUGUGGAUACCAUGGCCUUGAGAUCAUUGAUGCAUGUGCGUCCGAAGAUGACAUUGUAUGCCGUUGGGCAAUCAACCAUCAGGAAGUUAGUGGUAAUGGUAACUGUGUAAGGGCCCGUACCAAUGGUAAAAGGUAAGUGUAUGCUCCCUAAAGGUUACACGAUAUCACCGGAGAAGCUUAUCAGAGGAGAAAUCGAGCGAUCGAGCAAGUGUUCAGCUACAUUAAGUGCCUUGAAAGCUUCAGCAAACAUGAUAUUGACCAAAGCCCCCGUGUCUACCAGGAUUCAUCGUACUUCAAAGUUGGCUAUGUGAGCUUCCACGAUCAGUGGGUCGUUGUGAGGGUAGAUGAUACCUCAUUCUUCCUUAGGGUAGAAACAUAUUGGAUCCCAAUUAGGCUUUUGAUACUUGCCUCCCCUGAUGUCUUCCCCGUGAAACACUUGGUGGCCAGACCUUAAAGCUCGUUCACUAUUUUUCAUGGCCUUGUUGGAAGAUUUAGAUAUGGGUGUGCCACCACUUAUGGAAUAUAUCACAUUCACCUGGCGUUGGUUACAGUUACCCCUUGAAGGGUGAAUGAGGAAUUGAUCAAUUUUUCCUUCACGUGUUAAAGCUUCAAUAUGAUUACGAAGGGUGAUACACUUCUCGCCGUCAUGGCCGAUAUGCUCGUGGUAGCAGCAAAACAUGUCCGUGUUCUUCGUGGACUUGUAAUCCGGGUGCCUCGGCUUUGGCUUUGGUAUCAGGUGUGCUAUGCUGGGGUAAGUGGUCACGCAUGUGGAAUUCAAAGGUGUGUAUGCCUCAUGCCUCGGGGUAGGGCAUGUCCUGACACGUGCUUGACCCACUGUGUUGACUGCCUGGGGUCGGGGAUUAUCGUGGUGAUACCCUUGGUUAUCGUGGUAGUGUCCCUUACUCUUUUUACUAAAAUGAGAUUGGUGAGGAUGGAAAAUUUUCCUUUUGCCCUGAGAUUGAUAUGUCUGUUGACUUGGCAAAGUAUUAAGUAAGGUAGGGGGAGGUACCGUUACCGUUUGGAAGGUUGAGGUCUUCUCAUUUGGGUAGGUCUGGCUUCCACUCCCCACUUGCUGAUAGGGGAUAGUUGUUGGGGGUUUCUCUUGGUAUGUCCUUGCCUCGGCAGAUGCAUGGUAAUAAGUAUGCGCCAUCACCUUAGAGUAAGUCUUCCAAGUGUUGGCAUUGAUCAUGUACUUAAAGAAACAGUCACGUAGGCCUGCUGUGAAGGCUUUGAGGGCAGUCUUGUCGUUUGCCUCGGCACAACGAGAAUACUCAGGGCUGAAGCGGCCAUCAUACAUACGUAAUGACUUGUCUGGCUUCUGGCGAAUAGUGUACAAGUCAUCCGCAGAGUGCAAGCGAUCGGUCUGGAAAAUGUGUUGAGAAACAAACAGUUUCCUCAAUUCCUCAAAUGAGUCUACCGUCUCAGGUGGAAGACGGAAAUACCAGUUUAGAGCUCCGCCAGAGAGGAUAAAGGGGAAGAGAAAACAUCGCUCUUCGUCAGUAUGCAUCCGGUAUGCCAUGGUGGACUCAAAGAGGUUAAGGUGUUCAAUCGGGUCCUCAUUUCCAUUAUAGAGUUGCAAGCCAAGCUUCUGCUUUGUCUUUGCUUGGAGAAGGUGUCAAAGAUCUUCCUUGUAAGAGGGCCAGGCCUAGGUUGGUUCCAAUCAGGUAUCUCAGCUUGUCGUUCGGCCUUCAACUUGUUUACUUCUUUAAGGAGUUGUAGGACAAGAGGGUCCUGAGUGGAGUCAUGUACCAUUGGAGCUUUCUUUCGUAAAUCUCCAUCUCCUCUUGGAAGUAGGAAGGUUUGAUCAAGAACAUGUGAUUUUUCCCUGGAUUCGCCGUACUGACUUUCAAGGUAUGUUUGUCGGAACAUCUCUGAGUCCCCUAUACCUUAGUGUUUCUUUAGGACUUGUUGCCCCUUCCCCAAAUUGGUAGCCGACCUGGGAUAUAGGAAGGGACCGAGUCUUUCAGAGACCUUUGGGUCAUUGAUCUUCGAGCUUACAUGGAUGGGAUUGUCUCAACGUUGCUUUAGGAAGUCUCGACAGUCGUGAAAGACGGCUUUCGAUCCUUCCACUCCUUUUGUAAGGAUGUGCCUUCCUCCACUCAUUCUACUUCGAGUCGAAGCAGCUGGGUUAAGAGAAGUCUCAUGUUGGUCGCCAUUUUGAUGAGUAGCUCGCUCCUCAACAAGAAUACCCAUGUCGAGGGCAAAUGACCCUCCAUGUUAGGGGGCACCCAGUUGAUGGUUGACUUCCACAUGGGUGAUGAGCUCGUGUGUUUUAGUAUAUUUAGCCUCGUGAAGCAUCUCGAAGACCUUCUCAUACUGCUCUUGAAAGAUCUCAUUCUUCAUUGCUAUCUUGUUGUUCUGAGCCUCCAACUCAUCGACUUUAGCCUGAAUAACAAACUUCUUUGUUUCUUCUUUCGUUGCUUCGCACCAGGUGAAAGAGGGGUGUCAUUUUGUGUGUUGUGGCUUCCUUUGCUCCCCAUGUUGGAAAGGGAUGCCUGGUCAAAAGAGAGUGUACGAAUGGUGGAAACCAGCUUAACAAAUUUGAAAAAAGUGGGAAUAAGUGUCGUUCCCACAGACGGCGCCAAAUAUUAAUGCACAAAAUCAGUGGGGAUUUUGGUACAACAGAAAGUGUUAAGUUUGUGACCUUCGCUAGAUUGCUUCAGUCACUAGUGUGGAUAAGUAUGUAAAUGGAUAGAGACAGGGAAACAAACACAAGAUGUACGUGGUUCACCCAGAUUGGCUACGUCCACGGAGUAGAGGAAUUCUCAUUAAUUGUGAAGGGUUUACACAAGUACAUAGGUUCAAGUUCUCCUUUAGUGAGUACUAGUGAAUGAUUUAGUACAAAUGACAUUAGGAAAUAUUGUGGGAGAAUGAUCUCAUUUUAUAGAAUAGAGUUUCUCGCUUUGUUCUGACAUUGACACGUGUCAUGUUGUGAUUAGCUUCCGAUGUUGACACGUGUCGCGCUAUGAUUGGCUUUUGAUGUCGACACGUGUCGCGCUGUGAUUGGCCUCCUAGUUGGAGGGAAACUCUUAUGGGUCCUUGACGGUAUAACGUUGACCGAUGCUCGGUAGUUUCGGGAUUGGUCAAGUAUGGUACAACAAAUGCAAUUCAACAGAAUAUAUGAACAUCAAUCUGAAGAAACUUUUCUGAAUAGAAAAGCAUACGAGAAUCGAGAGAGAGGAGGUGAAAAGGGAAGGCAAGGGGAGUAGGAUAGAGAGCCAAAACAAAAUUAAUUAUUUAAGGGAGAGAAAUGAAAAAAAAUCAUAUUUUAGUUUCUAAUGUAUAUUUGUUUAAAAACGUAAAGAAAAUUAAUUGCCAUUACAUCUCAACUGGGAUAAUCUAAUGGCCUAAAUUUGUGUUAAACAUUACGUAUAAAAUAUGGUGUGAAAGGUUAAAACCAAAUUCAUGCAUCGCUGUGAGUGGUAGUUGUGAACAAUCUCGAGCAACUUACAAAACAGUAGACAACCGUGAGCAAACCUGAGGCCGGGUUAGGGGGUGUGCUGGCCAAAUGCUCUCUGAAAGUCAAGUUAGUGCAUAGUUUUAGACUCAAAUAAAGAGCAAGAGAAUUUAAGUGUUCAGAUUGUGUUACCAUAGAUGAACCCUAGAUGAGUGUAUUUAUAUCAUGGGAAGAGAGCCAAUUUUAAGAUAGGAAUUUAAAGGACAUCUAGAAGUAGAUAUUGCACCUUGAAAAUCUUCAACUUUUGUGAAGGGAAAAGGAAAGGAGGCCAUUCUUAGGAUUUAUUGGUUAGGAUGGGGGGUUGUCCCUUCCAUGGUUUAAACUUUGUCUUUUUGUCGUAAUACAAACUUAUUUUUGUUCCUUCUUCGACUAUGGAAGAAUCUUAAUCUGAUAAACCUCUUUUAAGUAAACGAACUUUGAAGGAGAAAUAAAUGGCAGAGUGGGAUACAAGUAAGUUUGUGGGCGGGAUAUAGCUCAAAAAUUCCCCCUAGUAAUGUUGAUUCGUAGGAACAUUAUUUCUCAAACCUAUAACAUUCAUAAAGUAUUCUCAUCGUGAUAUCCGGAGCAUCACAUUACUCUGAUACCAGGAAUUAAACAUUAAACUCAUGAGAAAAUUUUUGCUCUAUAUUUAUUUAAACACAUUUAUCGAAUUAAGAGUUUCGAGUCGUACCUGAGAACAACUUGUAAAUAAGGGCUGAUUCUUCUAUGCCUUGCCCUAGUUCUUGGGUCAAUGGCUUCAAUACUUGCAACAUGGUGCCAUAGAAAAACGAUCUUUCCUAGCCCAAAUUAUGUAUUCGUUUCUAGUGAAUAUUAAACAAAAUUCUUUGGAGACUUGGUUGUCGGCAUGCAGGUUGGAAACAUUUUUUUAGUUCUUUUGUCAAACCCUAUGAGUCGAACCUGAGCAAUUCCGAUUGGACUAUCUUGAUUGGUUUGGCCAAAACAUUUCCGCGUAUCAGAGCUUUAUUAGAAUAAAAUUCCUCUUGGGGAUUUCCUAGUCUGGAUGCCCUCUUCGGAUUGCUAACACACAAUGUUGCAUAACAUAGUUGACUUAGUAUUUUGGUUCGAGAUAGAAGUAGUCGUACUUAAGGUUAGACUUCAGAGCCACCUUUAGAUGAUUUCCGGAUCGCCCUUUCGACUAUUCUUUCAAAUGGUGUAGAUCCCAGGUUUGAAUGUUAUAACCCACGACUUUUCUCGUUGUAUAAACUUUCCGGAAAAUGGGUGGUGUAUUGGACUUCCGGGUCAAGGUGCCGUGUGCCUGUAUCCUGUCAAUCAUAACCACGCUUAUUACCGUUUGAGUCUCUCAAGUUGAUAACCAUUCAAGAUAGGAUGGGCGGAGAAAGGCUACUUUGAUAGUAUUACUUUGAGCUAUUUUAGACUUGCUUUCAUGAGAAGUUUUCAAAUUUUAUGCCUUGUCUUGCCUGUGGUGAGUGAGGUAAUAGGAUUGAUUCAUGAUUGAAAUAUGCAACUCCACCCCUAAGCAUUUCCAAAGUAGUAAGGCCCCCUUUGGGCUAUAGGCAACUUAAUCCCCUUACUGAAAAAUAAUUGUCUGUAGUGAACAGUAACUGCUCAAGUGUAUCUCCACCCCUAAACUGAAUAGCCUAGACAAUUCGUUAAAAUAUUUUUUUUUCUUCAUAAAAUGCUAAAAAAGAAUUUUACUUUUAAUUUCAGAUAAUAAUAAAAGAUUGGUUGAAAGAAUUUGAAAAUAUUGAAAUAUGAUGUAAGGUGGAAGAACAUGGUUCGGUAUUUGUAGGAAAAAAAAUACAAUUUUUAUAUUUUAUUGUAUUUUUAAUUAAUUUCUUUUAAUUGUUUGUAUUUUUAUUUUUAAUAAUUUUUUGUAUUUUAAUUAUUUUUUUAAUUUCUACUAAUGUCACUACGAUGUUAGCAUUGCAUCACAUAAGCCAGGCGCUGGGCUUGUCAAUUUCUACCUGGGGGAAAAACUGGGCUCCCUUGGAGCCUAGGGGACUUGGAUACGCUGGAGCCCUUUUUGCUCGGGGGAGGGGAUUGGAUCAUAGUGUAAGUGCUUUAAGUGAUGGUGAUGCUCGCCACCCUAUGUAUCAGCAUAAGAUGAGUUUAAAUAUCGAGAUCUGUGUAUUGGAUAAAGACUCAAAUAUCCAAAUUAAACUCAUCCAAAAGUAAUAAAUAAGGUGGUGAGCAAAAAUGCACCCAUAUUUGUGACUUUAAAAAGUGAGAUGAUGAUAUUCUCCUCAAAUCUUUUCACCUCAUCCUCACCUGCCCUUUUCUUUUAUGUUUGCUCCCUAAAUUGGCAGGUGUGGGCGUGCCACUACUAGAUACUGCGAGUAGACGGGCUUUGAAUGAUUAAGGUAGUGUCUGAGUUCGACUUCUAACCAAGAGAUUGUGCCAUUGAGUGGUAGUGGCUCUGGUAUUGCUCAUUUGAAGGUCUUUGGUUCAAUCUGUUAUGUUCACACUCCAUCUGAGCUAAGGCACAAACUAGAAGCUAAAAGUAUAAAGGGAGUUUUUGUUGGUUAUGCCAAGUGUGAGAAAGGGUACAGAAUUUUUGAUCCACUCUCCAAAAGGUUGAUAUUGUCAAGAGAUGUUGUGAUUGAUGAAGAUUCAAGUUGGGACUGGCAGGGAAGCUCAAAUAAACAUGUGACUAUGCCUAAUUAUGAAUGGCAGUCAAUUGAGAUACCAAGGAGUGAGUUCACAGAUGAUGAGACUCAAGUCUCAAAUAAUUCAUCACCAGGUUAUUUGAGAGAAACUCUAAGUGAUACUGAUGAUGCUCAGAUUACUCCACAAUCACAGUCAAGUGAGUUCUCUAGCAGAGUAUGCGAAAAUGUGAGAGAUUCACAAGCUUUUGAUCAUACUCCAUUGAAAUGGAGAAAUCUGGAAGAUGUUCUUGCUCAGUGCAACUUGUGCAUCAUAGAACCAGAAAAGUAUGAAGAUGCUGAAAAGGAUGAGUCUUGGAUGAAAGCCAUGAAGGAUGAGCUUUCCAUGAUAGAGAAGAAUGCAACCUGGAAGUUGGUAGACAGACCAACUAAUAAGCCUAUAAUUGGAGUUAAAUGGGUAUUUAAAACCAAACUCAACCUUGAUGGAACUGUGCAAAAGAACAAGGCUAGGCUUGUUGCAAAGGGAUAUGCCCAGAAACCAGGAAUAGACUAUAAUGAGACUUUUGCCCCUGUUGCUAGGUUGGAUACAAUCAGAACUCUUAUUGCCUUGGCUGCACAAAAGAGUUGGAAACUCUAUCAGCUUGAUGUAAAAUCGGCCUUUCUUAAUGGUGUUCUGGAAGAGGAGGUGUUUGUAGAGCAACCUGAUGGAUUUGUAAUCACAGGAAAGGAAGACAAAGUGUAUAAACUCCAUAAAGCUCUCUAUGGUCUCAAACAGGCUCCCAGAGCUUGGUAUGGGGAGAUUGAUACCUAUUUUACACAGUGUGGUUUUAUGAAAAGCCUAAGUGAGGCUACUCUUUACACCAAAACAAGGGGAGAUGAAAUUCUGAUUGUUUCAAUCUACGUGGAUGACAUUGUGUAUACUGGGAACAGCAAUGAUCUGUUGAAAGAAUUUAAGGAUGAUAUGAUGAUCAAAUAUGAAAUGACUGAUUUGGGUAUUCUCCAUCAUUUUCUUGGCAUGGGAAUUAUUCAAACUCAGUCUAGCAUUUUCAUUCACCAAAGAAAAUAUGUUGUCUCUCUGUUGAACAAAUUUGGCCUAAGUGAAUGCAAAUCUGUAUCUACUCCUCUUGUUCCUUCAGACAAACUGUGUAAAGAUGAUGGUAGUGGAUCAGCAAAUGAGGAACAAUAUAGAAGAAUUGUGGGAAGCCUGCUAUAUCUUACAGCCACUCGACCAUAUAUAAUGUAUGCUUCCAGUCUUCUUGCUAGAUUCAUGCACAGCCCCACAAACAAGCAUUUUGGUACUGCUAAAAGAGUGCUAAGAUACAUUAAAGGCACCCUGGAUUAUGGCUUGGAGUAUGUGAAGGGAAAGAAGGCAAUGUUGAUUGGUUUUUGUGAUAGUAAUUGGGGAGGAUCUGUUGAUGACAGCAAGAGUACUUCUGGAUAUGCCUUUUCUUUUGGCAGUGGGGUGUUUUCAUGGGCUUCGGUGAAACAAAAUUGUGUAGCCCUCUCCACUGCAGAAGCAGAGUAUAUCAGUGCCUCUGAGGCAACUGCUCAAGCUAUUUGGCUUCGGUUUGUUCUUGAAGAUUUUGGUGAGUUACAAACUGAAGCAACUCCAAUGCAUUGUGACAACACUGCUGCAAUUGCAAUUACCAAGAAUCCUGUGUUUCAUCAGAACUAAACACAUUGACAGGAGGUUUCAUUUUAUCAAAGAUGCUCUACAAGAAGGCAUCAUUGAUCUGAUCUACUGUCCCACAGAAGAACAAUUGGCAGAUAUCUUCACAAAGCCUCUCACCAAAGAUCGAUUUAAUCUUCUCAGAAGCAAACUUGGAGUGAAAUCAGCUUUAGACUUAAAGGGGAGUGUUGAAUUAUAAGUCUAUAGCUGUUUUAGAAAUAAGUUGUGAUGUUAAUAUGUGUAUGCACUUAUGUUAAAUACUAAGUGAGAAGAUAUAUAGAUGUAAAGGCCAUGAGUGCCAUGUGUGAUGAUCUUAGCUAUUAGUUAAAGGUGUGGCUGAGAUCUGUUUUCAAUGUUUUGAUCCAGCUCAGUUUUGUAAAAGCAAUAUAUAUCUCAUUUCGCACGUUGUGUGAAAGAGUGUGAGGCAUUCAAUGAAAACAAUGUCCUUCUUCUGAAUUGCUGCAGAAGAAAGAAACAACCACAUUCUUCUCUCUCUGUUAAUUCUUUUCCCCAUUAGAAUUCACUCUAUCAAACACUAACAAGACAGACUCGUUUUAGAUAAAAUCACGGUCGGUUAAAGGUUAAUGAUACUUCUACAACAAAAAAUAUUGUUUCGCGGCAUAGCAGAAGGAUCAUUUGUUGGAUUGUUCAGUUUCAGUUUUAGACUUACGCUGUUUUGCAGUCAUACGAAGUUUUGCACACUAGCAUCUAGGCCUGGCGUUUCAAAUCCGAUAAGUUAACCCGACUCGACCUAUUAAAAUGAGUAUUCGGAUAAGUAUUUAAGAGGUCGGGUGGUCAACGGGUCAACCCGUUAAAUAACGGAUUAUUUUGAAUGAACCCACGAAAUCCGUUAACCAUUCACUAAUACCCGUUAUUGAGGGUUUUUGUGUAAUUUCAAUAGUCAAUAAUGAAACCCUCACUCUGUGUCUCUGUCUCGCAUUGCACUAUUGCGAUUCGGAAAACGAAGCAUCUGCAAAAACAAAAACAAACAGAACCCAGGAAACAAAAUCAAUUCCUGAACAAAGUGACAACAGAAGAGAACAACCACUGAUAGAUUGAAGAAUCGGAAUUUUGAAAACGUGCCCGUAGUUCGUAAGCUAUGAGUUUCGAGAACAAGCAUGAGCAAGGAGAAGAACUCAUCCUCGUAGGAAUUAUUAUUUUUUUUUAAUUUUUAUCAACCCCUCCCAGGAAUUUUCAGUUUUGACCAGUGAGAUAUUGGUUGAGACUUCAGAAAGAGAAUUAUUGUGUUUUACUUAUACAAUUUCCCGACAAAACUGUCAAGAAUUAUUGUGUUUUACUUAUAGCAGAAGGAUCAGUUGUUGGAUUGUUCAGUUUCAGUUUUAGACUUACGUUGUUUUGCAGUCAUACGAAGUUUUGCACACUAGCAUCAUACUCGGUUUAGAAGAAAAAUCUGCUGGGCAAUCAUACUGUGUCUGUGGUUUGAUCAACCGUUCAAAAACUAACAUGUAUUAAGAAACAUCACUUUUGUUCAGUUUCAGUAUACCUAUCACCUAUGUAUAUAUUGUAACCGAAAACACAAUUUCAAUUAUGAACAGUGAAUUUUUCCUUUAUAUUGAAACCGGUUUGUAUGGAUGGGUUGUAUGUAUGAGUUGUCAUCCUCACUUUAGCUAAGUCAUAGGCUAAAGUCACUUUCCAUAAUUUGUCAUUCACCAAUCACUUUCCAUAGCUUGUCAUUCACCUUACAUCAACCUUUCUUAGUUGCUUGUAAAAGCUUCUUUAGUUGUAAUUUGGUUUUUACUUUUCCACUUGUUAAGGCAGAUUUUAGGGAUUGUGUUUGUGUAGUUAUCCUACAAUCUAUUGUAGCUUUCUUUUGGCUCUUUAUAAGAGUUGCCUUCACUCUCUUGUAAUCUUCAUAAUGAAAUAUACAACAAAUAUUGAAACCAAAACAUCAACAUGGUAUCAGAGCAGGAACCAUAGGGUCCUGACUCUGUUCAUUUUUUUUUUUACCUCUUCAUUUGCUCAUCAUCGAUAGAGAUGGCAGAAGAAAAUGUGUCUAGUGCCGACAGUGCCUCAUCCUCCUCCCCAAACUUAACCCAAGGGGUUGAGAACAAUCCAAAUCAACAACUCUGCUCGGUGCUCCUGAACGAGUUCAACUACCUUCCUUGGUCAAGAGCUGUGUCACUUGCUCUAGGAGGAAGAUCGAAGCUAGGGUUUAUCAAUGGAAGCUUUGAGCCCCCAAAAUCCACUUCACCAACUUACAAUGCAUGGCAUGCUACUGAUCAGCUGGUCAUGUCCUGGUUACGUAACUCCAUGGAGCUAAAACUGUCUGAGCUUUUCAGUUACUCGGAGUCUUCCCUUCUCCUAUGGGAGUUAGUUAAAGACAUGUAUGGCAGCCAAAACAACUCAGUUCGCAUCUUUCAACUGAAGAAGAGUAUGGCUAGUUUAAAGCAAGGUGAUCACUCAUUUGUUCAACACCUUGGAAGUAUGAAAUCCAUGUGGAAUGAACUCGAUAUGUAUUGUCCACACACGACUGAUUCUGCUGUGCUACUGAAGAGGGUUGAUGAAGACAAGGUGUUUCAACUCUUAACAAGCUUGGGAGUGGUGUAUGAAGACCUGCGUAGUCAUUUGUUAAUGACUCAAGAGCUGCCUUCUUUUACCAGUGUGUGUCAUGCAGUCCAGAGAGAGGAAACUCGACGAAGGGUGAUGAAUGUUGAGCCCAAAUCCAACUCUGAAGCUAGGGUUUUCAUGACAAAUCACAAAGCAACUGGUGAUAGGGUGCUUGGCAAGAAAGCAGACUGGAAAUGUUCUUAUUGCAACAUGAAGGGACAUUUGAGAGAAAAAUGUUGGAUUCUUCAUCCGGAGUUAAAGCCUAAGUUUGAUAGGGAAGGCAGGAUAAUCAAAGAUGGGAAGGGUGGAGUCACUCCAAAAGCAUUUCUUUCAGCUUGUUCCUCAAUUGAUGGGAUGGCCAAUUUCUCAACAAAUCAUGUGUCCUUGAUCAACGAGUUUGCUGCUUUUCUUCAAAAGAAGCAAGGAAGCAUUGAACCUGAUGAAAUGACACCUGAAAACCUUACUGCAAUGUUAGGGAAAUUUGAUGAAUUCUUGGCUGACUCGGAGAACACAUCGAAAGGCAAUAUUCCAGGUAUUAUCAGUGCCAUUUCCACUGCUUUUAAUGCAAAUGUUACACAUGAUUUUUGGAUUAUUGACUCUGGUGCCACUGAUCAUAUAACUAAUAAACCCUCUAGUCUCCACGAUUUUCAAAGAACUAUUGAUCCAAUUCAUGUAUAUGUUGCAAAUGGGAAAGGGGAACCUAUUCUAGGGAAAGGAAAAAUUAGAUUGCUAAGUGAGCAUACUGAUUCCACUGCUCUCUAUGUACCUUCUUUUCAUUUUCAGCUCUUGUCAAUAGGAAAAAUCACAAAAACCUUAGAUUGUCUUGCCAUAUUUUCCCCUCACAAUGUUGUGUUUUAGGACUGAGUUAUUCAGAAGAAGAUUGGUGAAAGGUUCUUCUUGAAUGGACUUUACUAUCUCUCACAGGAGUCCAAUUUUGUCAAAAAGCUCAAUGUCAACUUAAGUCAAGUCCAGGAACACCAACUCUGGCAUCAACGCCUUGCUCAUCCCUCAAAACAUGUGAUGACCAAGUUGUUUCCCUUUUUUUGUAAAAACACACUAGAGUGUGAAACUUGUCAAAUGUCAAAAGCCACUAGACUUCCUUUUGUUUCCUCUAAUUCUAGAACUAGUAAACUUUUUGAGCUUGUUCACUCUAAUAUUUGGGGUCCUUCUCGUGUAUAAUCCUUUGAUGGGUAUAGAUAUUAUGUUACAUUUAUUGAUGACUAUUCUAGAGUAACAUGGUUGUAUCUUUUAAAACUUAAAAGUGAUUUGUUUGAUGCUUUUAAGGACUUUGACAACCUAAUCACCAAUCAAUUUUCAUCUAAGUUAUAUAUGUUAAGAUCAGAUAAUGGUACUGAGUACACUUCCAAUAACAUGAGUAAUUACUUGAGCAAUCAUGGCAUUUUGCAUCAAACUAGCUGUGUUGGUACACCAUAACAAAAUGGUGUGGCAGAGAGAAAGAAUCGAGACUUAUUGGAUAAGACUCGAUCACUUAUGAUCCAAAUUAAUGUUCCUAAGAAAUUUUGGUCUCAAGCCCUACUCACUGCCACGUACAUCAUUAAUAGACUGCCAACUCGGGUGUUGAAUACUAAAUCUCCUUUUGAAGUUAUGAAGGGCAGGCCUAUAAACUUGUCUCACCUCAGGACCUUUGGUUGUACUUGUUAUGUGCACAUUCAAGCUCUCCAUCGUGACAAACUCGACCCUCGAGCUAUCAAAUGUGUGUUUAUGGGAUACGCUAGUUCUCAAAAGGGUUACAAAGUGUACAACCCUAACACGGGGAAGCUGGCAAUCUCUAGAGAUGUGCAAUUUGAUGAAUAUUCACCUUAUUUCCACAAAGGGUUGGAGACUAAUGCUAAUAUGGAAGAUCUUAUAGACCUAUUUCCACUAUCUAUUCCAGCAGAAAUUCAUGAAGUCACUCCUACUCAUAUCAGCACUGAUAAUUCUUAACUCACUGAGAGUGUAAUUGAUGUAGUGCCAAGCUCAUCUGGACUAUCAGAAGCUCAACCAAAUCAGCAAGCUAUAAGUGCACCAAGAAGAAGUCCUACACGAGAUAAACAUCCACUAGUGAGGUUACAAGAGUAUGUUACUUACACUGCAAGGCAUCUUAUCUCUGUAGCCAUUUCUUAUCACAGAUUAUCAUAUUCUCAUACUUUUUUCCUUAACAAAUUGUCCCACAUUUUUGAACCAAGGAAUUUUCAUGAAGCCACAUGCAUGCCUGAGUGGCAAGAUGCUAUGACUAAAGUGCUUCAAGCUCUGAAUGACAACCAGACAUGGAGUGUAGUGGAUCUUCCAAUUGGCAAGAAGGUCGUGGGAAGUAGGUGGAUAUAUAAGACCAAAUUCAACUCCAAUGGAAACAUUGAAAGACACAAGGCACGAUUAGUAGCUUAAGGCUUUACUCAAACCUAUGGCAUUGACUAUAAGGAGACAUUUGCUCCUGUUGCCAAAAUGAACAGAGUGAAGGUAUUGUUGUCUAUGACAGUCAAUAAUGCAUGGCCCUUAUUCCAAAUGGAUGUGAAGAAUGCAUUUCUUCAUAGGGAUCUUGAAUAAGAAGUGUACAUGAAGUUGCCUCUUGGUCAUCCAAGAGAAAAUGAACCCAACAAGGUCAGCAGACUUCACAAAGCCAUAUAUGGUCUCAAACAGUCCCCUCGAGCUUGGUAUUCGAAGCUUAGUUCAGUCCUUGAAGCUGCAGGGUUCAAAAUGAGUCAUGUUGACUCUUAUUUGUUUGUUCGAAGUAGUAUUGCUGGCAAAUUGGUUGUGCUUAUAUAUGUUGAUGACCUAAUUAUUACAGGUGACAAUAUAAGUGAAAUCAAGACGCUUAAGCAGUCACUUCACCAAAAAUUUUCCAUUAAAGACUUGAGGCCCUUGAAAUACUUUCUUGGAAUUGAGGUCGCUACCUCUUUAAAGGGACUGCUCUUGAAUCAAAGAAAGUAUGUUCUCGAUCUUCUAGAUGAAGCUAACAUAAUGGAAUGUAAACCAGCUCGGACACCCCUAGCUAGCAAACGUCAAUGGCAUGAAAAAGGUGAACCUCUCUCGGACCUUAGUGUUUAUCAGCGAAUGGUUAGGAAACUUAUUUAUCUCACCAUUACUAGGCCUGAUAUCUCAAAUUUAGUUAGCCUAGCCAGUCAGUUCAUGCACUCUCAUACUCUAGUUCACUGAGAAAUCGUCAAGAGAAUACUUCGAUAUCUCAAGGGCUCAGUAGGAAGGGGGAUAAUUAUGAAGAACAAUGGAUCAAAUCACAUCUUGGCCUACAGAGAUGCUGACUGGGCUGGAAAUGCCCUUGAUCGAAAAUCCACAAUAGGUUUUUGCACAUUUGUUAGAGGGAACCUUGUCACUUGGAAGAGCAAGAAACAAACUGUUAUUGCUCGAUCUAGUGCCGAAGUUGAGUAUAGGGCUAUGGCAGCAACAGCCUGUGAACUCAUAUGGUUGAAAGGUCUUCUUUCCGAGCUCCGAUUCACAAGCAUGGCACCUAUGUCCUUGUAUUGUGAUAACCAAGUUGCCAUGCACAUUGCCUCCAAUCCAGUAUUCCAUGAAAUGACCAAAUAUAUUGAAGUUGACUGCCAUUAUAUAUGUGCUUAAGUUCAAUCCAAGGUGACAGACACCGUGUUCACAUGCAGACACGAUCAACUUGUUGAUUUAUUCACAAAAGCACUAGACUCUACUCACUUUCAACGUUUGUUGUGCAAGCUUGGAUCAAUCAAUCCCCUUGAUCCAGCUUGAGGAGGUGUAUUGAAACUGGUUUGUAUGGAUGGGUUGUAUGUAUGAGUUGUCAUCCUCACUUUAGCUAAGUCAUAGGCUAAAGUCACUUUCCAUAGCUUGUCAUUCACCUUACAUCAACCUUUCUUAGUUGCUUGUAAAAGCUUCUUUACUUGUAAUUUGGUUUUUGCUUUUCCACUUGUUAGGGCAUAUUUUAGGGAUUGUGUUUGUGUAGUUAUCCUACAAUCUAUUGUAGCUUUCUUUUGGCUCUCUAUAAGAGUUGCCUUCACUCUCUUGUAAUCUUCAUAAUGAAAUAUACAACAAAUAUUGAAACCAAAACAUCAACAUUUUCGGUGGUCAGAUGCGCCAUGUUAGGGUUUCGGGUUUACGGGUUAGUGGUGGCCAGGCUUCCUCUAAAACAAAAUAGCAAAUAGUUCACCACACUGAAACGCAGGAGAACUUUUUUAGUAUGAUGGUCACAUCUCAAUGAUGUUACUAAUCCAUGGAUUGUUAUAUAAAUGAACGACGUGAUUGGUAAUACUACGUGAUGUUGUUAUAGUCAAGCAGGAAAACUCCUCAAUCUAAAAAAAUUGUAUCACAAGCACUCUCUGUGUUGGAACCCCUGGAAUGAAAUGAAAAUGAAGCUCAUUACUGUGAUUUUUAGGGCUUCUUUCUUCUGUUAAUCUGUCAUUUUCAUUUCUCACUACUACAAAAUUAUCUAUUUCUGACAGUCCAAAAACCAACAAGAAACAUAUAUUACUGUCGAAUAUUAUGCAAAAUCCGACAAAAAAUGGAUGCAGUGGCGGAUAUAAUAAGCGACAGAAUUGCCAGCGUCAGGAAAUGAAUUUUGCGACAGAAAAUACUCUAAAACCGAUAGAACUUGUGUUGGAUAUAACCGACAGAAAGUAUAUUAAAAAAGAAUAAAUAAGAGCAUUUUCUGUCGGUUUUAUCCAACAUGAACUUGUGUCAACUAUAACUGACAUGAAAUAUUAAUAAAAAUAACUAAAGCAUUUUCUGUCGAAUAAAACCGACAUCAAAUAUAUUAAUAAUAAAAUAAAUAAAUAGGACAUGAGAGCCUAACCUUUCUUUUCGUUGAGCAUUCUUCUCCCCUUCUGCUCGAAAUCAGAAUCUGCAGAAAAACAAAAGAGAAAAGCCAACUCCACCAACCUUCUUCCCAACACAAAACACAACAAUCCAUCUUAGAAAAACAGAAGAGAAAAUAGAAACCUCUCAUACAUUGGACAAAAACAAAGGAAAACAGAAACAAAAAUCAACCCUAAAACCGACGAAACCAAUAGAUAAGAUUACUUCCUCAUUUUGACUCGUCGUCGGUUUUUCUCUCCAGAUGAUUCGGUCCCAGAUUCCUAUAUACAAGGACUCGUCAUCAAGACUCAUUGAUACACUGGAUAUCUCCACAAAGAAAUCAAUCUCUUGUUGCACUUUGUAAUCUGCCUUUGUGCUAUAUAUAUGCACAAAAUCUGCAGGUUCCGCGACCACCAUGAACUGACCAUCUGAUGAAAUUGAACAGUACUUCGUUAAAGUUCUCACUAUUGAAGCAUAGCAUCAAGUUCAAUUCAAGUAUUCAAACAAAGCAUUCAAAAUACGCACUCAAAUGCAAACACAGAGCAACACAUUUCAACUAAUAUCAAUAGAUUUAAGGUACAAUUAAGGAUUAAAACAGAAAAAUUCCUAGCGACCUCAUGUUCUUCUAGAAAAAUCCAGAAACCCUAGAUUCUCAAAUUGAAAUUAAAACCAGAACAAAGUAGAAAUCACACCCGAACCCAAGGCAAGAAAUGGAGAAAUCGAAAGCGGAGCAGAGAAAUUACCAAAAGCAGAGGACGAGACGAGAUGAGGGCGAAGAGGAGUGGAAGGUAUCGGAGGCGGAACUACCGAGGGCUUAGGGUCUAAAGCGGAGAGGAGGUAAUCGGUGACGGAGGUGAGCUUGGGAUUCUGGCGUUUGAGCUUGACGGUGGAGGAGGACGAAGACUGCGAAAAGGCGGCACUGGGAGAGAGGGUUUGGGGCUCUCAGUCUUCUUUUGGAUGGCUCAGCUUCCAUUUCUUUUUUCUGCUACUUCAUAGGUUUUAUUUUGGAAAAUGCUCAUUACUGUAGGUUAAAACCGACACAAACAUUUUUUAAAAUACAAACCGAUAGAAAAAAAUAUGGCCGCCAAAAUACCGCCAAAAUUCCCUUCCAAAAUUUUAAAUUCCCUCCCAAAAUUUUAAAUCCCCCCCCCCCAAAUUUUGUUACGAUAUUAAAAAAUAAAAUAAUAAUUGUUUGGUUUAAUAAAUAAAUAAAUAGAAAAAUUAGGUUCACGUUCUUCUUUUUGCUACUCCAUUAAUUAAAAUCUUAAUUUCAAUUUUUUAUUAAGGCCAUUGGGUAUUAAUAACAUCAUUAAUUAUUUGAAUAAUAAAAUAUUUUUAUUUUUAAAUAUAUUCCUUUUGUUUGUACCAUACUUGACCAAUCCCGAAACUACCGAGCACCGAUCAACGUUAUACCGUCAAGGAUCCAGAAGAGUUUCCCUCCAACCAGGAGGCCAAUCACAGCGCGACACAUGUCGACAUCAGAAGCCAAUCAUAGCGCGACACGUGUCAACAUCGGAAGCCAAUCACAACACAACACGUGUCAAUGUCAGAACAAAGCUAGAAACUCUCUUCUAUAAAAGGAGAUCAUUUUCCCACAAUAUUUCCUAAUGUCAUUUGUAUUAAAUCAUUCACUAGUACUCAUUAAAGGAGAGCUUGAACCUAUGUACUUGUGUAAACCCUUCACAAUUAAUGAGAACCCCUCUACUCCAUAGACGUAGCCAAUCUGGGUGAACCACGUACAUCUUGUGUUUACUUCCCUAUCCCUAUCCAUUUACAUACUUAUCCACACUAGUGACCGGAGCAAUUUAGCGAAGGUCACAAACUUAACACUUUCUGUUGUACCAAAGUCCUCACUGAUUUUGUGUGGAAAACGACACAAAAAGCUAUGUCGGUUCUUUUUCAUUUUUUUUCAUCUCACCACCAUGAAACUUCACCACAAUAUCCACCGUGGAUCUGCAAAACCCACAUAGAGACACAGACACAGACACAGAGCUCUCUCUCUCCCCAUCAUUUGAGCUGGGUUUUCUCUCUGAUAUAUUAGACACCCUUCUGGAAAAUUUUAAUCCCUGUUGGGUUGGUUCUGCACUACCUCAAUUAUUUUUUAUUUUCCCUGAAAAUGAGGGAAAAUGGAGGAAAAUAAGUGAAAGAGAUACCCAAGUCACUGUUUUUCUUCCCCAUACAUUGUUUAAUCUUGCUUUUCAGUCUUGGGUUUUCAGGAUUCCAGCUGAAAAAUGAGGAAGCAUGGAUGGCAGCUUCCUUACUAUCCUGGUGGCAGCUCUUCUUCAAGAUUGGAUCAAUCUCUCUGCUCCUCUCCAAUGGCAGCCAUAGCUCGCGUCUCCAAGAGAGCCUUAACCUCCUUCUUCAGCUCAGCCCAGCUAUCCGCCUUCCACCGCACCUUCUCCGCCGAAGCAGCAAAAGCAGCGGCAACAACACCCUCGCCGGAUCGGGUCAAGUGGGACUACAGAGGCCAGAGAAGGAUAAUUUCACUCGGCCAUUGGCUCCCGAAGAUCGUCAUCUCUCUCUCUCUCUCCCCCCACCUGACAACUCGAUGAUCUGAAGUUUUUGAUUCCCACCGACUCGACUCCUCCGCUCUGCCAUGGUGGUCCAGUUCAAAUUCAGAAGCUCCGUCAACUUUGAAUCCUUCGCCAUCGACGACUGCGCUUCCAUCUUCGACCGCGAUCUCACACUGACCAAUCCACGACGCCGUAAUUCCGUUGCUCCACCGAAGAACUCUAUUCGACGAUGGCUUUCAUGGCCGUUUUGGAGUCGGAUCUUCGCGCGCUUUGCACCGAAGCCUGCCGUCACUACCCCGCCGUCAAGAACGACGCUGAGCACACAACUAUCAAGCUUCAUAAUUUGUCAAGUCCCGGUGAGAUUGCGCAAGAUGAGAACAUACUGCGAAUCUUUUUUAUGGCUUGUGAGGUUAAAACUGUGAAGCUGAAUGUUAUCGGACUUUCAUGCUUACAAAAGCUAAUAUCUCAUGAAGAUGCUGCUCCGUCAACCCUGAAUCUUUCCACACUGAAGGAUCACGCAGAAAUGGCUGACAAAAGUGUUCAACUUAAGACCCUGCAAACUGUGUUAAUCAUAUUACAGUCACUUUUACAUCCCGAGACUGAGUGAACAGGAGGAUGAUCGUCUGCACCGCUCACUCCGCUCUCCCCGACGAUCGUCGCUUCCACGACGCUUCUUUCAGCCGACGGUCCUCUCGGUCCGUCCAUCAAACUCAACUCCGAGCCACCUCCUAAGAUCAAAGUUCCCACUACAGUGCACCAAGGUUCCCCAUCUCCACUUUUUGUUGGACCAGAAGAUGCCCUCCAAUAAUGAAACUUUCAUCAUGAAACUGCCUUUUCUGAAAAAGCCACGGGAAAACAAUGAAGGAGAUAAGAUCCUUUUCUUAUAAUAAUUCUGUUAUUAUCCUCUUUUAGUAUUGUCUGCCAUCUGCCAAAAGAAAAAGCGAGGGAGGAAAAAACGAGGGCAGCGUGCGCAUGUUAUGGAGCAAAAGAGGCAGCAAUCGAAGGGAACCAUGAAAUAGAGGAACAGGCUGAAAAUAAGACAUUUUUUAGGCUUAUAGCUCUCGGUUUGCAUUCCCAUCUGAAGAAAGCGGAUCCUCGUCCACAUUCUGCUACCCAUUUAAUGCAGGGGGAUUCAUUUUAUAAUGAGUGGAGCCUACACUGACUUUAGCAAAUCAGGGAAGAGUACAAGUGGCUGUCGACCACCAACUUCUGAAAAAGGACGAAACUUUCACCAUGAAGGGGAGUGCAUGUUCCCCAUGCCCAUUUUCUGAAAAAGCCACGGGAACAACAAGAUAAGAUUCUUUUUUCUUUAUUAUUUUUACUUUAUCAUUAUUUUGAUAAGAUCAUUUUGUUUUAUAUCUGUGUGUAUAUUUUUUAGCAUGAGGCCACAUCAUUUCUAUCACACCUAUAUAGUGCAUUCCCGGUUUGAUUUGCUUUACAAUGUGCAUAUGCUUUACAAACGCUUGUCUGCAAUCUUCCUGACAAUUAUUUUAUUAAUUAAUAUUUUAUUGCAUCUUUAAUCAUUCAUGACUUCAUUAUUUAAAGUGGUAGGGUAAAACUUUAUUAUACAACAUUUAUUCAUGACCUAGAGUAUUGUGACUUACAACAUGUGAUUCACCACACGACUGAAUAAAUUAUUUAUUUAUAGGAGGCACAUGGUAUAAUAUUCUGCCUUAACAAACUUUGUCAAUUUGAUUUAUUCAUUAUACAAUCAUACUUAUACUGUCAUUUAUUGUCAGAAAUUAUUGAGCAACUAGAUCCACUGAUCGACAUUAUUACUGAUUAAAGAAGCCUACCGACAUUAUUGUUGAUCGACUUUCCUUUCUCCCUUUCUUCUCUCUUUCUUCCGCUUCUCUUUUUUUUUUUAAGGAAAUCUAAUGAAAAAUGAUAGAAAUUUUGAGUUUUAACGAUAAAGAUAAAAUAAAGGGUAAAGUAAAUAGUACCAGAAUUAAUUUUUUAAUAUAAAAAUAUAGUUUUUCGUUAAAAUAUUUCUUUAAAAUUGUUUUUUUUUCUUUUGUUCCCUGUUGCUCGACAAAGAGAAAGAGUAUAUCUACUUUUAUUUAUUUAUUUAUUUUUUAUUAUAUUAUAUUAUAGAGAAGGGGCAAAGAAGAAAAUCUAAUCAUAGUUGCCCGACUACCUUUUUCUUCCUGCGGCCCAAAGUGGCUCUCUCUGUCUUUCUUUAUUAUUAUUUCUCUCUCUUUGUUCCCAUUUUUCCUUAUCUCCUCUGAUCUCUUUUGCCCGAAAGUGGGUCUCUCCUUCUUUUUUUUAUUUAUUAUUUCGUGGCCUUUUCUUUCUUUUCCUUCCUUUCUCUUUCUCCCUGUCUUGUCCCUCACUUUGCCUGAAAUGGCUAUAUAUAUUAUACUAUAUUAUAUUAUAUUAAAAGAGAAAGAAAAGGCACGUUGCCCGGCUGUGCUUUAUAUAUGGAAUUAAGAUUCUCUCUUUUCCUCUUUUCAUCAUCUUCCAUCAUUUCCUUUCACAUUAUUUUAUUUUAUCUUUUUCUUGUUAUAAAAAAUUAAUAUAAAAUGUUGAUAUAGCUUAACCAUGACCAUUCAAAUAGGAAAGGAAGGAAGGAGAGGGAAAAAAAGAGAGGAGAGAAUCCUACUCCUUAUAUAUGUAUAUUAUAUAUAUAUAUAUAUAUAUAUAUUAUAUGAAAAGAGGCAAAAAGAACAAGACAAAAAAAAAAGAAUAGUUGCCCAAGUUUGUUUCUCUCUUAUCCCUCUUUUCCAGUUUGCCCGAUUUCGGGCAUUUUUCCAUUUUAUUAUCUCUGCAACCAGCAAGGAUGCUCCCAUGUUUUUUGGUAUCAACAAGAAGAAAUACAAGCUAGACAACAAGAUUCUUUCAAAUGCUAGUUGCAAUACCAAUUGCCUUGCUCCCCUUGCCAAGUUUAUCAACGGCAGAAGGAUUAAAGAGGUAGACGUGCCUUUUCCUUCAACAUCAUUCCUAGCAGCACUAAAGCCACCAAGGCCGUUGGAAAGUCAGGUUUGAGAAAGCUGCAACAUAAGAACAGAUCAAGGCUGCACUUUACAACCAUUCAUACAAGUUUCUCAAUGGCUUUCCAAACCAUGCAUUAUUCCCAUUUGCUGCAAGAGAAUACAUGGCUUAGUGGCGAGGAUAUCUUCAUGUGUGUCUUCAUGCUCAAUGUCUCUGAUGCCUGUUAUAUCAUCAGUCUUCCGGAAGAGCUCAUUAGAGUCGUAAGUUUCACAAACUUUGCUCAAAUUUGUAAAACUUGGGGGGCUUCUGUUUGCACCUAAAAUGAAUCCAAUUUUACUCAUUUAGGCUGUUCGGGCAAAAUAUGGUAUUUGGAGGAUUAUCUGGAAGAAAGGCUAACUUGGAAAAAUAUUUGGCUACAAGUGAGGUAGUUUUGACAUUAUAAUAUUGCUUUUCCUUUUUAUUUGGGUGGUGGAGGUUUGCCAAGAGCUUUGUUUAAUCAACAAUUGCAUGAUUUCCCAUUGCAAGUGGAUUGAAAGGACAUAGACAUUAUGGCAGAUGAUACAUGGAGGAAACAAGUCACCUUGCUUCUUUUAAUUAUUUGUUUAUUGCAAGUGGUGGAGACAUGUGCUAGAAGCAUGUGGUGGAAAUGCAAGUUAGCCUUUUUAAAUAUUAUUUCACAUGCAAGCUGGCAAAUGGAAUGCAUUCGGGCUGGAUUGGUGUUCUCAGCAAGGAGGCUCUUUCAGAUCUCUAUAUAAAGGAGCAGAGGCACAAGGAUUAUGGACACUCAACCAAUCAAACAAACAAACAUACAAACUCUGCUCUCAAGCCAGAUUUGCAUCCAAAAGCUGUAAUCAGCCCAGAUCCCAGCUCUUUUAGCAAUAGAUUCCUUAGAAAAACUAUCUAUUGUCUAGUUUAUUAGCUCUGCUACUCAUCCAGUAGUAUUGAUCUCCUUUGUAGUUUAUGUACAACUCAUUUCAAUUCAUUUAGUUCACAAGUAAUCUACAAUACUAGUCAUUUACUUUCCUCUGUCAUUUACAUUUCCAGCAACCUUAUCAUUUAGUUGUUGUUACAUUUCUCCAUAUAAGUAAAGUUCUUAUCUUUAAGGUAAAGAAAGAACCUUGAUUUCCACUGUAGGCUUCAAAGGGGGUUAUGUUGGCAAGAGAUUUGGUAGGACAUCGAUUUAAAAUGUAAACUGCAGUAUGUACAGCUUCUGCCCACAUAUAGUACGGCAUUCCUUUAUCAUGUAGCAUAGACUUAGCCAUUUCAAUCACUGUUCUAUUUUUCCUCUCAACCACACCAUUUUGUUGUGGUGUGUAUGCAAGAGAGAGUUGCCUUUGAAUGCCUUCUGUGUCACAGAAAUGAUUGAACUCAGAAGACAAGAACUCCCCUCCUCUGUCACUCCUCAGGCAUUUCACCUUUAAACUAGUUUGCAGCUCAGUCAUUGCUUUAAAUUUCUUGAAGCAAGAAAAAGCAUCAGAUUUAUAUCUAAGAAAGUAUACCCAAAUCAUUCUUGUUGCAUCAUCCACAAUCAACAUAAAGUACUUGUUUCCUCCAGUGGAUUCAUUUCUCAUUGGUCCACAUAGAUCAACAUGAACCAAUUCAAGUGGAGCACCUGCUCUUUGUGCUUGACCACUAGGAAAGCUUUCUCUGUGUUGCUUACCAUAUUGACAGCCUUCACAGACUCUAUCAUACUCAUCUAGAUAUGGUAGACCAUGAACCAUGUCUUUAUCCUUCAAUUGUUUGAUUCCACCAAAGUUUAGGUGACCUAAUCUUCUGUGCCAAGUCAAAGAACAAUGAGCAAGACUAGUCUUCAACACAAGUUGUUUCUCAGGCCUUAGAGAUAGAGGAUAGCACCUGUUUUCUUUCAUUUUCACACGGAUAAUUUGACAUUCCAGAGAAGGACCAUCAAAAACAGUACACAUAUGUCCACCAAACACAAGAUAAUAUCCGUGCUCAUCCAUUUGUCCUACACUUAAUAGAUUCUCUUUCAAACCAGGUAAGUACAUGACUUCUCUGAUGUAUUUCUUCCCUCUGUUAGUUUCAAUUUCCAGUGAUCCCAUUCCUGCCACAUUAACUAACACUCCUGUUGGCAUUUGAACUUUCCCUGCAACAUUUGUCUUUAUAUCAACAAGAAGAUCAACAUUCCCUGUCAUAUGAUUACUGCAGCCACUAUCUAUAUACCAUUCCCCAUUAACUUUUGUUUCAGCAAUAGCACUAUUUGCAUAAAAUAAAUUUCCAGUCACCUCCAUUUGAUUUGUACAGUUUGCUUUCUGAAUAGCUUUUCCAGCAGUACAUUCUUUGGCCCAAUGACCAAAUUUAUCACAGUUAUAGCACUUGGAUUUCCCUUUAUGCCUACAUUCACCAUAAUGAAAUUUGGAGCACACUUUGCACUGAGGUUUUGUACCCUCUUGACCCAUGGUUAGAGAAUGAGUACUAUUAUGUGCAGAAUUAGAAAAUGACUUUUGCUGAAACUUGGGUUUUGAGUCCCACUUUUUACCCUUUUGAUUCCAAUUUCUCUGUGGCUUAAAAGUACUAGACUGAGCAUAACUUCGAUUCUGCCCUUUUGAAUUAACAGUAAGUGAAGAAAAUGCUCUCUCAGUUGCAUCAGAGGAAUGCAAAUCAAACCUCUGCUCUUGACUCUUCAAUAUAGCUAGUACUUCUUGCAGUUCAAAAGACUCUAAACAUUUGGUAUUUUCUAUCACUAAACAAAUAGGAUCAUACAUCUUAGUGAGACUAAUUAACACCUUCUGAACUAAUCUCUCAUUUGAUAGAGCUUCACCAAACGUCUUCAUUUGAUUAAUCAGAUCAUUUAAACGAGUAAGAUACCCAGUCAAAGAUUCAUCAUCACGCAUUCUAGCAUAUUCAAACUCACGUCUAAGAUUCUGAAGUUUUACAGACCUAACCUGAUCACCACCAUGGUAUUCUCCAUACAAGAGAUCCCAUGCCAUCUUAGCUGAAUUAGCGUUAGCAAUCCGAGGGAAGAUCUGAUCAGAUACUGCAUUUUGAAUGAUUCCUAGGGCAUUUGCAUCCUUCAUAGACAUAGCAGUCAUUUCUUCAUCGACUGCAUCGUCUGAUGACCCUUCAGCUUCCUUCUUCUUCUUCGAUUCAGGGGUUGUAAUCCAUUUCUCCACCAGGCUCCAUAACCCAAGCGAUUUGAAGAUUGUUGCCAUCUUAAUCCUCCAGAACUCGUAGUUCUCACCGGAGAAAAUUGGAGUUCUCACCUCCGAGCUUCCAGAUCCAGACAUCUUGGUCCGACUGUUGAUUUUCUCCUCAAAUAGAACUCCGGCAACCUUCACCAAGCUUCGACUUAGCUCAGUGACUUCACAGCUUCACGCCCAGACUCAGUUGAUCGGAACCGGCUCUGAGGCCAUGUUAGUGUUUGAUAGAGUGAAUUCUAAUGGGGAAAAGAAUUAACAGAGAGAGAAGAAGGUGGUUGUUUCUUUCUUCUGCAGCAAUUCAGAAGAAGGACAUUGUUUUCAUUGAAUGCCUCACACUCUUUCACACAACGUGCGAAAUGAGAUAUAUAUUGCUUUUACAAAACUGAGCUGGAUCAAAACAUUGAAAACAGAUCUCAGCCACACCUUUAACUAAUAGCUAAGAUCAUCACACAUGGCACUCAUGGCCUUUACAUCUAUAUAUCUUCUCACUUAGUAUUUAACAUAAGUGCAUACACAUAUUAACAUCACAACUUAUUUCUAAAACAGCUAUAGACUUAUAAUUCAACAUUCACAAGCUUCUUAAGAGCAACUGAGCAAGUUUUGCCUCUGGCACUCCGUCCUCCAGAACAGCACAGACAGGGAAGAUAGAAACAUCUUGCACCCUUCUUUCCAAUUCUUCAUACACUUCUUCACCACCGUCCUCUUCUAUUUUAUUUGCUACUAUCAAGGAUUGACGAUUAGAUAAACUUUCUUGGUGGUACUCGAGUUCAAAACUAAAUCCCGAAGUUGUUCCCAAGGUGGGAUUCCAACUCUACCAUCCAAUCCAGAAGCCAGGUCUACCACAUAAGCUAGAACUUUUGUGCGUUCUAUGUAUUGCAGGAAUGCAUGUCCAAGUCCACGAUUUUCAUGGGCACCCUCUAUGAGUCUGGGAAUAUCUGCAACUGUGAGUGAGAAGUCUUCAAAGUUUAGAUUCCCCAAAUUGGGACUAAGAGUUGUGAAGGCAUAAUGGCCCACUGCAGGCUUUGGCCUCGAUGUAGCCCCUAACAGAGUACUUUUGCCAGCAUUUGGGCAUGUCGACGAGGCUCACAUUAGCAAUGCUCUUCAGCUCUAGUAUAAGAACAGCUUCUGAAACAGGCAAACCAACUCGAAGGGACGACUCCUCAUCAUCAAAUACUUUCACAGAGGACACAUUUCCCAUACCCCAUUCCCCUCCACAAGCAAUAAUUACUCGUUGAACUUGUACAGUAAAUUCAGCAACAUUGUGCUGAAUGUGAUCUUUUUUCUCUGUCUCAUUUUCUGAGCAACUCUUAGGCGAAGUAAAUGAAUGAGAAUAAACAUCAGUUGAUCCCACUUCGAUGGUUCCUUCGUACCAGCAGAUUUCUCAACAGUUCUGUCUGGUUGAGAGGAUGAGCUGUCACUAACCUCCGCAGUAUCCAGUUACAUCACUUAUAGGAGUAUCUAGAAUUUCCCAUGGAUCCAAAUCUUUAGGAAUUUGUCUUUAAGCAACACAAGGAGUAUCACCCUUCAAAAGAUGAAUCACGGUACCAAUGGGCAGUUGGGCAACCUACGAAAGUAAAAGAUUUUGACAGUAAAUUUUAGCUUUCUGAUUCCAACCUAGCAUACGAAAAACUACAUGAUACCAAGAACUGCUAACCACAAAUAAACCUUAUCUGCUCAUCUGGUGCCAAUUUCAUUCUUUGAGGAUCCAUGUCCCCCUCUCUGUGCAAUCUACAUAACAAGCCCCUCAAGCAAAAGAUGAAUAUGGACAUUGAACUACAACAGAGAACCUACCAUCAGGUCUGCCACGGAGAUCAUGUCAACCGCAGCGAGAGCUGGUGCAACCACUGCCACCACUACCCCCUUUAGCAUAAAGCCAAAACCUGUCUACAAUUCUCAUUUCCUACAAAGAAAGAACAAAAAAAUUCCAAAUAUUCAACAGGUACACAAAAUGGGUGUAGCGGAGAGGAGGAUGCUUCGUUGAAUGUGUGGGCACACGAGAAAGGAUAAGAUUAGGAAUGAGGAUAUCCGAGGUAAAGUAGGAGUAGCCGAAAUUGAAGGAAAGCUGAGAGAAAAUCGGUUACGGUGGUUUGGACAUGUGCAAAGAAGACCUACUGACGCUCCGGUUAGAAGAUGCGACUACGGGACAGAGGUUCAGGACCGAAGGGGUAGAGGAAGACCUAGGAAAACUUUGGAAGAGACUCUAAGAAAAGACUUAGAGUACUUGGAUUUAAUGGAAGACAUGACACAGGAUCGAGCACAAUAGCGUUCUAAGAUUCAUAUAGCCGACCCCACUCAGUGACUUGGAUUUUUCAACUCUCUAAUCCAGAAGUUUUCCCCACUCGGGAAAUUAAGGGAACACUACCUCAACCUACAUGCUCUAUUCACAAAGCUUCAACAUACAAGCUUCAACAAAAGAAAAAUUCAAAGAACUUAGUGAAGAAGGCUUUGGUGUAUUUAACACAAUACGUUGAAAUGAAACAAAGCUUAUUUAUUGAUAUCUCUGAUAAGUUACAAAUAUGUACAUAUACAUGAGUCAAAAUAAACAAACAAGAGGGAGCCUUCAAAAAGGUUGCUUAGGAGAAGUCUCAGCAGUCGGUAGAGCCCUAGAAAGAGAAGGCACCGGAGGGGGAUCAUUCGGAGCCUCAAUACUGGACAGCACCCUAGAAUGAGGAGGCAUCAGAGGUUGAUCAUUUGGAGCUUCAUUACGCGGUACAGCCCCAGAAGACGAAGGCAAUAAAUGCCUUUGGAACAAACCCACAAACCUCUGAUGAUCAUGUAAAAUCUGACCAUCAGAUUCCUUCAUCUGGUCAAGCUUCCUCUUCAUGUUUGUAGCAUAGUCAUGUGCGAGCCCGUGCAACUGUUUAUUCUCAUGCUUAAGCCCUCUAAUCUCCUGUUUGAGACUCAUCACUUCAGCCGCCAAUGAUUCAACUUGGCGGGUUCGAGCAAAUAGGCGUUGGGCCAUAUUAGACACAGAACCUGCACACUGAACACUGAGAGCCAGAGAAUCCUUAACAGCCAACUCAUCAGACCGUUUGGAAAGUAGUCUGUUAUCUUUGGGAGUGAGAAGGUUCCUGGCCACCACCGCAACGGUCAUAUCAUUCUUCAUCACGGAAUCCCCAACGGUAAGAGGACCAGUAGGGGAUAAGAAGGAUGGGCGCCAUAUGUUGUCUGGAGAAGGCGUGGCUGCCUCUUCAACAAGGUUCAAGUCAAAACGACGGUCGGAGGUGCCAGACAUUUUCAAAGGUGUUGAAGAGAGAAGAGGUCUGACAAAUCAAGAUCUUAGAAAUGUAAGAAGGGAGCUUCUACUGGUGGAGAUUCAAGUGUGCUUUGGAACUUAAUACCAGCCUCUAUAAAAAUCUGCACUCGAUGGAGCUUCAGAAAUCGAAGAGGCGCCUGCUCAGAAAUCGAAAAGGCGUUUGCUUUCUCAAAAGUUGGGCUGCUCAGAGACCACGAGGGUCGAUCUCAGGAAUCGAAGAGGCGUUUGCUUUCUCAAAAGCUGGGCUGCUCAAAGACCACGAAGGUCGAUCGCAGAAAUCGUAGAGGCGCUUGCUUUCUCAAAAGCUGGGCUGCUCAGAGACCACAAGGGCCGAUCUCAAAAAUCGAAGAGGCACUUGCUUUUUCAGCCUUGUUAGCACCUGUCACAUGCACACUCAACUUUGCGGAAAUUACGGGCAUUCUGUCGAAGAUUUCUAGUGAAGUAAAGCACGUGAAUGUUACUGUUCAAUCAUCUACUUUCCACACGCAACAUCAGCUCACGGGUACCACAUAUAACUUUGCCAAAAAUCUCUGACAAAGUUUAGACACGUGAAGCUUGCAGCUCCAAUUACAUCGCUAUGACCAAGAAGGGUAAAAGAAUAGCAAAGAAACAGCACUAACAAAGUUUAGACAUAUAAAUUUUGAAGGUCUAGCUACCAUAUUAUUACCCCCAAGGGUAAAGGAACAGAACCACUGCUGGAUAAUUGGAAAGUCCCUGUGUGUCAACAUCUGUGCUCCGUGGCAAGGUAAACUAGCAAACAGGCCUAACCUUUACUCACAUUCGAGAAUACACUCCCAACAAUAUUGCUUGCUUCAAUAUCGAAGAGGCACCGUCCUCCGAAUCUCGAGAGCCAGACUCCCAACAUGAUUACUUUCUCAAAAAGCGACGAGACACCGCUCUCCGAAUCUCGAGAGCCAGACUCCUAGCAGGAUUGCUUUCUCAAAAAUCGAAGAGGUACCGUUCUCCGAAUCUCGAGAGACAGAUCCCCGACAGGAUUGCUUGUUCGAAAACCGAAGAGGCACCGCUUUCUCAACUUCGAGAGCCCCUUAGAUAAAGCUUGUCUGUAAUCCUCACACAGCUUUCUCAACUUCAAGAGCCAGAUCUCCUUGGAUAAAGCUUGUCUAUAAUCUUCACACGUAACAUCAGCUUUCCAGAUACCACAGACCACUUUUUCAAAGUGCUCUGACAGAGUUAAAACACGUGAAGCUAGCAAUUCCCACUACCGUGCUAUGACCAAGCAGGGUAAAAGAAUAGCAUUACUCCUUGUUGUUAGGGAGACUCCUAUAUAUGUCGACCUCCAUCCUCAACGGACAAGCAAACCUGCAAAAAUGUUCAGCCCUUCCUCAUAUUUGAGAGGGCACUCCCAACGAAGCCUCUCGAAAUACUCAGCUUUCUUUCCCCCCGAGAAUACCUCUGCAAACAAGCUACACCAGAGCAAAAAUAUCUCAUAUCAUCAGGGUUAAAAGCAAGAGUAUCCCAUAUCAUGCUUUUUCCCUGUCUUUUCCUUUGGCCUUGUUCUUACCUGCAAGACAAGGAGAAAGAGAGCAAUCAGUCAGCACCUGGAAUCAAGCUUCCAGUCCGGAACUGACUUACUUACCUGGCAUUGCUCUCAAGUACUCAUCUUCAACAUCUUAUGCUUCCCGAGAAGAUACCACAUCUGCCUGAGGAACAAAUAGGGCAAGUGAGAAGGAUACAAUGAAGCAUGUGGAGACAAGUGCAACAGAACACGUGCCGAUACAUCCACUACUUUGUCAACAGCAAAAGUAUCCCAUAUCAGCAGGGUCGAACGUACUCUAGAUUUGAUGGACUUGUUUUGACCCUCAAAUUCUUCAGUCAGCCUUAUACUCUGGCGGAAACCAGAAAACCCUCUAGCCCAGUUCAAGAAUAAGCUUGUGGAAAGUUACUUCUUCAAAAGCAAAAGUAUCUCAUAUCACCUUUUCUCCUUUUCUUCUCUUUAUCCUUCAUGCUGCCUACAAGAUAAGGAGAAGGAUAACAAUCAGCCGGAACUCGAAAUCAAACUUCUAAUCUGGGACUGAUUGCUUGGAGCUCUGAUUGCUUACCUUGUCUGUCAUCUCUUUCAGCAGAUCCCCUAGCUCGGCGACUUGGGGGACUCCUACUACAUGGUUUGUAUCGCGCUUGAUCAAGCCUGAAACUACAAGUAAGCGUCAAGUGAAAUUGAUACAUUACCUUGUGCAUCUCCACCAGUUAAAGAUACCACCCCUGGAGGGAAGACGAGUACUUCCAAAGAAGAUGCCACAUCUACCUAUGAGACAGAUAAGGCAAGUGAAGACGAUACCACACUUCGGUACUUAAAAGUUUUGUGAUUACGAGAUCAUUCUCCCACAAUAUUUCCUAAUGUCAUUUGUACUAAAUCACUCACUUGUACUCACUAAAGGAGAGCUUGAACCUAUGUACUGUGUAAACCCUUCACAAUUAAUGAGAACUCCUUUACUCCGUGGACGUAGCCAAUCUGGGUGAACCACGUACAUCUUGUGUUUGCUUCCUGUCUCUAUCCAUUUACAUAUUUAUCCACACUAAUGACCGAAGCAAUCUAGCGAAUAUCACAAACUUAAUAUUUAAGAUGAUAUUCUUUGGUGUAUGCUUUUUGCAAACGAUAUAGUGUUGAUAAAUGAAACGCAGGAAGGGGUAAACGCGAAGCUUAACCUUUGGAGAGAAGUGCUGGAAUAUAAAGGUCUUCGCCUAAGCCGAUCAAAGACAGAAUAUAUGGAGUGCAAGUUCAGUACAAACGGAGACCAAAAUGAGUUAGGGGUGAGGAUCGGAGAUCAGGAAAUACCAAAGAGCGACCGUUUUCGCUACCUAGGAUCUAUCUUGCAAAAGAACGGAGAAUUUGAUGGAGAUCUCACCCAUAGAAUACAAGUUGGAUGGAUGAAAUGGAAGAGUGCAUCCGGCGUGUUGUGUGACCGUCGUAGGCCACUGAAGCUCAAGGGAAAAUUUUAUAGGACGGCAAUAAGGCCGGUGAUGCUGUAUGGCACAGAAUGUUGGGCGGUGAAGCAUCAACACGUAGGUGUAGUGGAGAUGAGGAUGCUUCGUUGGAUGUGUGGGCACACGAGAAAUGAUAAGAUUAGGAAUGAGGAUAUCCGAGGUAAAGUAGGAGUAGCCGAAAUUGAAGGAAAGAUGAGAGAAACUCGGUUACGGUGGUUUGGACAUGUGCAAAGAAGGCCUACUGACGCUCCGGUUCGAAGAUGUGACUACGGGACAGAGGUUCAGGGCCGAAGGGGUAGAGGAAGACCUAGGAAAACUUUGGAAGAGACCCUAAGAAAAGACUUAGAGUACUUGGAUCUAACGGAGGACAUGACACAAAACCGAGCGCAAUGGCGUUCUAGGAUUCAUAUAGCCGACCCCACUUAGUGGGAAAAGGCUUUGUUGUUGUUGUUGUUGUUAUUCUAAGAUACAUUGGUGUAGAAAAGAAGUAUCAAUUGAAAAAGUCAGGCAAGAAUAAGGACUGAUGAGAGAGAAGCGGAAAUGUAGAAACCUGCGGAGGAGCAAGCUUUGAUCUUUUAUGGGGAGCAUCCGAGUAUGAAUAAGAAAAGAAAGAAAUCCACAGGCACUUAGAAGAAUGCCUCAACGUCUUUAUGUGCUGAAGUGGUUUUGGAAGGUGCCCCCACAUCUCUCCUUGCUAUCUGUAAAGCUAGAAACCUAGAAAAGAAAACGGCAUAUAAUGGUAACGGUGAGAAAGAUGCUCCCUUUCUACAUUCCUUUAGUGGAUUCAAUACAUUCAGACGGCUUUUCAACAGACACACGAACAUUACAUCUCUGUCAAAGGAAAUUUGUCCAAAAAUGUACUGCCUUGACCUCACUAUUUUUCUUUUCAUCCUUUAUAUUCAAGUGCAUUAGUUGCAUUUGACGCGUCUGAUUGCUCUGAUUACACAGGUGAUCAAAUUCUUACUGCUUAAAACUACGAGCAGCAAGAAACAGUAUAAUAAAAGAGAGACAAGAAAUGAAAGACUAUACAAAAAUGCCUAUAAAUUAUCAAUGUUGAAAAACAAAAACAAAUCACAUAUUAAAACCAAAUAGACAAACAAUCUGAAUUCGAAAGCCGUUUAGGAUUUAUCCCACAACUUUUAAACCCCACGAACACUAAGGGUUAAGGAACAGAGAAGGAAGUAGGAUGAAGCUUGCAACUUUCGACUUACGGGAGAGGUUCGAACUUUGAAAUUGAAAGGAAGGCUGAGAGCCUGAGAGUGAAAGCUUAUUGAGAGAGCUUGCAACGAGAGGAAGGGGGAGAGCAGAAAGCACAAAGAGUGGUUUCAUCGAUGGGCAGGAAAUGAUUGAUGGGUUUGUUUCCGACUAAAUUAUUUCUGAGUAAACUAUCGAUUUUCCUUUGAAUUUUCACCUAACUUUCGAUUUACCCCAUAAACUUUUAAAUUGAAAAUCAAGGACUUAAACUAAUUUUUUGGCCGAUUUCCCCCAUACCAUUAGUUUUCCAUAGAUUAUAUCCAAAUUAACGUUGACUCUUAUCACGUGCACACCACGUGACCCUCCUUUGAGAACAAAAAAAAUCACUUUGCUAGACCUUUAGACACAAAAUUUAUAGAAUCACACAGAUUUGCACAACUCAACAUUUUAGAGAUCUAGGGUUUUCAAUUAUUUUAAAGAACGAAAUAACCAAAUUGCCCUCACAUGUUGUGCACAUGUUUUCAUUUAACAGAAAUUUGGAUGGAAUGAAUGAAAAACUAACAUCAUGGAGAAAUCAGCCAAAAAAUUAGUUUAAGUCCUUUAUUUUCCAAUUUAAAAGCUUAGGGGGUCAAUUGAAAGUUAGGUGAAAGUUCAGAAGGGAGAUCAGCAGUUUACUCAUUAUUUCUUCAUAAAUCAUGGUGUUACUAUUCUUCGUUAAAAACUUACACAAUGUUCCACAUUAAUAGAAGACUAAUUAUAUUUUACACCAUUUAAGUUUGAGGUGAUUUUCAAAAUGGUCACGAGGUUCAAAUUUUCUCACUUUACGCCUUGAAAUUUUGAAAUUGUAUCAAUUUAUACCUUUUGUAUCUUUGGAUAUCUAAUCCUCUAUUAGAUUGAUGAGUUUUUUUUUUUUUUUGUCAAUAUCGUGCAAAUAUGGCUUACAAAUUAAUUCAUAUAAGGAUCUUGCGCUCACUAUGUCAUCAAUUUAGCGAAAGAUUAAACAAUUAAAACAACCAAAGACAUAAAUUGUUACAAUUUUAAUACUUUCAUGACCAAUUUUGAAAAUUAUCAUAAACUUCAAGGCUGUAUAAUGUAGUUUGCCCUAAAACCCCUAAAAUGUAUUUCAAGUUUUAACAUGAAUUGAGAAUCAUUUGGUGCAAGUAUCGAUCCAAUUUUUUCCUAUUUCACUUAUAUUUUAUGAUGAAGGUAGGUCAACUCAGCUUUUGGUUUUAGUAUGAUAUGCUAAUUAAAAAAACAGAUACAUGUGUUAUGAUUUAAAUCAAAUGAAAACACUACGUGACAGUUUUUUGGUAAGCUGAAAAAUUAAGAGAUACAUAUUUGUUUCCAAUAGCAAGACUUCAAACAAAUACAUAGAUGGCUUGUAAUGCUUUUACCAAUUCCGUUCAUUUGUUUUUAUACAGUUCAAUGACUAAACAACCUUAGUUUUAAUUGAUUUUUCGCAGAGAGAAUCUUUAUAUGGUGAUUUAUAAUAUGAACAGUUUUGAAUAUAAACACAAAGUUCUAUACAUUGACAACAAAAAAUUUUGAGUAGGAGUUCCUACUCAUCAUUUGAGUAGCCAAGUAUUGUUCUUAUGAACAUUACUUGACUAUUCAAAUAUUAGUAGGAACUCCUACUCAAAACUCUUAGUAUUUGAAUCACAGAGCUUUGUACUUAUGAUCAAAAUCGUUCAUAUUAUUAAUCACACUACAAAGAUCAUUUCUACAAAAAAUAAAUUAAAACUAAGAUCGUUUAGUCAAUCUAUUCUAGCAAAUACAUAGAUGGCUUGUAAUGCUUUUACUAAUUUCGUUCAUUUGUUUUUAUAUAGUUCAAUGACUAAACAAUCUCAGUUUUAAUUGAUUUUUUGCAGAGAUGAUCUUUAUAUAGGAUGAUUUAUAAUAUGAACGGUUCUGAUUAUAGGUACGAAGUUCUAUACAUUGACAACGAACAAUUUUGAGUAGGAGUUCCUACUCAUCCCUUGAGUAGCCAAGUAUUGUUAUAUAUGAACAUUACUUGACUAUUCAAAGAUGAGUAGGAACUCCUACUCAAGACUCUUAGUAUUUGAAUCACAAAGCUUUGUACUUAUGAUAAAAACCGUUCAUAUUAUUAAUCACAUUGUAAAGAUCAUCUUUGCAAAAAAAUGAAUUAAAACGAAGGUCGUUUAGUCAAUCUAUUCUAGCAAAUACAUAGACGGCUUGUAAUACUUUUACCAAUUCCGUUCAUUUGUUUUUAUACAGUUCAAUGACUAAACAACCUUAGUUUUAAUUGAUUUUUUUACAGAGAUGAUUUUUAUAAGGUGAUUUAUAAUAUGAACGGUUCUAAUUAUAAACACGAAGUUCUAUACAUUGACAACGAACAAUUUUGAGUAGGAGUACCUACUCAUCCUUUGAGUGGCCAAGUAUUAUUCUUAUGAACAUUACUUAACUAUUCAAAAAUGAGUAUGAACUCAUACUCAAAACUCUUAGUAUUUGUAUCACAGAGUUUUGUACUUAAGAUCAAAACCAUUCAUAUUGUCAAUGUUCUAAAAGAUGCUAGUCGGGCAGCAAGCUGGGGCCUAGCGUCUAAAUGGUUAGGCGGGGCCUAGGCAGACUAGACGGAUUUAAGUAAAUUUAUUAUAUUUUUUAUAAAUAAGUGUCUAUUUAUACUUAAAAUAUAUAUAAUUUCACCAUAAACUACAAAAUAGAAUGACAUAUAUGUUACGAAGUAUUGGAACAAAAUGAAAAUAUAGGGGGCAAGCAUAUAAGGUGUGUUCAUUUAGGUAUUUAACAAGUCUCUUAAAAUUUAUUGAAAAAAAUAAAAUGCAAAAUGAAAGUUAUCAAUUUUCCGUCUAAGUGAUUCGCAACCUAGUGGACGCCUAGGCGGGUCCGAGCAGGCUAGGUGGGUGUCUAGGCGGUCUAGGCGGGCACCUCAGCAGGUAUAGUCCCCCUUUCUUAAUUUUCAAACACCUAGCAUUAAUCGGGGCAGUGGUCAACCGCCUAGCACCUAGGCAGGGCCUAGGCGGUGCUAGGCGUGUGAAAUCCUGUUCCUGGAUUUCAUUGUUCCAAUAUACGUAUUUGUAUUAUUGAGAUUUUAUAUUAUUUAGGGAAAUUUUAUUAAGCUAUUUACAUUUAGAUUUUUAAAUUAGACUAAUUACAAAGAGUGAAGUUUAGAAAUUAAUUAUUUAAAAUUCAUAGACCGUUUGAGGUCACAAUUUAUCUUUUCGAAUAGAACUCAAUCUCACGAACGCGUAGGCGCAAACCGUUCUUGAAACAGAGUUCUAAUGGAAGAGUUAUUAACGUUUAAAGUUAGGGACAUUUUUGUAAUUUUGGCCAUAAUCUAGAAGGCUCCAGAUAGAUGGACCAAUUAUCUGUGUGCCACAUGUGUGGCUGUGAUUGGAGAAGGAAGAGAGAAAUGAGGGAAAUAAGGGAAGAAACAGUAGAAUCAAGAGAGUAGACAGGAGGGAAAUGAGAGGGGUAGAUAACCGGAUUUCCCCCUCGACUCAUUUCUUUUUGGCAACCCGACCAGACGAAAACAAGGGUUUCCGAUGCUUUUUUCGGCCAAAUUCUAGCAAAUUACGUUGAGACAACACCUGAGAAAUACCCCACGACCUUCCCUCUAACAAUUCCACCCAAAAAUUUAGGAAAAUUGGCCUUAAAUUUGGGAAAAACUGCACUGGUGGGUGCGAGGGUUAUUUGUCGUUGAUCCAUCAAUUUUGAAACGAUUUUCGUUCAUCACCACCACCUAUAGCAUCCUUUUGAGGCCUAGAACAAAGCCCAAACAAUUGUAGGGGUGAUGGAGCACUGGAAAUGACUGAUCGAAGCCACCCAUUUCUAGGGUUCCAGCUGGUUCGAGGUAAUUCCAAGCACUUUCUGGCUGAAUUGGACUUUGGCCCAGGUAUGAAAGUUGUUCCUAUCAUUGAGCUCUACAUGUCUGUAAAAUUUAGUAAUUUUUAGAGUUAGUCAAAAAAUCAGGUUUCCGUUCGUCGGAAACCGCCACCAGGCGUAUACGCUGGCUCAUGGCCAGUGGGUUGCCGAUGCUAUUUUAUGCUAAAUUGACAUCCUAAUCUUUGAAUUGAUAUUUGUAUAACGUGGUUGAUUGUUUGAACUUAGUUUCAUUAUGAUACAUCACUUGAUCAUUGUAUGAAUCAACGAUCUGGCCAUUGGAUCGUCACCAAACUCUAAUGCAUUAUAGAACAUAUUAUUUCAGGAUAUUAGAAACUGACUGAUCGGAAAUCCGAAGUACGGAUCUUCCCAAAUUGGAUUUCUAAGUUUGUAAAAUAAAUUGUUGACCACCACCUAAUCCUAUUAAUUGACGGAGGUUUGACUGUCGGAUCGCGAUGAAAUUUUAGUAUGUUGUUUUAUGAGCAUAAUAUGGACCUUAGGAAGUUACGGAUCCGAAAUCCGAUGUGUGGAUCUUCUGGAUUGAAUAGCUAGGGUUAUGGACCCCACGGUUGAUGGAGAGUUGACUUUUGGUCAACAUGUCUCGAUUUGUUUAAAAUACUAAAAUUAGUAUUAAUAGAAACUCAAUGAGGCUUUGCGAGCCUACCUCGGUGAGAGACUCUAAUAUAUGAGAUAUUGAUAUAGUUAUUAUCCUGGUUUUUAAUAUCCUUUCUGGAUACCACCUAACCUUAUAAAUGUGAUUUCUAAUGAAAUGUGAUUUUAUAUAUAUAUAUAUAUAUAUAUAUAUAUAUAUAUAUAUAUAUAUAUAUAUAUAUAUAUAUAUAUUAAACGUGAUUUGACUUGUGUACUGAUGAUAUUUGUGAAAUGUUAUUUGAUUUGCAUGAUUGGUAUGAUGUGAUGAAAUGUGAGGGCUAGUAGUAGACCGUUAACCUAUUGCCAUGGGGUUUGUUGCUUCAGAGCUUAGUUUCAUUAUGAUACAUCACUUGAUCAUUGCAUGAAUCGAUGAUCCGGCCAUUGGACCAUCACCAAACUCUAAUGCAUUAUAGAACAUAAUAUUUGAGGAUAUUAGAAACUGACGAAUCGAAAAUCUGAUGUACGGAUCUUCCCAAAUUGGAUUUCUAAGGUUGUAAAAUAAAUUGUUGACCGCCACCUAAUCCUAGUAAUUGACGGAGGUCCGACCGUCGAAUCGCGAUGAGAUUUUAGUAUGUUGUUUUAUGAGCAUAAUAUGGACCUUAGGAAGUUACGGAUCCGAAAUCCGAUGUGUGGAUCUUCCGAAUUGAAUAGCUAGGGUUGUGGACCCCACUGUUGAUGGAGAGUUGACUUUUGGUCAACAUGUCUCGAUUCGUUUAAAAUACUAAAAUUAGUAUUACUAGGGACUUAGUGAGGCUUUGCGGGCCUACCUCGGUGAGGGACUCUAAUAUAUGAGAUAUUGAUAUAGUUAUUAUCCUGGUUUUGUAUUUAAUAUCCUUUGUGGAUAUCACCUAACCUUAUAAAUGUGAUUUCUAAUGAAAUGUGAUUUUAUAUAUAUAUAUAUAUAUAUAUAUAUAUAUUUAGCCACUGACCUAUGUUUAUUAAGCGUGAUUUGACUUGUGUACUGAUGAUAUUUGUGAAAUGUGAUUUGAAGUGCUUGUUGAAUUGUUUGAUGAAAUGUGAUUUGACAUGCAUAUUUGAAAUGUGAUUUGAUUUGCAUGAUUGGUAUCAUGUGAUGAAAUGUGAGGGCUAGUAGUGGACCAUUAACCUAUUGCCAUGGGGUUUGUUGCUUCAGAGCUUGUUUCAUAAGCCAUUUCAUUGUUUCAUUUCUUGCUUCGUUAACUUGUUCUAGAUUUAGUAUUUGUGCUUUGUUUCAUUUCGUUAAGCCUUUGUAAAUUGAGCACUUGAUUCAUGUUUUGUUUCGUCGACCUGUUGUUAUGUCCUUGGCCCCUCGCUCAGUUCCAUUGAGUGGUCCAGUUCCCUACUCCGUCUGGAUUCCAUUGAGUGGUCUGGAAUCCCUCAUGAUCCGCGAUUCCGUUGAGUGGUCCAGAAUCGUAUCCAGCUUAGGUUUCAUUGAGUGGUUCGAUAUGCUUUGUACUCCGAGAUUCCGUUAGGUGGUCCGGAAUCGUAUCCACUUGAAUUCUUUUGAGAAGUCCGGAAUCCCUUCUACUCCACAAUUCUGUUGAGUGGUCUGGAAUCCCCUUUGGUGUUUUGGUUCCGUUGAGUGGUCCAGAACCCGAUGUUGAUGGAUUUCGUUGAGUGGUUUGAAAUAGCAUCAUUUGACUUGUUGGUUCCUUGGAUUUGAUUUCAACUUCAGAGAUGUAGGCUUUAGCCGAACUAUGUCGCUCUAACCCUGCAUUUCAAUGUAUUGUAUGUGUUAUUGAUUGAUGUGAUUAUUGGAUGGUGUUGGAAUGCAUAUGUGUGGGUGAAUGGCAAGAUGACCAGAGAAUAAUAUUAUGCUUCGUUGAAUGUUACUUGAGGUGCUACAUGCUUGAAUUAUGGUAUUAUGUUGAGACGUAGUGAGAUAUACGAUGAAUGUUCGAAUGUAGUGAAUGGUGAACUACGAAUGACUUGAUCCCUAUUGAGGGUACGUAGGCAAUCUAACGAAGGGGUUAGAUGCAACCAUAAAGUAUACAAAAAUAACUUCGCGAUCUGAAGCUUAUGUUGUGCUUUAUCCGUAUCCCGAAGGCGGGAUAUGUUAUAUAUGCGGAUACUUGGUGACGUUACAUGUCGAUCCUGAUGUAUGUCGGGAUCGAGGCAUGAAAAGGCGGGGAUUUUUAGAUCAUUGCAUAUUAUUAAUCACACUGUAAAGAUCAUCUCUGCAACAAAAUGAAUUAAAACUAAGAUAGUUUAGUCAAUCUAUUCUAGCAAAUACAUAAACGGCUUGUAAUGCUUUUACCAAUUAUGGUUCCCUUGGAAAAAGUAAGAAGAUAGGAACAAGACCAUUACUGCUGCCCUAAUAGUUAGUGGCUUGUUACAUGUAAAAUAAUGGAGCAAAGGCAACUCAAAGGAGCUCUCAAUUGUUCAUGUCCACUACAAUUUUAUCUUUCAUUUCCAAACCCAAACACACAUCAAAGUAAAAAGCUGAACAAACACAUAACUUAAGCAAGAUGUAACAUAAAAAUAAUUAAGGUUUCCACAAGACACAAAGCAAAUCCCAAAACCCUAGCUAGCAAGCUAGGAGAUUCAUGGAUUUGCAAAUCCCAUGGCUAAUCUUAUUUUACAGUAAGUUCUAAAACCAAGCUUUUACAGUCUUCUUCUUAUUUAUAGAGACCAUCACAGCUUUCUUCUUUGAGUCUGGAUCUUGGCUUGCUUCGAUCAUUUGUGGCAGCCACAUGAGCUGCAGCUGCAGCUUGAGCCACACUUGCAGCCAUUCUCUGCUCCAUAGCUCAUCUCAGACCCCUCAGAGAACCUGCAAUAAUAAUAUAGUCAAUUUUGUCUCUUAGUUAGAGAGAAAUUAUUAGCACUCCUGAAAAGUCAUUGUGCAAUCUUCGGAAAGUAUUUUUACCUUAUUUUUUGUAUUUAAUUAACCAUGGUUAAGACAAUAGUUGCCUUAUAAAAACUUACAUUUUCACAAGGGCAACUCCGGCAAUGACAGUUUCAGUGGAAGUGGUCUCUGAGUAGCUCAAGUCAGGGUAUAUGCCACACCUACACGUAUAUACAUAUAUAAAGAGAACGUAAUUAUUAGGAAAAAUAACUAAUCAAAGUAAUCAGUUCAUAGUUAAGAAUAUAAUUAGGAAUUAUGGAGAAUGAUGGUCAUAUAUAUAUAUGUAUGUAUGUAUUGGUUAGGGGAAUAGAAGAAUUACUUGCAGCCACUGCCGCACUUGCAGUCACUUCCACAACUACGAUUGCAAGACAUUUUCUUUAAAACUUGGUAUAAGGAUAAGGAGAAGAUUGUUGUAGUUCUGGGAAUUGAAUUCACUCAAAGCCUGGGAUGAGUUUUCUUGUGAGGGUCUCAACUGCUAUUUAUAGUGCAAGUGAAGGCUGAAGCAGUUGAAAUCCACAGUACACGUGGAUCAAUCCUGGAUAUCUAUGCGAAAUAUUAAAGUUUAUAGAGAUUACUUGCCUUCACCAACAAUCCACAAUACGUUAAAUUUUUCUUAAACACUGAGAUUUUAUGUUACUUUCUUUCAUGUGUAUAAAUGUUACAAUUUAAUUAAUAAUCAAACACUAUCUAAACUUAAACUUUUGGUAAAUGAUUAUUUGUUUUAAUGACAUUCGAUUUCUAUAUUAUAUUUAAAGAUGGAAUUAAGUUCAAAUUUGAUAGAGAGUAGUUGUUGAAUCAAACAAGCAAAGCUUAAAAGUUGAUGUUCAAAACAAAAGUACAGUAUCAAUGUUUAAAAUAGAAAGUUAAGGAUCUUAUUUCUUAUCAUUCAUGUGCACCACUCAAAUUCAAUUCCAUCAACUUAUUUUUUUGGGAGGAAUUCUUUCAUUUUAUUGAUAGUAUAUAGUCCGGUCUUUCAAUCAAAAAGUUUCUUUGCAGAAAAAAGGCAAUGGGCAUCCACCAAGUUGUUUCCUUAUAAAAGUGUGUAGGUAAAACCCUUUUGUUAUGAACUAGAUGCAUUGAUUUUAAUUUGGAAAAACUUUAGUAAGUUAGGCUAAGAGUCCCUUUGAAGUUUCAAUUACCAAUUUGAUUUUUAGUUUUUAUAUUUUGUGCUUGAAAUAUAGGAAACUUUGGGGAGGAAGGGGCAAAUGGAGAUGAGUGGUGUGACAUAAGAUAGGAAAUUAAAGAACAAUCAGUGAAACAAAAUUCUGAAAGUGAAAACAACUUAGUCAAUUUUAGUUUUCAUUUUUGUAUUUCUUUUCUUGAAUUCUUAUAUAUUUCUUGAGCGUUAUUUUCCUUCCUCCACUUUUCUAUGUCCCUCCCUUCUUCUAUGCAUUCCCCCUCCAUCAUUAACAAAAAAGAAAAACUAAAGUAAGUUGAAUAUCAGAGUGCAAGACGAACAAGACUACAAAAUAAUAAGAAUAUUAUUGAACAAACGAGAAUGCCAAAACGGCUACAAACCUAAGAAACCCUAACUCGGAUGGGCUAGGCCCAAAUCCUAAACUAACAAGCAAAACUCAAAUACUAAAAUAAACCUAAAUACUAAUAUUGUCCAACACCCCUCGUCAAACUCAUGGCGGUACACGAUAUGGGUUUGCCAAAGUAGAUGUGGAUGCAAAACUCCAAAUUCCAGUGCCAGUGCCCAUGCCAAUAUCAAUGCCAAUGUCAGUGCCAAUUCCAAUACCAAUGUCAAUGCCAAUACCAAUGCUGGUGCCAAUGUCAAUGCCAAUGCACAUUCCAACUUCGGAACAAACAAUCAAAAAAUCCAAUUUACUCUAUCCACAACGUCACUCGAAUGGUCAUCAGUCCAAGCAUUCGAGCGAUCAUCGUAGUGGGAACGACAGACAAACCAAAUAGACCAUAUUUCUUUCUUGCCCGUGUGGGCCUAAAACACAAUUUUUAUUUUCUUCCUUCCUUUUCUCAACCUUUCUUCAAUUCAUGCAAAACCAAUUGCAGCAAACAAGGCUUGCAAAACCAAUUGUAGCAAAAAAAAAAAAAAAAAAAAAAAAAAAAAAACUUCCAGUGCAAAGUCAAACUGCAGAAGGAGACUUCAUAGGAUUGUGACAAAUCCGACUUGAACGAGUUAUGUGCGGAUACGAUGAACGGGUGGAUGUAGCAGCGGAGAUGGUGGUGCGGGUUAGAUUGCAGGUGAUCCAAGCCGGAGACGAACUUGAUCUGAGUUUGUGAUUCUCGGGUCUGGGCUUCGUCAAACAAGCAAGUGACCAGAGACGAAUACGGACGGCGGGGAAGGACCAAAAGGCCGUCAACACAAUUGAAAAAAUUAUCACUUUUUUUCCUUGCAAACUGUCAAACACAACAAGACAAUCUGAACAUGAACGAUAACGGACACAAGCAAACGAAUACCAACCCAAAGCAGAUUAAAUCUCGAAGGAUGAAACCUACUCUGAUACCAAGUUGAAUAUCAGAGUGCAAGAUGAACAAGACUACAAAAUAAUAAGAAUAUUAUUGAACAAACGAGAAUGCCAAAACGGCUACAAAACUUCAAGAGGCUACAUUGUGAAUGACUUGUUUCUCAUACUAAAUUACAAGCAAUAUUUAUAGAGAACUAAACCUAAGAAACCCUAAGUCGGAUGGGUUAUGCCCAAAUCUUAAACUAACAAGCAAAACCCAAAUAUUAAAAUAGACCUAAAUACUAAUACUUUCCAACAAAGUAAACAACUAAAUAAUUAUCAAGGCAACCCUAAGUUGUAGUGAUUAAGUCAACUAACCUAAUCGUUGUAGUGAUUAAGUAAUAAUUGAUAAGAUAUGGCCAAAGAGUGAUAUAAAUAAUCCAGAGAAAUAUCAGUCCUUUAUUCCUGGGAUAGAUCGUGACCAAAACAUACACGAAUAAGUGACAAAGUGGUCAUUAUCUGUGGGCGAAUUUCUAAGAGCAAGAUAAUGUAAUUUUUGUGUGUGGAUAAACUAACAAUUGUCAGCUGUGAAUAAUGCUAAUUGUCCAAACGUUUCUUUUGGUUAAUUGUCCUAAGUUUGGUUCAUGGCAUCUUAUUAAGAAGGGAUGAAGUCUGCUGCUUAACAGACAAAUCAAACGUUCUUGUCUGGGUCCCUAAUUAAUUAGUGUCAAAUAGUUUCUUACAGAAAUAAAAAUUUGGCUCCCUUGGAAUCUAUCCCUCCAUGAUCUCGUAAAGUGUAUAUACUACAGCCUAAAAAGGGCCUCAGGUGUAGUGCAUAUGAUACAAACAACUUCAUCCCCAAAAAGACUAUUACGUCAAACUAAUGUAAUGAGAGAGAGAUAUACACAUGAAUGUAUACACUUGGCCAUGCCUAAGAAUCAGUUGUCAUCAUUUUAGAGGUGUUAACUGGCUGAUGAUCCAGUUGUUAUCAUCUUGAGUUGCACUGUAAAUAAAUACAACAACAACAACAACAACAAAGCCUUUUCCCACUAAGUGGGGUCGGCUAUAUGAAUCCUAGAACGCCAUUGCGCUCGGUUUUGUGUCAUGUCCUCCGUUAGAUCCAAGUACUCUAAGUCUUUUCUUAGAGUCUCUUCCAAAGUUUUCCUAGGUCUUCCUCUACCCCUUCGGCCCUGAACCUCUGUCCCGUAGUCACAUCUUCGAACCGGAGCGUCAUUCGGCCUUCUUUGCACAUGUCCAAAUCACCGGAGCCGAUUUUCUCUCAUCUUUCCUACAAUUUCGGCUACUCCUACUUUACCUCGGAUAUCCUCAUUCCCAAUCUUAUCCUUUCUCGUGUGCCCACACAUCCCACGAAGCAUCCUCAUCUCCGCUACACCCAUUUUGUGUACGUGUUGAUGCUUCACCGCCCAACAUUCUGUGCCAUACAACAUCGCUGGCCUUAUUGCCGUCCUAUAAAAUUUUCCCUUGAGCUUCAGUGGCCUACGACGGUCACACAACACGCCGGAUGCAUUCUCUAACACUUCAUCCAUCCAGCUCGUAUUCUAUGGUUGAGAUCUCCAUCUAAUUCUCCGUUCUCUUGCAAGAUAGAUCCUAGGUAGCGAAAACGGUCGCUUUUUGUGAUCUUCGCUAGAUUGCUCCGGUCAUUAGUGUGGAUAAGUAUAUAAAUGGAUAGAGAUAGGAAAGCAAACACAAGAUGUACGUGGUUCACCCAGAUUGGCUACGUCCACGGAAUAGAAGAGUUCUUAUUAAUUGUGAAGGGUUUACACAAGUACAUAGGUUCAAGCUCUCCUUUAGUGAGUACAAGUGAAUGAUUUAGUACAAAUGACAUUAAGAAAUAUUGUGGGAGAAUGAUCUCGUAAUCACGAAACUUCUAAGUAUCGGAGUGUGGAGUCGUCUUGACUUGCCUUAUCUGUCUCAUAGGUAGAUGUGGCAUCUUCUCUGGAAGUACUCUUCCUCCAUCCAGGGGUGGUAUCUUUAACUGGUGGAGAUGCACAAGGUAAUGUAUCAAUUUCACUUGAAGCUUACUUGUAGUUUCAGGCUUGGUCAAGCGCGAUACAAACCAUGUAGUAGGAGUCCCCCAAGUCGCCGAGCUAGGGGGUCUGCUGAAAGAGGUGACAGACAAGGUAAGCAAUCAGAGCUCCGACUGAUUGUUCACCUUCUCCCCAUCUUGCAGCAGCAUGAAGGAUAAAGAGAAGAAAAAUGAGAAGAGAUGAUAUGAGAUACUUUUGCUUUUGAAGAAGUAACUUUCCACAGGCAGGCUUAUUCUUGAACUGAGCUGGAGGGUUUUCUGGUUUCCUCCAGAGUAUAAGGGCCGACUGAAGAAUUUGAGGGUCAAAACAAGUCCAUCAAAUCUAGAGUACGUUCCACCCUGCUGAUAUGGGAUACUUUUGCUUUUGACAGAGUAAUGGAUGUAUCGGCACGUGUGCUGUUACGCUUGUCUCCACAUGCUUCCUUGUAUCCUUCGCACUUGCCCUAUCUGUUCCUCAAGCAGAUGCGGAAUCUUCCCUGGAAACAUAAGAUGUUGAAGAUGAGUACUCGAGAGCAAUGCCAGGUAAGUAAUCAGGUAAGGGGUUCCAGGCAGUCAGUUCCUGGCUGGAAGCUUGAUUCCAAGUGCUGACUGAUUGCUCUCUUUCUCCUUGUCUUGCAGGUAAAAACAAGGCCAAAGGAAAAGACAGGGAAAAAAGCAUGAUAUGGGAUACUCUUGCUUUUAACCCUGAUGAUAUGAGAUAUUCUUGCUCUAGUAUAGCUUGUUUGCAGAGGUAUUAUCGGGGGGAAAGAAAGCUGAAUAUUUCGAAAGGCUUCGUUGGGAGUGCCCUCUCAGAUAUGAUGAAGGGUUGAGCAUUUUUGCAGGUCUGCCUGUCCGUUGGGGAUGGAGGUCGACAUAUAUAGGAGUCUCCCUAACAAGUAGUAAUGCUAUUCCUUUACCCUGCUUGGUCAUAGCACGGUAGUGGGAGCUGCCAGUUUCACAUGUUUUAACUCUGUCAGAGCACUUUGAAAAAGUGGUCUGUGGUAUCUGGCUCUCGAGAUUCGGAGAACGAUGCCUCUUCGAUUUUUGAGAAAGCAAUCAUGCUGGGGGUCUGGCUCUCGAGAUUCGGAGAGCAGUGUCUCUUCGAUUUUUGAGGAAGUAAUCAUGUUGGGAGUCUGGCUCUCGAGAUUCGGAGGGCGGUGCCUCUUCGAUUUUGGAGCAAGCAAUCUUGUUGGGAGUGUUGUCUCGAAUGUGAGUAAAGGUUGGGCAUGUUUGCUAGUCUACCUUGCCACGAAGCACAAAGGUUGACACACAGGGACUUUCCAAUUAUCCAGCAAUGGUACUGUUCCUUUACCCUCUCUUCGAUUUUGAGAAAGUAGUCAUGUUGGGAGUCUGGCUCUCGAGAUUCGGAGGACGGUGCCUCUUCGAUUUUGGAGCAAGCAAUCUUGUUGGGAGUGUUUUCUCGAAUGUGAGUAAAGGUUGGGCAUGUUUGCUAGUCUACCUUGCCACGAAGCACAGAGGUUGACACACAGGGACUUUCCAAUUAUCCAGCAGUGGUACUGUUCCUUUACCCUUGUGGGUAAUAAUAUGGUAGCUAGACCUUCAAAAUUUAUGUGUCUAAACUUUGUUAGUGUUGUUUCUUUGCUAUUCUUUUACCUUUCUUGGUCAGAGCGAUGUAGUGGGAGCUGCAAGCUUCACGUGCUCAACUUUGGCAGAGAACUUUGGCAAAGUUAUCUGUGGUACCCAUGAGCUAUUGUUGCGUGUGGGAAGUGGGUGAUUGAACAGUAAGAUUCAUGUGCUUUCUACUUCACCAGAAGUCUUCGACAGAAUGCCCAUAAUUUCUGCAAAGCUGAGUGUGCGUGUGACAGGUGCUGACAAGGCUAGAAAAGUAGGUGCCUCUUCGAUUUCUGAGAUCGGCCCUCGUGGUCUCUGAGCAGCCCAGCUUUUGAGAAAGCGAGCGCCUCUUCGAUUGAUUCGAAGAACGAUGCCUCAUCGAUUUUUGAGAAAGCAAUCACGCUGGGGGUCUGGCUCUCGAAGAUUCGGGGAGCAGUGUCUCUCUUCGAUUUUUUAGAAAGUAAUCAUGUUGGGAGUCUGGCUCUCGAGAUUCGGAGGGCGGUGCCUCUUCGAUUUUGGAGCAAGCAAUCUUGUUGGGAGUGUUUUCUCGAAUGUGAGUAAAGGUUGGGCAUGUUUGCUAGUCUACCUUGCCACGAAGCACAGAGGUUGACACACAGGGACUUUCCAAUUAUCCAGCAAUGGUACUGUUCCUUUACCCUCUCUUCGAUUUUUAAGAAAGUAGUCAUGUUGGGAGUCUGGCUCUCGAGAUUCGGAGGACGGUGCCUCUUCGAUUUUGGAGCAAGCAAUCUUAUUGGGAGUGUUUUCUCGAAUGUGAGUAAAGGUUGGGCAUGUUUGCUAGUCUACCUUGCCACGAAGCACAGAGGUUGACACACAGGGACUUUCCAAUUAUCCAGCAGUGGUACUGUUCCUUUACCCUUGUGGGUAAUAAUAUGGUAGCUAGACCUUCAAAAUUUAUGGGUCUAAACUUUGUUAGUGCUGUUUCUUUGCUAUUCUUUUACCCUUCUUGGUCAGAGCGAUGUAGUGGGAGCUGCAAGCUUCACGUGCUCAACUUUAGGCAGAGAACUUUGGCAAAGUUUUCUGUGGUACCCAUGAGCUAUUGUUGCGUGUGGGAAGUGGGUGAUUGAACAGUAAGAUUCAUGUGUUUUCUACUUCCCCAGAAGUCUUCGACAGAAUGCCCAUAAUUUCCGCAAAGCUGAGUGUGCGCGUGUGACAGGUGCUGACAAGGCUGGAAAAGUAGGUGCCUCUUCGAUUUCUGAGAUCGGCCCUCGUGGUCUCUGGGGAGCCCAGCUUUUGAGAAAGCGAGCGCCUCUUCGAUUUCUGAGAUCGGCCUUCGUGGUCUUUUGAGCAGCCCAACUUUUGAGAAAGCAAACGCCUCUUCGAUUUCUGAGAUCAACCCUCGUGAUCUCUAAGCAGCCCAGCUUUUGAGAAAGCAAACGCCUCUUCGAUUUCUGAGCAGGCGCCUCUUCGAUUUCUGAAGCUCCGUCGAGUGCAGAUUUUUAUAGGGGCUGACAUUAAGUUCCAAAGCACACUUGAAUCUCCACCAGUAGAAGCUUCAUUCUUGCACUUCUAAGAUCUUGAUUUGUCCGACCUCUUCUCUCUUCAACACCUUUGAAAAUGUCUGGCCCCUCCGACCGUCGUUUUGACUUGAACCUUGUUGAAGAGGCAGCCCCGCCUUCUCCAGACAACAUAUGGCGCCCAUCCUUCGUCUCCCCUACUGGUCCUCUUACCGUUGGGGAUUCCGUGAUGAAGAAUGAUAUGACCGCUGCGGUGGUGGCCAGGAACCUUCUCACUCCCAAAGAUAACAGACUACUUUCCAAACGGUCUGAUGAGUUAGCUGUUAAGGAUUCGCUGGCUCUCAGUGUUCAGUGUGCAGGUUCUGUGUCUAAUAUGGCCCAACGCCUAUUUGCUCGAACCCGCCAAGUUGAAUCAUUGGCGGCUGAAGUGAUGAGUCUCAAACAGGAGAUUAGAGGGCUCAAGCAUGAGAAUAAACAGUUGCACCGGCUCGCACAUGACUAUGCUACAAACAUGAAGAGGAAGCUUGACCAGAUGAAGGAAACUGAUGGUCAGGUUUUACUUGAUCAUCAGAGAUUUGUGGGUUUGUUCCAAAGGCAUUUAUUGCCUUCGUCUUCUGGGGCUGUACCGCGUAAUGAAGCUCCAAAUGAUCAACCUCUGAUGCCUCCUCCUUCUAGGGUUCUGUCCAGUACUGAGGCUCCAAAUGAUCCCCCUCCGGUGCCUUCUCUUUCUGGGGCUCUACCGACUGCUGAGACUUCUCCUAAGCAACCUUUGUGAAGGCUCCCUCUUGUGUGUUUAUUUUGACUCAUGUAUAUGUACAUAUUUGUAGCUUAUCGGGGAUAUCAAUAAAUAAGCUUUCCUUCAUUUCAACGUAUUGUGUUAAAUACACCAAAGCCUUCUUCGCUAAGUUCUUUGAAUUUUCUUUUGUUGAAGCUUGUAUGUUGAAGCUUUCUGAGUGGAGCAUGUAGGUUGGGGUAGUGUUCCCUUAAUUUUCCCGAGUGAGGAAAACUUCUCGGUUGGAGACUUGGAAAAUCCAAGUCACUGAGUGGGAUCGGCUAUAUGAAUCUUAGAACGCCAUUGUGCUCGAUCCUGUGUCAUGUCCUUCGUUAGAUCCAAGUACUCUAAGUCUUUUCUUAGAGUCUCUUCCAAAGUUUUCCUAGGUCUUCCUCUACCCCUUCGGCCCUGAACCUCUGUCCCAUAGUCGCAUCUUCUAAUCGGAGCGUCAGUAGGCCUUCUUUGCACAUGUCCAAACCACCGUAACCGAUUUUCUCUCAUCUUUCCUUCAAUUUCGGCUACUCCUACUUUACCCCGGAUAUCCUCAUUCCUAAUCUUAUCCUUUCUCGUGUGCCCACACAUCCAACGAAGCAUCCUCAUCUCCGCUACACCCAUUUUGUGUACGUGUUGAUGUUUCACCGCCCAACAUUCUGUGCCAUACAGCAUCGCCGGCCUUAUUGCCGUCCUAUAAAAUUUUCCCUUGAGCUUCAGUGGCAUACGGCGGUCACACAACACGCCGGAUGCACUCUUCCACUUCAUCCAUCCAGCUUGUAUUCUAUGGUUGAGAUCUCCAUCUAAUUCUCCGUUCUUUUGCAAGAUAGAUCCUAGGUAACGAAAACGGUCGCUCUUUGGUAUUUCUUGAUCUCCGAUCCUCACCCCUAACUCGUUUUGGCCUCCAUUUGCACUGAACUUGCACUCCAUAUAUUCUGUCUUUGAUCGGCUUAGGCGAAGACCUUUAGAUUCCAACACUUCUCUCCAAAGGUUAAGCUUUGCAUUUACCCCUUCCUGAGUUUCAUCUAUCAACACUAUAUCGUCUGCGAAAAGCAUACACCAAGGAAUAUCAUCUUGAAUAUGUCCUGUUAACUCAUCCAUUACCAACGCAAAAAGGUAAGGACUUAAGGAUGAGCCUUGAUGUAAUCCUACAGUUAUGGGAAAGCUUUCGGUUUGUCCUUCAUGAGUUCUUACGGCAGUCUUUGCUCCUUCAUACAUAUCCUUUAUAGCUUGGAUAUAUGCUACUCGUACUCCUUUCUUCUCUAAAAUCCUCCAAAGAAUGUCUCUUGGGACCCUAUCAUACGCUUUUUCCAAAUCUAUAAAGACCAUGUGUAAAUCCUUUUUCCCAUCUCUAUAUCUUUCCAUCAAUCUUCGUAAGAGAUAGAUUGCCUCCAUGGUUGAGCGCCCUGGCAUGAACCCGAAUUGGUUGUCCGAAACCCGUGUCUCUUGCCUCAAUCUAUGCUCAAUGACUCUCUCCCAGAGCUUCAUUGUAUGACUCAUUAGCUUAAUACCCCUAUAGUUCAUGCAAUUUUGUACGUCGCCCUUAUUCUUGUAGAUAGGCACCAAAGUGCUCGUUCGCCACUCAUUUGGCAUCUUCUUCGUUUUCAAAAUCCUAUUGAAAAGGUCAGUGAGCCAUGUUAUACCUGUCUCUCCCAAAAGUUUUCCACACUUCGAUUGGUAUAUAUCGUCUGGGCCUAUUGCUUUUUUAUGCUUCAUCUUCUUCAAAGCUACAACCACUUCUUCCUUCCGGAUUCGACGAUAAAAAGAGUAGUUUCUACACUCUUCUGAGUUACUCAACUCCCCUAAAGAAGCACUCAUUUCAUGUCCUUCAUUGAAAAGAUUAUGAAAAUAACCUCUCCAUCUGUCUUUAACCGCGUUCUCUGUAGCAAGAACCUUUCCAUCCUCAUCCUUGAUGCACCUCACUUGGUUUAGGUCCCUUGUCUUCUUUUCCCUUGCUCUAGAUAGUUUAUAGAUAUCCAACUCUCCUUCUUUGGUAUCUAGUCGUUUAUACAUAUCGUCGUAAGCCGCUAACUUAGCUUCUCUGACAGCUUUCUUCGCCUCUUGCUUCGCUUUUCUAUACCUUUCACCAUUUUCAUCGGUCCUCUCCUUGUAUAAGGCUUUACAACAUUCCUUCUUAGCCUUCACCUUUGUUUGUACCUCCUCAUUCCACCACCAAGAUUCCUUUUGGUGUGGGGCAAAGCCCUUGGACUCUCCUAAUACCUCUUUUGCUACUUUUCGGAUACAACUAGCCAUGGAAUCCCACAUUUGGCUAGCUUCCCCCUCUCUAUCCCACACACAUUGGGUGAUUACCUUCUCUUUGAAAAUGACUUGUUUUUCUUCUUUUAGAUUCCACCAUCUAGUCCUUGGGCACUUCCAAGUCUUGUUCUUUUUGUCUUACUCUUUUGAUAUGUACAUCCAUCACCAACAAGCGAUGUUGAUUAGCCACGCUCUCUCCUGGUAUAACUUUGCAAUCCUUACAAGUUAUACGAUCCCCUUUCCUCAUUAGAAGAAAAUCUAUUUGUGUUUUUUUGACGACCCACUCUUGUAGGUGAUCACAUGUUCUUCUCUCUUCUUAAAGAAGGUGUUGGCUAAGAAGAGAUCAUAUGCCAUUGCAAAAUCCAAGAUAGCUUCCCCAUCCUCGUUUCUCUCCCCAAAACCAUGGCCACCAUGAAAACCUCCAUAGUUGUCUGUCUCCCUGCCCACGUGUCCAUUUAAAUCUCCUCCUAUAAAUAACUUCUCCGUCUGAGCAAUUCCUUGCACCAAGUCUCCAAGAUCUUCCCAAAAUUUCUCCUUCGAACUCGUAUCCAACCCUACUUGAGGUGCGUACGCACUAAUCACAUUGAUAAGUUCUUGUCCUAUUACAAUCUUGAUUGCCAUGAUUCUAUCUCCUACCCUCUUGACAUCUACAACAUCUUGUACCAAGGUCUUGUCCACGAUGAUGCCAACACCGUUUCUCGUUCUAUUUGUGCCCGAAUACCAAAGUUUAAACCCUGAGUUUUCUAGAUCCUUUGCCUUACUACCAACCCACUUAGUUUCUUGUAGGCACAUAAUAUUUAUCCUUCUCCUCACCAUAACUUCCACUACUUCCAUAGAUUUUCCCGUUAAGGUUCCUAUAUUCCACGUUCCUAAACGCAUUUUGCUCUCUUGAACUCUACCCUUCUGUCCUAGCUUCUUCACCCUCCCCCGUCUAAUAGGAUCAAAGUACUUCUUUUGUGUGUCCCGGGUAAAGUUGAUAGGAGCAUAUGCUCCCAAACAACUUUGAGUGGAGUCGUUCGAAAAGAAGUUUCUAUGGCCCCCUUGCUCAUUUAACACUGCAUCCGGGUGCCGAUGGAGAUACAGCGACCCUUGCUCACUUAUCACUGUGCUCGGGCCACACAGCGCGCCACUUACGGGUGACGCCCUAGCUUUAGCGUGAUUUUGUUCUGGAUUCAUUUUCAUAAGGAUUCGACGUGAUCAUGGAGUGCCGGCUGUCGACUACCUGACGCCCUCCCCCUCCUCCUUUAUCCGGGCUUGGGACCGGCCAUGUAAGACAUAGGCGGAGUUGCACUGUAAAUAAAUAAAAAUAAAAAACUAGCCUAAGCUCGCUAUCUCGUAAAAAAUAUGAGUUGCUCACAAGUUUUUCAAGAUGAAUAUACUCAUGUUGAAGCUUGAUUUGUUUCUUAAUCGAGCCAAAUUAGUUUUGGCUUGUUUUCUUCUUGCCAAGCUUCAACGAGUCAAACAUGAAUCAAACACGAUUAUGAAUCGAGCGGUUUUGAACCAAUUUGAGACCCUCUGAGAAAAUGGUAAUCAGUGCGCCCUUUCUCUUGUUGGCGUUGUCUCCUGUCUCGAAUCUGAGCAGUCGUGUUGCUCUCCACAAAUAAAAGCAGGGUGAGAGAUUGACUUUAGAUAUGAAGAUAAGUGCACACUGCUCUCAAGACACUAGAGUCGCAAAAUCUUUGUCCAUCUUUUAGGGAUAAAGACACCCCAUUCCUCCAUUUUUUUGUGGGUUUGAUUUACUAUCUUGUAGUUUAAGCCAUCUCCAAUCGAAGACUGGCCAGAGAGCUCGUUUUAGCCCUCUGGCCCUCCAAGAAAUUAAUAUUUUAAUGAACAGUGUAGGGCCAUAUUUCUUACCAUCUCCAAUUGAGGGCCAAAGGGUCAUAUGGCUCGUUUUAGUCCUGUCACAAAAAACCGUCUCCAACCAAGGGUCAAAGGGCCAAAGGGCCAAACAUAAUUUAUUAUUUAAAUUUAAAAACUACAACUACAAAUAUUUAAAAUAAUUUGUGAAAGGAACAUGCUUAUGAAAAGAACUACAACUACAACUACACUUAUUAUAAUUGUCUCACAUCGGCUGUGGGAGAUGUAUGAGCAAGGAAACAUGCUUAUAAAAUGAACACCCCAACUUUGACCAAAUCACCUUUCUCGGCCCAAAAAAUCUAAACCCAUAAUUAAAUAUUUUUAGAAAAUUUUGCCACCCAAAAAAAUUAAAAAAAUUGUAAAAAAUAAUAAUAAAUAUGACGUCAACAUGUGGCCUGGCUAGUUAGCUAGUUUGGGCUAGCCACUUGGCCCUUUGGCCCCUUUUUGUCUAGUGGGACCCACAAGCCCUUUGGCCUGGCCCUUAGUUGGAGACGGUUUUCGGGCUAUUUUUGGCCCUCUGACCCCUCUAGACCCUUCGAUUGGAGAUGACCUUAGUUCCCCUCACAUGUGCUGUGGAGAAAACAGAAAAAGAUAUUGCAACAAGGAGACUCCCUCCAAUUAUUGAUCCACCUUUCAUCGGGUGGGGCAUCAAGGGCUUCUAUCCCCUUAUUGUAGAGCCAGCCAGCUAUAAUUGUGCAAAAUAUUUUUGGUCACCACCUUUAAGUGAUGAUGAUGCUUACCACCUUAUGUAUCACAAUUGGAUGAGUUUAAAUUUUAAGAUCUUUUAUUGGAUAGACUUAAAUCUCAAAAAUUAAACUCAUCUAACGGUGAUAAAUAAUGAUGAUGAGCAAAAAUGCACCUGUAAUUGUGACUUUAAAAAUUAAAGGAUGAUAUUCUCUUGAAAUCUCUUCACUUCAUCCUCACCCGUCCUUUUCUUUGCCAUCUUUUGUUAUCAAAGGUUCUCCAUUUACCCUCUCUUUCCUUUGAAAAUAAGAAGAAGAAAGAAUUCCUCUAAAGUUAUUCUAACUUGCUGAUAUCUUAUGUAACGAAUAUCAAAUAUUAAGGGAAAUAAAAAUUGCAAAUCUUAUUUCUUUUUCUUUUCUUUGCGCACUUGUGUUUAUAUUUAGCUUUUUGAUUGAAUAGAUCGGAAAAAAAAAUCAACAAAUAUAAAAUAAAGAAUAGCGUCCAGAUGCAUAAAAAGAUUGUUUGGAAAUGAUCUCCCAAUAUUAAACUUUAUCAUAUAAAUUUUCGUAUACCGUUACAUGAGCAGUGAGAGAGAGAUUUAAGGAGCCGAAGGCUAGUGGUAGAGUAUGGGACACACACACACAUGUGAAAGACAAGAAGAAAAACAAGAAGUCCAUCAGAUAGCAAAAGCUGAUGGAUAAUGGAUGGGUACCAAUUUCUUACAAGGAUAUACACAGAAAUGACAAGGACAGAUUUAACAGAAGAUAGAAGCCCCAAAAAUCACAGUAAUGGGCUUCAUCUUCAUUUCAUUCCGGGGGUUCCAACACAGAGAGUGCUUGUGAUACAGUUUUUUAGAUUGGGGAAGUUUUCCGGCGUGGCUAUAACACCGUCACGUAGUAUUAACAAUCACGUUGUUCAUUUAUAUAAUAAUACAAGGAUUAGUAACAACAUUGAGAUGCGACAGUCACACUUAAAAAGUUCUUUUGCAUUUUAGUGUCAUGAACUAUUUGCUAUUUUGUGUGUGGAGGAAGCCAGCCCACCACUAACCCGUAAACCCUAAACCCUAACUUGACGCCUCUAACCACCAAAAAGAAAAAUGGGUUUUUUUUAACUUUAAUUUAAGAAGAUUUAAAUUUAAAAUAAACCUGGUGUUAGAUUACAUAUUUAUUAUAAUCCCUUGAUGUGUCCUUAAUUCAAAAUAAUUAAUGUACAUUUUAUUUAAUGUCUCCCAUUAAAUAUUUAAAUUUACUAAUAUACAAAUUUUAAUUUAUUUUUUGAACAAAAAAGAGUUUUUUAAUUUAUUAAUUUUAUUUAACAUUCUUCAAACUUGACAAACUCAAUUAAUGUACCUAAAUGUUAGUACCGAAAUGUAUUAUAUUGAACUAGUGUAUUUAAAUGUUAAUACCGAAAUGUAUGUACCGAAAUGUAUUAAUUAAAUUAUUGUAUCUAAAUGUGUGUACCGAAAUAUAUGCAUCGAAAUGUAUUAUAUUAAAUUAAUGUACCUAAAUGUUUGUAUCGAAAUGUGUGUACAAAAAUGUGUGUACCUAAAUGUAUGUACGGAAAUGUUUUAUAAUGAAUUUAAUGUACCUACAUGAAGAAGACAAAGUACAUCGAAAUAUAUUGUAUAAUAAAAAUUAAUUUAUUUAAAUGUUUAGAACAAAAUAUAUUACGAUAAAUGAAAUGAAAAUGAAAAUCAUAAUGAAAUAAAACUAAUACAUUAAAAAUUAGGAAGAAAAAGAUAAAUAAUUAAAAGAUCAAAAUAUAAUUAAUAAAUGAGGUUAUUAAUGUGUCAAGGGACUAAAAUUAGAUUUUGAUCUUACUUAUGGUUUUAAACUAAAAGUCAUCUUUGCCAAGGAUUAAAAUGAAUAACUGAAAUUUUGUUUUCGGUUACAAUAUAUACAUUGGUAUACAGAAACUGAGCAUAAAGUGAUGUUUCCAAAUUCAAUAAUGAUAUUCUUAUCAUAUUUUUGUACCACAAUUGUAUACAACAUUAGGUGGCAUCUGAUGUGGAUAGCCACAUCAUCUAAAUUAAUUAGCAUUUAAUUUCAAAAUGUUAAUCAAUAAUUAAUGAAAAGAUUGUUAAUUAAAUGAUGAUUGUGGUAUACGAUGAGUCUUCUUCUGACACCUAAGAUAAGUGUUUUAAUUAAUAAAAAGAUUGAAAUUAAAUGAUGUAACUUGUCCAACUCAUCUGCCACCUAAGAUGGUAAAUAAAUGUGGUAAGAAUAACAUUACUCUUCCAAAUUUCUUUUUAGCCUGAAGGUGAAAGCUGAUUGAGAGAGCUUGCAACGAGUAGAAGGGGGAGAGCAGAGAGCACAAAGAGCAGAGCUCUGCAACUGGUUUCGUCGAUGGGCUGGAAAUGAUUGAUGGGCUUGUUUCCGACUAAAUUAUUUCUUCAUAAAUCAUGGCUAGAAUACAUGAAGCCAUGAAACCAAUUGGUCCAAGAACAAUGAGAUAAUUUUGUUUCUACUUUGUACCCAAAAAAAUAAAUGAAAACACUGACACAUGGUGUUACUAUUCGUAAAAAACUUACACAAUGUUCCUCUUUAAUGUAGAAUACAUCUUACACCAUUUAAGUUUGAGGUAAUUUUCAAAACGGGUGUGAAAUGUAGUUAGCCCUAAAACCCUAAAAUGUAUAUCAAGUUUUGACAUGAAUUGAGAAUCAUUUGGUGCAGGUAUGGAUCCUUUUUUUUUUUCAUAUUUCACUUCUAUUUUACGAUCAAGGUAGGUCAAGUCAGCUUUUGGUUUUAGUAUGAUAUGCUAAUUAAAAAACACAGAUACAUGUGUUAUGAUUUAAAUGAAAUUGUAGACAUCGAAAUUUCGGUAAAUAAAUGUUGACCGAUAAAUCAAAGUUUCAACGCUCAUGUAUUACAUAAAUUUUACACGUAGCGUGUGUCUAAACAAAAAAUCGAAAUAAGUUGGAAAAGUCAUCAAACAGGACACGUGUCAACACCUGGCAGAAACGACUUAUUUCAUCUGGAAUAUUAUAUUCAAAAUUAGGCCUUGGAAAUUUCUAUAAAUAGAAGGCUAAUUCAUUCAUUUGGAGGAAUUCAUAUUACACCUUGAAGCUCUGAAGCUCUGAAACUCCGAAGCUCUCAAGCAAAUCCCGAAGGAUCAAGAAAGCCCUUUUCGUUCUUCAUCAAAUCCACCUUCAAGAUCAAGCCCCGACGGCCCUUGAAGAAAGUGUUCUUCGUUCUUCGUUCUUCAUUCAUCAUUCUUCCAAGAUCAAGCCCCGACGGCCCCUUGGAUCAACAAUCAUCCACCUUCAAGAUCAAGCCCCGACGGCCCUUGAAGAAAGUGUUCUUCGUUCAUCGUUCUUCCAAGAUCAAGCCCCAACGGCCCUUUGGAUCAACAAUCAUCCACCAAUUCAAGAUCAAGCCCCGACGGCCCUUGAAGAAAGUGUUCUUCGUUCUUCGUUCAUCGUUCUUCCAAGAUCAAGCCCCGACGGCCCUUGGAUCAACCAUCCACCAAUUCAAGAUCAAGCCUCGACGGCCCUUGAAGAAAGCACCAUCGUUCAUCAUCCGCUCAUCCAAGAUCAAGCCCCAACGGCCCUUUGGAUCAACAACGUCGACAAAUCCACACAUUCAACCGUUCUUCAAGAUUAAGCCCAAAAGCCCUUGAAGAUCCGUUCAUCACUGUUCUUCAAGAUCAAGCCCAAAAGCCCUUAAAGAUCCGUUCGUCACUGUUCUUCAAAGAUCAAGCCCAAAAGCCCCUUUGAAGAUCCGCUCAAAUCCACCUUCAAGAUCAAGUCCACGGCCCUUGAAGAACGUUCAUCCUUAGAUCAAGCCCAACGGCCCUUUGGAUCAAUCACACAUCCACAAAUACACACCUUACGGAGAUCGAAUCAAAAGAUCAAAAUAGAGAGAGAUUGUAACCCAAAAUCAUCAAAAAUACAAAUAUUUGUUUGUGCACGUUGUUCUUGUCGUUUUCGUUUCAGGAAUUUUCCGUGUUCACAGAAAUGAAAACACUACGUGACAAUUUUUUGAUAAGCUGAAAAAUUAAGAGAUACAUAUUUGUUUUCAAUAGCAAGACUUCAAACAGAACUUAAGAGAUAUAUAACUUACAUUUAUAAGCUGCAAACAUAAAUUUCUGUUUACAAAACAUAAGGAAAGUAGCUUGAGAUCUUUGGUUUCAACAAUAUUAAGUACAAAAAACUUCAUCUAAUAGUUCAUCAAACAUCAUUAAUAAAUAGGUUUAUUUAUAGAUCACAUAAUAAAUAGGUUUAUUUAUAGAUUGGCCCCUUAAAAUUGUCUUUUAGUCUCACUUUGUCCUCCAAAACUGCCUAAAUCGAGCUAUUUCACCUUAUGUUCAUCAAUUCUGUCUCACGGACGUUAAAUGGAAGAGCAUUCCGGGUAUUUCAUACCAUGCUAGUAGCGAUGAGGUAUUGUGGUUGACGAAAUAUGAAAUUUCCAGACUACCCUAAACCUCUAAACUGCUAAAUCGCUGCCAGCGUGGAAGUAAAUGAGUGAAAUGGCUCGAUUGUGGCAGUUUCAAGGGUUAAAGUAAGACAAAUCCUGUUUCAAGGGAUAAAGUGAGACCAAAUGACAGUUUUAGGGUCAAUCAAUAAACCUAAUAAAUAUUCUCGAAACUGUUACAGGGUUCAUUAGGAUUUGGAGUUUACCAUCUAAGCAAACUUAUUGAAGUUCUAUUCAUGAUCUUAAUAUUACAUUAAUCCAAAUUUGAGACUUUGAUUAAUAUUAAUCUAAUGUCGAGCUGCAUGAUAGAAAUUCCGAGCAAUUAAUGAAAUGUAGUGGAAGUUGGAAGCAGAGGUAUUAUCUAGAGAAAUGUAGUUAUUACAAGAAAAGAAAAGGUUGGCAGUAAUACAGGAUAAACGACUGGUGCCAUCUUCAACACUUACCACAAAUUUUGAUUGAAAUUCUACAAACUCCAUCUAUUAGACCAAUCAUCGUCGAAAUUAUAUCCGCUUACAAACAUCAAUAGCUAAAAGCUAAAGAAUAAGAAGGCACGUGUUGGGCCAGGUACGUAGGAAACUGGAACAUCCAUGAGAGGAGCAAGGAGCCCUACUAUGAAGACGGUGAAGAAAAAUCCCAUGGCAUAAACAAAGAUGCGAAGCCAUAAAACGUGAUACACUGUCAGUGCAACACCAGCCAGGAAUGACGAGGACAUCAUGGUAAGCGUUACGCCUAGCACCUUUAAGGUAAAUCUCAUGGCAGCAUAGAUUAUAUUAGGGUCAUGCGUUUGUGCCCACAUAAGGGGAAUUGAAGCAGUAAUGGAGCCGCACAUCGCCACGGUAUUGCAUAUCAAGAAAAAUUUGAAUAGGCUAUGCGUAAGAAAAAU